This 126759-nucleotide long non-coding RNA is filed under the name Malus domestica (apple). Its description in RNAcentral is "long non-coding RNA (MDOM_LNC011550)". Lineage: Eukaryota; Viridiplantae; Streptophyta; Magnoliopsida; Rosales; Rosaceae. The record is from RNAcentral.
UGUAAAAAUGUGGUUUUUCGUUAAAGUGAACAGUACCGGGUGCUUUUCGUUAAAGUUCCCUAUUAUUAUAUCGUUUCAAAGAAAAAAAAAAGAAUUGUCCCACGUGUUUAAAACACUAACCGUCGUGAAGUCUUCGCAUCCCUUUCCCAAUAGGCUAUGAAAUCACGGCCGAGAUCCCCAACAAACCUGAAUUAUUUGUAAGCCUGAAAUAUCCCAGCAUUAGGUCUUGCAUGUCGAGUCAUAUAAGCCAAUAUGAAUCCAUCAACAAAUGCCCCAUGACAAAUUGAGAAAUGCGGUUUUGUUGACGAAAAUUGAGAAAUACGGCUUUGUUGACGAACUUAAGGAAAUUAGUGGUUUUUCAAAAAAUUUAAGAAGAUUUUGCGUAGAACAAGAAUUUAUCCAAGACAAUUUUGUGUGUUGAGUUGAAAGUUCCUUGUACGUUGCAAAGUAUAAUUUUUCAGUAAGUUGUAUGCCUGUUUGAGCCCGAUUUUACACUAUCAACCCUAGUGAUCAAGGCCGUUAAAUGAACAGAAUUUAAACCGUUAGAUAAUAAAGUGGUUGAAAUAAUUUUUAAUUAUUAUUGAAAAAUAAUAUUGUCAUAAUCAUAAUAUUAUCUCUUAAUAAUAUAUUAAAUUAUUUUAAACCUAAUAUUUGUCUACAUCCCAAUUGAAGAAUGUAAAACCAUUUUGUGAAUGACAAUGAAUUAUGCCGAGAAUAAUUGAAAGAAUAGUUGACUUGGCAAUCAAGUUAAUGAAAUCUCUAGGACUCUCGGUGCCUUAAGGAAAUAAACAUAUUGGAGUCCUAAUUACAUGCAAUCAAUUAAGGGCCUUUAUUAAGUAAAUACAAGGAAUAAGAGUCAUGAUGGGACUAUAAUUGAUGAGAUAUGAUUUGGGUUGAUAUCCUUUCCGAUAAUAGUUGAAUUGAUUGAAACCCUAGCUAUAUAACCUAGGAGCUGUCCCUGCUUCCAUACCAAUAGAAACUCACAAAAACUAUAAGCAUAUUUCGAUAGUAGAGUUCAUUGAGAGGUACUGGAAGUAGAAGACUACUUCUACUUUGUUCGCAAGGAUCAAUGGCUUCACCUUCAUAACCAUGUCUUCCGAAUUCUACAGAUAAGUUCAAUAUAAUUAGUCGAUCUCUAUUUCAUAUUGAUUUGAUUUAUUCGUGAUCCUAAUGUCUUGUUGUUGUGAUUUCAAAAUAUGUCUUACAUGUGGUAUUAGAGCCGCACAACAAGCUUAGGGUCCGAUAUAAAGGUAUAAGUAAAUUUGUUUAUUGAAGAUGAUUCACAUACUAAAGAAAAUUUGCUUAUCGUUUUGGUUGGAUGCCUUCUACUGUUCCAUCUCAUGAAAAUUGGUUUUGAUGCUUCCGCAAUUUUGUGUUGGUGUGCAAUGAUUUUUCAUGGUUAAUAAUAUAUAUAAAAUUGAUAUUAAUUAUAUGAGAUAAAUUAUUUUUUACUUAUAUUUUGGUAAAAAAUAAUUUUUUUAAUUUGGGUUUUUGGUUAUAUAAUUUUCGAGCACUACUUUACAACCUAAUAUUUGAAGCUCGAUUUUUUCCUUAUGGUUUUGGCUCUCUCGACACUUUCCGACGAGAAUAACUUCUUGUUAAGAGACAACUUGGGUAAGAUUUAAUUUGAAUUACAAUUUGUAUCAAUUUUCUUUUGUAUAAAUUACAUGAAUUAUAAUUGUUUUCGAAUACAAAUUUUCCUACGAAUUAAUAUGGAUUUUGGCAUUAGUUUCUAGGAUUUCAUGCUUCUGCUUACGUACUCUUAUUCUUAAUUAAUAUCAGUAAUCCUAAUAAUAUUCUAUUGAAGGGAAGAAUUGCAUUAAACAUGUUGCAAUUUUCUAAUUAUGUUAGCAAUCUCCUAAUCAAUUUAAUUUAAUGUUGACUAAUUUAUUUUGGUGUUGUAUGUAGAUUUCCUUAUGGAAUUGAUUUUAAAAUCAAUUGGUAAUUAUAAUCUAAAUUGGAGGAGAUUCUAAAUUUAAAAUAUAUCCAUUAAUUGUUUUAUUGUGAGAUUAAAAGUAUUUUCAUAAUUAUUGAUAUUGCCCAUAUAAAGAGAAAUUAUUUUAAUACGUUUUCUUAAAAGGGAAAUUAGUAGUCUCCUUGAAUUUGGGUUGUGCAUCACAAUACAACUAUUAUGGGAAUUUAAGCUAGAUUAAUAUUGCAAUUAAUUUACCCGUUUUGUAUUUGAUUUGAAUUAACUCAUUUCAUUUACUAAUAAAAUCUAUUAUAAAGAAUCUUUUAGAAUUAAGGAGUUACGUAUUUUGGAUUUCAUGUUUCCAUAUUUUAAAUUUGGAUAUGUAUCAUGCACUCACAAGGCUUGUGAUUUCUUUUGGAUUUUAUGACUAAUGGUUGAGAUCGAUUAAUAAUGUUGAGAUAUUGUUCCUUAUAUAAGCCUAAUUUUGAUACAUAUAGAUUGGUUUAUUUUGUCCAAACCAACUAUUUUGUGAGUCAACAAAUUUGUUUGAGAAAUUUUAAUGUUUUGGGCAUAUUAAAGGUUAUUUAUCUAAUGAAAUGAACCUUUAAUUUAUUUAAGAAAUUUUAGUGUUUUGAGCAUAUUAAAGAUUGUAAAUUGGUUUUAUUUAAAUUAUGAAUAAAUCUGAAAUUUGGUAGAGCUUGGGAAAUACUGAUGGAGUUUUGCAUACCUUGCAACGUGUCCUAUUUGAUUACGAUUUUGAUAGAUUUUCCUAACUCCAAACUUUGUGAAAAUUUGUCAUGUUAUAUUAUAUAAUGGAUUGUAUACACAGAAAAAUUUUCAUCCUUUUUGUACAAGAAAUGCAUUUAUGGUAAAUUGUUUUUAAGUGUGAUACUAUGUUACUGGAAUUUUGCAGCAUAAUAUGUUUGUGAUAUUAUUUUGAUAUACCUACGCAACUCCUAAAUUCAUGAAAUUUUAGUAUGAUAUGCAUUGAGAUGUUUGUUUUAAAUAUGAAAAUUUUUCACGAGCAUUGGUUUGAAAAUGAAUUAUUGGUGAAUUUUUUAAUCUCGAGGCUGUACUGCAGAAUUUAUGGAGUUUCUGCAGCACAUUCCAUUCGAUUUUAUUUUUAGCCCACUUGUAAAAUCGUAAAAAUUAUGGAAUUUUAGAGGACAGUAAAUUUAUAUGUCUACUUCAUUUCUGAAAAUUUUCAUGCACAUUAGAGGAAGAUUGAAGUUUUGGUGAAUUAUUUAGUCUCGGGUAUGUUUUGCAGAAUUUCUGUUGUUUUAGCAGCACAACUUAUUUCGAAUUUGUUUUUAGUACACUUGUAAAAUCUCAAAAAUGAUAAAAUUUUGGGAAAUAAAAUAUUGUUAUGUUUACCUUAUGUCUGAAAAUUUUGAUGCAUAUCGGAUGAACAAUGAAUAUUUGGUGAAUUUGUAAUCUCAGGUAUGUACUGAACAUUUUCUGCUGUUUCUGCAGCACCUCUCUUUUCGAAUUCAUUUUUGGCUCGCUUAUAAGAUUUUAAAAAUCAUAAAACUUUGCAAAAUAGUAGUCAUAUAUGUCUAGUUCAUACUUGAAAAUUUUCAAGACAAUCUAAAGAGAAUUGGGUUUUUAGUGAAUUUGCAAACUAAAGUAGUACUGUUGAGUUUUGGUACUUCAAAACUAGUUUUGUUAUGUGAUAUUAUUUCACUGAUUUGUGCAUAUCUAUUGGUUAUUUUAUGCAAAUUCUUAAUACUAAUGACUUUUAUAGACAACACUGAUUAAAUUUUUAUUUAAAGAUGUAUUGGUUUAUUUUGCUUAGACGAAUGUUUUGUUUGGUCAUCAAUUUUGAUUAUGAUGAUAAUUGUCUUUUGAGAGAAAAUUGGAAAAUGGCAUAAGUUUACUAAUUGAUCAUUUUGGUCCAUAUCGAAUAACUGAGUAACCAUGUUUCCUCUUUCCAGAACUCUAUUGUUCAAUGUCAAUAACGACAUAUUUUUGUGUUUGAUUGAAUCUUUUGAGAAUCAUUGAAUAUCCAAAUACUGUUCUAAAUGAUUAUUUUGAAAAAUCAGAAUUCUAAUUUAUAUGGUGAAUACUUUUGUCCCAAUGGGAAUUUUAGAAAAUCACUCACCAAUUAUAAAUUAGUAUUAGAGCAAAUCAUAAAGUACUUCACAUAUUUUCAUCUGGCCAAAGCUGUUGAAGCUAUAUGUAUUUUGUGUAUUUUAUGUUUUGGCUAGCUAUGCAUGUACUUUCUUUGCAUGAUUAGUUUCUACCCAAAGGUGUAACAAUCAUGCAAUUGGCAAUUCGUUUGAUCCUCCACAACUCGACUGCUUCCAUGAUGAAUCUUGCAGAAUCGAGAAUGAGUAGGUAAAUUUGCCAAAUCUUUUGCCUUAAUUUUCUUUGAGUUCUAAAUUAGAUUAAAAUUAUUGUUGAAAAAUUGAUAUUAUUGAGAUAUCUAAGUGUUUAUUUUAAACGACUUUGUUUUAGAAUUAAAACAUAAAUUUUGAAUUUGGAUUCUCUUAUUAGGUUUCAUUUUAAUGUAUGACAUAAUCUUUAACGCAUAUGUGAGUCUUCUCUCAUACACUAAAAUAAAAUUUGUAGUCAAUGCAUAAGAUUUUAUUUAUUUAUGGAACUUUUUAAUUCUAACCUACUUAAAUAUAUAUAUAUAUAUAUAUAUAUAUGUAUGUAUGUAUUUGAUCUUUAUUGAUUCAACUAGCCUAUAUUUUGUUAUAUGAAAACCAUUUUCUCUAGUGUUUAAUCUUGCAGUUUUGAGUGUUUGCCCAAGUGGGAGAAAUAAUGUAUUAUGGGGUUCACACUCAUAAUUUUUUGCAUGCUUUUAAUGGUCAUAGUUUUGGUAGAUAAAACGUACAUUAUCAUACUUGUUUAUAUUUUAUCUGUUAUAUAUGCAAUUAAUCUUGUAGGAAAUUCAAGAAGGGUUAAUGAGUAUAUUCUGCUCAAAAGUGUUUUGCUUAUUAAUUCUUGCUGUUCAAGGAAUUGGACUCGUGAUUUAUAUGUUAUUGAUGGAUAAUUAAUCUGCUCAAAAAUGUUUUCUUAUUCAGUACAACUAUAAAUCAAUGUAUAGUGAAGCAUGGAAUUGACAAGAUGGCAUAUACUUCAUCUGCUCAAAAGUGUUGAAGCUAUAUACGUUUACCCUUGUAUUUUAUGUUUUAGCUAUGUAAACCUAAUAUAAUUAGUUUCUGUUAUAUGCUUUUGAUGCAAUAGAAAACAUUUAGUUAAAGUUUUCUAUUUCUGUCAGAUGUUAGAUGAACAAAACUGACCAAAUGAUUUUGUAUAGUUUUUCAGUCACAAGAGUCACCUCCCUACAGAUAUCUAGAAUAAAGAUGUUGAGCUCACAAAUUUUAUGUUUUAGAUCUCAUGACUAAUAUUUUGCUAAUGGGAGUAUUUGAAAGGUAUAUGUUUCAUUUUGUAGACAUUGACAAAGUUUUUGUUUUUUACUCUCUUAAUCAGUGGGAGUAAUAAUAAUUUAUAUAAUUUUGUCUCUUUUAAUCAGUGGGAGUAAGUGAUUACCUUUUGUGUUAAAAAAUUUGAAGUGUUAGUUGCUGAUACUUUAAGAGUAAUUUUGUUUAAAUUUUGUUCAUAAGUUUUAAUAAGAGGUCCUGAUUUUGUAAACAGUAUGUCGUAUUUUACUUGUUCUCUUAUUAUAUUCUAAAUUAACAGAAAAGUUGGAUUUAGUUACCAACCUUGUUGAGUUCUUUUGUGAACUACUUUUGUACUAAAAUAUAUUUCCAUAUUUUCAGUUCGACUAUUGUGAGCUAAUGUUUUGACUAUUAGCUCUUGAUAUCAUGACUUUGUUAGUAACAUAGUGCUUUGAGUUAAGUGUGAAUGUAAUCAUGGAGUGCAAGGAACUGUCCAAUGUGUGCCUUGUUUUCCUUGGUUCUGCAUUUAGUCUCAAAGUGACAAGUUACUUGAAAUGUAUGAUUGCAUACUUUAGUGGACUCAAGUGAUCACCAUAUAUAUUUAUCUCGUUGAGGUAUUCUCAUUGGCAUUCAAGUGGGAGAAUGCAAAACCAUUUUGUGAAUGGCAAUGAAUUAUGCCGAGAAUAAUAGAGGGAAUAGUUGACUUGGCAAUCAAGUUAAUGAAAUCUCUAGGACUCUCGGUGCCUUAAGGAAAUAAACAUAUUGGAGUCCUAAUUACAUGCAAUCAAUUAAGGGCCUUUAUUAAGUAAAUACAAGGAAUAAAAGUCAUGAUGGGACUAUAAUUGAUGAGAUAUGAUUUGGGUUGAUAUCCUUUCCGAUAAUAGGGAAGAAUUGAUUGAAACCCUAGCUAUAUAACCUAGGAGCUGUCCCUGCUUCCAUACCGAUAGAAACUCAUGAAAACUAUAAGCCUAUUUCAAUAGUAGAGUUCAUUGAGAGGUACUGGAAGUAGAAGACUACUUCUACUUUGUUCGCAAGGAUCAAUGGCUUCACCUUCAUAACCAUGUCUUCCGAAUUCUACAGAUAAGUUCAAUAUAAUUAGUCGAUCUCUAUUUCAUAUUGAUUUGAUUUAUUCGUGAUCCUAAUGUCUUGUUGUUGUGAUUUCAGAAUAUGUCUUACAAAGAACGUAUGGAAUAUUGGGAUACACGUGACAUCAAAUAGUGAAGCAUGCAGAUGAUUGUCAUACAACUGCAAAUGGACUAAUGCAUGCACGAAUAGAUCCUAUAGAAGCCUAGAUAGGCUUGGCUUUUAGUAGUGAUGUGAUAAGCCUAGGAUUUGAUGGUGGAGAGAGAAGCCUAGGUAAGCUAGGUCUUUGGUCAUGAUGGGAUAAGCCUAGAUAGUUUUUAUAUUUUGUUUGAAAAGUCAGCUAGCCUAUGCCACAGAUCAGAUUUCAUUCUGCGAGGUAGAGUUACAGUCGGACUCUGCAACAUUAUAUGACCGUGCAAGCCAAGUACUUCAGUCCUAUAAAUAUAGAUGCAAUGGCAACGAGAUGAGUCCUCCAAUUCAACACACAACUGCCCUGCGUAAAUUCUCUCAACAACCUUGAGAUUUUUUCUUUUCUUUUUUGCCGACACAUCUUCAGUUAGCAUAAGCAGCAUUGUGAAGGCAACCGAUGAUAUCUUCAGUUGGCAUAAAUAACAUUGUCGCCGUAGAAUCAGCCAAUCUCACAGCAUCUUCAGUCGGCAUAGACAACACUGCGUCGAGGGGUGACUGGUUAUCUAUCCAAGUCUCAGUUGAGAAGGAUUUCCAAAUCCUUGUUGGUUGAGGUCAUCUCAUCAGCCUUCUCGGCGAAGUGAGGUGUUACAGUUUAUUGGGCUCGGCACAUAGCACGCCGAGUUAUUUUAUGAUUGGAUACUCUUAAGUGGGAUUUAGAGUUCGGCACUUCGACGGUUGAACCACGUUUACUGUUAAGACUUAUAUCCGCUUUGAGUAUUUGUACCCUUACACUUUAGUGUCGAUUCGGCGUGAGUUUACUCUGACGAAUACCAUCACAGUGACCGAAUCCGACGGCGACGAUUUGUGAACUUUGUAAGAAUAGUAGCCUUGUCAUCAUGUUUGAAAACCCAGGAGGCCGAGACGCGUUCCUUCUUUGGCCGCAAUCGCAAGACGUAGAAGUCAGCCGCGUACCCAACGCAACAUCAUCAUAUUUUACUCCUCGGUCGAGCUCGGCCGACGAGUUGGCAUGCCCCGCAUUCAACCAAAGGACAUAGUUAGCUCAUAAAUUACUUGGUCUGCGCGACACGUAGACUUGGUAGUUUUUAAGGUCAACAAUGCCAUAAAUAAUAUUUUCAAAUAGGAUAAUGUUAGAAAUACCAAAUUUUAAACCAAAAUAAACACGUUAAUCGACACUUAAUUAUUAAUUCGAUCAUCUACAAUCACAUCAUUUAUUUACAAAUUUAAUUUAAAAUUUAUUUUCUCCCUAACAUUACCCUCUCAAAUAAUUCCACUUAUUGCAUCGUUUUCACAUACUUAUCAUUUUACCAGCCAAAGACCACGUGAAUGUGAAUGUAGUCCUAAUCUCAUAAAAAUAGCUGCUAACGUGAAUGUAAUAAUUAUGUCUUGCUUUUUCAAAACUAGAAAGUCUAUAGGCCAAACCCCAUCUCCAUAGGUUUGUCUACCACUUUGUGACCAUAUCACAUGGUCAUCUCAAUUUUUUGGCUAAAUUUUUUUCUUGAUAAUUGUAAUGAGACAUUACUUUUAAAUCGAUCUAUGUGAUGAAAAAGUGUUAAUUUUAAUCCUGUGAUGAAGUUCGUUAUCAAUCGUAAUCCAAAUUAAAAUUUCUGUCAAAAUCUCAUCCACAUGCAGGGAUAAAAAAGUCAUUCCAUUCUUAUUUCUUUUCUUUUUGGUAAUUCCACUUUUUUUUUUUUAUAAUCAACAAAAAUAGAAGGAAAAAAAAAAAAUCCUCCCCAAUCCCUACCUUUGUCAGCCAUAGCAACCACCGACCACCUUCCCCCGCUCUCUCUCUCACAAAACCUUAGCCAUCCCGUCCACCACUGUUCUUCUUAAAAUGAAACUAAAUUCAAUGUUUGCAUAAUAACUUAUAUACUAACCUAAAUGCGGCGAGGUACGUUGUGAUUUUUUAAAUCUUGAAUUUGGACUAUUGGCUCUCUUAAAAUGAGAAAGUCUGAUAAUAUGAACUUUGUAAUUUUAUUGUUUAUUUAUUCUUUUAUUGUAGUUCUAAAAGUUUUAAAAAUAAAAAUAAAAAUUAUGUCUAUUGGUGCUUUAUGCUUGGUUGAUGGAAUCAAUAAAAAUGAAAAUAACAAUUUUGCCCCUAUAAAUGACAGAAGAAUGAGGAAAAAUCCAAUUUGGAUUAUGAUUGAUAACGAAUUUCACCAUAGGAUUACAAUUAAAUGCUUUUUCACCACAGAUGUCUAUUUAAAAGUAAGGUAUCACCACAAGGAUCACGAAAAAAAUUUGGCCCAAAAUUUUUUUCUGACUGAGGAUCUUCUCUCUGGAUUCUCUUUGUGAGGAUUUUGAGAAGUUUCAAAUCAUGUUCGUUCAUUGUACAUUAUACAGUCAGUUUUUAUCAUGUACUAUAUAUGUUUAAUUUUAAAUAAAAAUAUUUAAGAUAAUUUCUAAUUGCACAAUGUACGAUAAACGGAUAUAAUUUAAAGAUUCUCAAGAUCAUCACCCAAAAAAUCCGAAGAGAAUCUUCAUUCAUUUUUAUCAAAAUCCUCCAAACUGUUCACGUGGACUUCAAAUUGAACCUGGAUCCACUCCGGACCCAAAAAAUAUGAGCCCAAGGAUCAAAUGAUUUGGGCCGUUGAAAUUUGAUCCAACGGCUACAAUUAUUAUAACUUUUAGAGGAGCUCUUGUUUGUAGCCGUUGUAUCAAAUUUCAACGGCCUGAAUUAUUUGAUCCUUAAGCUAAGAUUUUUUUAGUCCGGAGGAGAUCCAGGUCCUUCAAAUUAUGAUAAUCCAAAAACCUACCAGCACUUUGUCCUGCUGCCACCUAAGUCACCAAUAGAAACUAAUCGUUAUCCCAUCCCCAAGCCGAUCCUCAUCCCAUCGUUUCUAAGAAUAAGGAUUCUCUCUGAAUUCUCUUUGUGAGAAUCUCGAAAAUCUUUAAAUCGUGUUCGUUCAUCAUAUAUCGUGUGACCAGUAUUUGUCAGGUACGGUUCAUGUUUAAUUUUAAAUAAAAAUAUUUAAAAUGAUUUCUGACCGCACGAUGUACGAUAAAAAAAUACGAUUUGAGGAUCUCAGGAUCCUCACAAAGAGAAUCCGGAAAUGAUCCUCACUCCUUUUCUAAUUGCCAUCCUAAUUCUGCUUGUGUUAACGUAAUUCGAAACGGAGUCCCACAUAACUUGUCUGUCUCACAGCCAAAAAUUCUACAAAUAAUGACAAUUAUCUUCAAUCGAACGUGUAAUAACGGGGUUCUUCUUUCAUUCAACGACAUAAAUCAAACGGGCCGAUAGUACAAGUUCAAACAGAUACCGCAAAGAAAGUUAGGGUUUCAUCAGAAAACUAAUUGAUAAUAUAGAAAGUAGUCCAAUCUAUCCUUGCAAGAUUUUUUCUUUCACCGAGAGACUUUUUUACCUUCACAUCUUCACAAAACAAGCUGUUCAUACUUGAUAUUCUUUCAAACUAACUUGCUUUCAAUGUAAUUGGGUUGAGGGUGAAGACUAGGUAUAUGAGAUAUCCGACGUAUUAAUCCAUAAAACCUAGCAAAGAAACGAAAUUUUAGACAAUGUGCAAAGCUACCAGAAUGCUGAGACAUGCAAAACAUUAUGCCCGGAGAAGCAAAACACAGUCGAAAUUAUGCCGAUACAUGUAACAGAUUGAUAUUUACGAACCUUUUUUUGGACAAUUUACUAUUUAAUUAUGAAUUUCUACUAGAGAGAGGAAGAAAGAAUUAUUUAGGUUUUUUAACUAAAAUAAUUCAUGAAAUUUGCAUAACUUUUCAAAUUGGUCCAUGAAAUUUGAAAUAGAUAGAAUUGGUUCCUGAGCUUGUCCACAAUCAAUCAUUUUGGUCAUUCUGUGAAAAAAUCUCCAUAAAAUAAGAAUAAAAUGACAAAAAAACCUUCAAUUUUGGUCAAAUCAUUUAGGCUUAUUGUUUUUAAAUUGAGGGUAAUUUUGUUAUUUUGAUCAUUAUUUAACAUAAUUUUUCACACAAAGACUAAAAUGAUUGAUGGUAGACAAUCUCAAUGAUUACUUCUAUUGAUUUCAAAUCUCCCAGACCAAAGUGAGGAGUUAUAAAAAUUUCAGGGACUAUUUUGACUAAAAAACCAAUUAUUUAUUAAUGCCCUCCGUUUAUGUAGCUAGUCAAUGAGAGAUUUUUCAAUAUGACCGAAACACGGAUGGUACACCACGUGUCACUAUACAAAUGGUGAAAUAUGUAUAUUAAAAAGUUAAUAACUUAAAAAAUACAAAUUUCCACUAUUUAUAAAAAAAAUAUGUAAUGUAUUGUUCCGAUUACAAUGAAAAAUUUCCCCUAAUCAAGGUCGCCGGUGAAAUAAAGAGAGAGACGGAAACAGCUGACACGAAAGUGAGAAGAAAGGAUUUAUUGCUUAAUUGUUGUGUACGAACCAGGAUCCUAACCGGAUCCAUUCCCCAGGGAUCCUGGAGAUUCCGCAAUUGUGUUCAUUCAACGUAUAUGGUGCGGUCAGUUUUUGUUAGACACUAUUUAUAUUUGAAUUCUAAAUUUUAAAUUUUAAAUGAUUUCUGAUCGCAUAAUAUACAAUAAACGGACACGAUUGCAGGAUCCCUAGGAAUGGAUCGGGCGAGGAUCCUGGUUCGUUGUGUAACGGCUACCUUUUUUAUUCUUUUUCUUUCUUUUGACUCUGUACAGUAUUAGGGGGGUGUAUUCAAUCGAGAAUUUGAGAGACUUUAAUGAAUUUAUAAAUCCAUGGAUUUUUAUAGAGUUUAAUUGAUUUGUGGAGAUUCCAUAUAAAAUUUUGAUUCAAUUCCUUCGAAAUCUCGUGGGGAAAGGUGAGAUUUAUGGAUGCUUAAAAUACAUUACAAAAUCUCUCUAAUUCUCUUUAAUUCCUCAACUUUCUCAAAUUCUUUAAAAUCAAUUUCUAAUUAAAUACACUUAGAAUGUUAUAAACUUCUUUAAAAUCCUAAUUGAAUACACCUGGAUUUCUAAGGAUUUUAAUCAACUAUCUUAAAAUUCUAAUUGAAUACACCUUGAAUUUAAGAGAAUCACUUACAAUUCUGAUUGAAUACCCCUAGAUUCAUUAAAAGAAUUAAAAUCCCUCAAAAUCCCAAUUGAAUACACCUGACUUAGUGUAUAGUCAAUGGAAUUCCUAUAUCAUAUUAGAUGUUUUGGACUAUAUAUACAAGAGUUUUCUUCAACCAGAAAAGGAAGAUUGAAGGAAGUUUUUGUUGCAUAGUUCGGAGUCUGGAUUGAUCUCUGUGCUCCGUUUUCCAUUUCUCUUUUCUUUACUGUACGGGCUUCCCUCAGCCCGCUCCCUCCUCCCUCGUCAGAAAUGGAAACCGGGCCACUACCCUCCCGCUCUCGCUCGUUAGAAAUGGAAAACGAGCCACUCCACUCCUCCUCGUCAGACACUAAAACAGAGCCAUUCCCCUUGGAAAUCGAGCCACCACCCUCCGAGCUACUUCCCUCCCCCUCGUCAGAAAUGGGGACCGAGCCACUCCCCUCCCCCUCGUCAGGAAGGAAACCAUCUAGGUUGACGUGCUGUGGUAAGCAGACCUACAUAUCCUUUCGAGUACUCACUACUUGUUGGGAAAUGAUUAGGGGACACUUUCGUUUCCCUUCUGCACACUUCCGUUUAUUUAUGUUCUUUAAUUCUCUUUUUAUUUAUUUAAUUUAAAAGCAAGAAGUAAACAUAGAAUUGCAAUCACGACACGUAUAGCAGAUUGUUUUAGGGGUAGCUAUUUCAUGUUAUGGCUCUCCAGAUUUGCCUUCAUCUGUGUAAGUAUUUUCCGAUUAAAAAAAAUCAUGUUUGAUUGUUACUUGUGUAAUAUAUGUGAACACUGUUCUAAACAUUGGCUCUGGUCGGUGGAGUGCCACCUAAAUUUAGUCGAAAUUGUCAAGGAAAGUCGGAAAGCUUAUUAGGCGGCUGCUGGGUGGAUUUAGGCGGAAUUAAGCAGGGCUAGGCGGGGAUAAGUCGCUUUGUGGAGAACAGAAUCUGGAAAACUUUUGUUGCUGAGCGCUGGAAACUGCGAAGAAGAUGAAGCUUUGUUUAUACCUGCACGUCGUCGUUUUGUUUUGAUGUUUUUUAUCUUUUCAAUAGGGGUGGAUGCAGGUUGGAUUGGGUUGAUUACUGAAACCAAACCGACCUAGUCGGUUGAGUUAAAAUUGAAAACCGAAACCGAUCAAGCCGGAUGUAAACCGAUCAUGUCGGUUAACCGACGAUGGAGGGUUGGUUUAGGUCAGUUCUCGGUUUGUGGAUGGCGCUGGAGUGGGAGAUAGAGAGGUGUCAUCUGGAGAGAUUCACGAUGGUGAUGGAGGAAGGAAGAAUGGAGGACGCGGUGGCUGGGGGGCUGCUGUGCUAGGUUUGAAAACUAAGUCUGAAAGUGAGAGAAAAGAGAGAUUGUUCGAAAGCAAACUCAUUUAAUAAAAAUGGAGGAGAAACCAGGAAGAGGAUCCUUUCCGGAGGAUCUAGAGCCAUUCAUCGUAUAUCGUGCUGUCAGUUUUUGUUAGGUAUUAUUUGUGUUUAAUUUUAAAUAAAAAACUCAAAUAAUUUCUGACCACACGAUGCACAAUAAAUGGUUAAGAUGUGAAUAUUUGUAAAAUCACCACAAUUUAAAUCCAGUUGGGAUCCAAAUUCGAAAAACCACUCAAACCCUCUAGAACUCACGGGUUGUUUUGUUCAUUGGAUUCCUUUUUUUAUUAUUAAUUGAACACACCCAUUUAUUGUGAAGUUGUUGAAAAUGAACUUCUCAUGGUCUGCGAAACUUGUUAUUUGGCCUCCAUGAACACUCCCAUUACCAAAUUCCUCGAUUGUUCAUGACUUCAAGAUGCUAACAGAGGAUGAACAUACUUGUCAUCUCUUCUUUCUGCUCUUUCUUUGCCCUUGAUCUUUUGGCGAUUGGUUAGAACUUAGAGGGCACUUUGGCCUUGUUUGUAUCUUUAUCUUCUGGAUUUGAGAAAGAUUUUCUUCUCAUCUUCAAUGUCUUUGAUCUCCUUUUGAUUUGGCAAAUUCUUUGGAUUUUCUGGAGUGCCCCAUUUUUCAAGAAAUUUGCUUUUUUUUUUGUUUGUUUGUUUUUGAUGUGCUAACAAGAAUGUCACUUUGUGCUCUCUCUUUGCAGUCUUUUUUAAGUGUGGCAUAGGAUGAUGAAUCCUCAUGUGCUCCUCACUGUUAACUUUUGUAUUAAAAAAAAAAUAUAAUAACUUUGACUGUAUAUAGCUAGUAAAAGAACAUUAACCAUAGUUAUUUGGAACCAUGAUCUAAAAUAUUCAUAAUAUCCCGAUAUUUUCAUCGAAAUUUCCGUGUUUUUGGACUACCGAUAUUUUUUUGGACUAUCGAUAUUUCCGAUAUCAUCGAUAUUUUAGACCUUGCUAAGUCACUCAUGUAUCUUACUAUGCAAUGUAUAAAGUGUAAAAUAUUAUACUAAUUCAUUAUAUAUAAAUGAUUUUGGUGUGUUUAAACUUCUUUCAUUAAUUACUACAUACUUUCUACACUCACAAUGUUUGCCAACUAGUUAUAUAAUCAACUUAAAUCAGUUAUAUCUAUCAUGUCCUUCCAAUUUUUAUGAUAAACUAAUAGACAAUUGACUAAAUAAACAUCCUACAAAGUUUCAAUAAAAAAUUCCAAGUUUUUCUUACAAUUUCCGUGGUUUUUAUUCAAUUUUUAUCGAUAUCGAUAAUAUCCUGAUAUUUCCAUCGAAAUUUCCAUAUUUUUGGAUUACCGAUAUUUCCGAUAUCAUCGAUAUUUAAUACCUUGUAACUAACAAAUGCAGGGGUUUGGUCUUUUGACAAUGUCAACACCACCUGUCCUUGCUGUAGUAACAGGCCGUUGCAGCUCAUUUGUGCCCCAGUGCAUUGGCUUAGUCCAUAAAAAUCUCUUUUACACAGCAUUGCUUCUAUUAGCUAUUGGAGUGUCGACUCACUCGUCCUCCUUGCCUCGGUUCAAAGAGGACCAGUUCCAGUUCACAACAAAAAAGCAUUACAAGUCAUGUUCAUGGCAGCAGUUCUCGUAUGUGACACUAGCCUUCGUCGUCCCUGCUGUUACCGUUUAUGCAGUUGGUUAUUCGAAGUCUUGGUUGAUUAAGUUUGGGACAGGAGCAUUAACUACCGUGGUAUCUACACUUAUUUUCUCAAUCGGUUUAUAUUCAUAUAAAUCCCCUAGUGGACGUUGGAGCUAUCUUACUGGAAUUUUUGUUAGCAUACAGACUAUGAUCUUGUAUGUAAGUUUCAAUCAACAAUCUAUGAAUACUGAAGAAAAGAAAAUGAGAUUUCUAGAGAGAGAGAGAGAGAGACAAGCUUGAAGAAGAAGAAAGGACUCUACUCUAUUUGAUUCAUACGCACACUAAGCACAUGUAGCAAGAGCUGAUAUUACUUAAUCUAAGAUUACAUCUUAGCUGCACACUUGGACUAUGAUCCAAGGGCUGAUAUUUAAAGCUGAAUUCUUAUUACAUUUCAGCAUAUACACUUAUAAACUAACACUCCCUUCUAAGCGAUGUGCUGAAAUCACUCCCAAAGCUGUCCUCAGUAAUUCAAACCGAUCCCUUGCCAAAGCUUUAGUGAAGAUGUCUGCAACCUGUUCUUCAGUCUUGCAGUAUACCAGGUCAAUUUCACCAUCUUGAAGUGCAUCUCGGAUAAAAUGAAAUUUCCGAUUAAUGUGCCUGGUUUUGUGAUGAUGAACUGGAUUCUUUGAUAUGGCAAUUGCUGAAGUAUUAUCACACAACAACUUAGUUGGUUCUGCUUGUUCUUCCCCGAAAUCAGAGAGUACAAAUCUUAGCCAAAUGGCAUGUGCAGUAGCUUCUGCUGCACUAAUGGAUUCUGCCUCUGCAGUUGAAAGAGCAACACUGCUUUGUUUGAUUGAGGCCCAAGAAAACACACCAGAACCAAGAUUAAAUGCAUAGCCAGAUGUACUCCUCAUGUCAUCUUCACUUCCACUCCAAUCACUAUCACAAUAACCAACUAACACUGCUCCUUUGCCCUUCUCAUAAACAACUCCAUAGUUCACAGUGCCUUGUAUGUAUCUCAGAACUCUCUUAGCUGUCCCCAUAUGCUUCUUGGUAGGAUUGUGCAUAAACCUAGCCAAUAGACUUGCUGCAAACAUGAUAUCUGGCCUUGUUGCUGUCAAAUAUAGCAAACUUCCAAUCUGCAAGGCAACCGAGCUAGGCCCAGCGCGAGCUAGCCCGAGCCACUACCUCAGCAGCACAAGCCCAAGCAGCUGCGGUAGGAGAAGCAGCCUAGCGCUCGCAGGCCCAGCGCCCACGCGCACCAUACGCAGGGCAAUCCACGCCAAUUGCCCGUCCCACUCCAGCAGUCCAAUCCGAGGCCCAACCCACUCUCGUGGCCCACCAAGCAAUCCCAAUUGGUCCAAGAUCGAUUCAACUAUCCCGGCUUCAGAUUUCUAGAUCGACGAUUAAACCGAGGUAUUUUCACCCAAUUUCUCCGUAAAUUUAACAUCCCAACUCAUAUCUCGCGGUCGGAGUCCAUUACACUUCCACUACUCAAGGAGAUGUAUUCCGUCUAAGCUCUUCCAACUCGAAUGGCUAACAACAAUUAUCUCGACAAGUAAUAGAGUUGACAAGCGCCCUCACACAACAGAUAACCUUGAUGAAUCAGCUCUUGCAGCGCACCGAGAUGCAAGAGGUUUUCAUGUCGCACAGUAGACAACCUUGAUGAAUCAUCUCUUCUUCAUACCCUUUCUUUGCCCUUGUUCUUUUAGUGAGCGGUUAGAACUUGGAGGGCACUUUGGCCUUAUCUUGUAUCUUUUUCUUCUUGACAUGAGAAAGAUUUUCUUCUCCUCUUCAAUGUCUUUGAUCUUCCCUUUUGGAUUUGACAAAUUCUUUGGAUUUUCUGGACUGGCCCUAUUUUUCAAGAAGUUUGCCAUUUUUUUCUUUUUGAUGUGCUAACAAGAGUGUUACUUUGCUCUCGUUGCAGUCUUUUUUAAGGUGUUGCAUAGGAUGAAUCCUCAUGGAGCUAGUAGAAGAAUAUUAACCAUAAUUAUUUGGAACUAACAAAUGCAGGGGUUUGAUCUUUUGACAAUGUCAACACCACCAGUCCUUGCUGUAUUAACAGGGAGUUGCAGCUCAUUUGUGCCCCAGUGCAUUGGCCCAGUCCAUAAAAUUCUCUUUUACACAGCAUUGCUUCUAUUAGCUAUUGGAGAGUCGACUCACUUGUCCUCCUGGCCUCAGUUCGGCGAGGACCAGUUCAAAACAGAAGAGGUUUUCAUGUCCAAGACAGAAAAGGUUUACAAACGUUCAUGUCAGCUUUUCUCAUUGGCGACACUACUGUUGGUCGUCCCUGUUUGUGCUGUUAUAGCAGUUGGUUUAUUGAAGUCUUGGUUGAUUAAGUUUGGGAUAGGAGCAAUAUCUACAGUGGUAUCUACACUUAUCUUCUCAAGCGGUUUAUAUUCAUAUAAACGCCCCAGUGGAGAGUCUAGCCAUCUUAAUGGAGUUUUUACUAUCAUACUGGGCAGCGGUAUUCCAGCAGUUAUGUUUUUCAUAGUCUCAUGUAUGGCCGUUGUCCCAUCAGGUGUUAUUGCUUCUAUUGGAAAUACUUUCUUCAUGGAACAAGCAACCGACAUGAACCAUUACAUUGGGAGGCCCAGAGUUCCUACUAUUAUCCUUCCUGCGUAACAACUGUUGGUGAAAUUAUUUGUAAAGCUACGAAAACAAGAUUCUAAAGUUAUCUUUGCCUUCCCUGGGAUUAUAGUAUCACAGCUGCAAAGGUGGAGACCCGAAGGUUAGACGUGGUGAAGAGCCACGGUUUCAUUGACAAACCUGAGGAAACAAUUCCCAUGACCAUGUUCUGGCUGCUUCCACAGUUUCUUCUUCUCGGUUUGGCUCAAGAGAUUGGCAAACAAAGCAUUGCGAAUCUAUGUUAUGCUCCGCUGUGGUGGUUUUUUAGGAGCCGAUCAUUCUGCAAAUACAUGCAAACCGUGGCUGACGCUGUCAGUGGAGUCGGAUAUAUAGGCGGGAUGUCUGCAGCUAAUCUGGUAUCCUUCUUUUUAGUCCUUCUUUGGAUUCUUCUGCAGCGGCGUUUUUUAUUUUCCUGAAAUUUGACAUGCUUGUAAGUCCCACUUCUCUUCUUAGAAUGAAUUUCCUUGUUCUUAGCCAUAAAAGCCUCAAACUAGUUGUUGCAAAUGCGAGGAAGAUCAAGUGUUGUUAGCUUUGUACCAAGUGGAAUUCUCGUGCUAAAUGAGACAUUUCUCUUUUAGUUCCCUGCGUCUCGAAUUCAAACUCUCUAUUUCUUGACAACGGCCCAUAACAUUUUUCGGGACUAGGAUUGAACUAAGCAAAUUUCCCAACUAAGCCAGUGUCAUAUUUUACAAAUUUGGAUUGGCUUUUAUAAUAAUUUUGAUCGUUGCUAAGCAAGCUUUUUUAAUUAGGAAAAUUAAUGAAAAAGAUUUGAAAACUUUGAAUUUUAAUGAUAAGGACAAAAUAAAGGGUAAAGUAAAUAGUAACAUGAUUAAGUUUUUAGUAUAAAAAUAUGAUUUUUCGUUAAAAUGAACAGUACCGAGAGCUUUUCGUUAAAGUUCCCUUUUUAAUUUCCAUUUUCCGAAACAUAUAGUUUACCUCAGCGAGGCACACAUGGUCUCUCACAAGUCACAAAACGCCCUACCUAAAGCUUCAUCAUGCCUGUUCCUAACGUAGCGCAAAACAUGUACUUGCUCAUAGAGGGAUGCAGCUAAUUGUUGAAAAUACUGGCAAAGCUGACAUCACCACUUCCGUCGACGGCACCACCGGAAAGGUGCUCUGAACAGCUAGAAGCCUAGAACACACGCAUGGGGAUGGUCUCGAGCAUCUUUUCAAUAAAAUCUUGUUUCCUCACCGCAUCUAGCCUCCGAGUAUCCACCUGUGAAGCAACAACUCUACAUUGUACAGAAAGUACAAUCGAUGCUGCCUACUGUGUGGGGUUCUUGAUUUUGAUUUGAAGAUGUAUAUUUCUGAUCUUGAUCCCGGUUUUGACAUGUUCAAGAAACAAUGUUUCUGGCAAACUACAUAUUAACCGGGCACCUGCAUUUUAAGAAGGAAAAUGUUAUUCUUACCAUAAAAAAAAACUUGCAGCAAGAAGUUUUCAUAAAUUUAUUUACUCAUAAUGUUUUGCUGGUAUAUCAUAAAGUUACUUGAGACUUGAGAGGUUUCAUAAAAAAACCAAUGCAUUCGGGAUUCAUAUACAUUGCAGGCGCUUGUAGCCUUCACGAAAAUCCCUAACCCUCGCAUGACACAAGUUUUGGUCCUCUGGUGUGAGAAGCCAAUGUGGUAAAGUCUUUCAAUAUGUUACAACUACCAUGUAAAUAAAUUUGACAAUGACCCACAAAACAAAUUAACAAAACGAAUCUAGGAGCCUUAUCAGUGAGGAUGAAGUUUUAUACGUUUAUUAUGUGGGAUAACAAACUUGUGCCGUGUGUAAUAUCAACUACGUGCCAAACAGAUCCAGGUUAUAUAAACCGUACAAUGGAGACUAAUCAGUGACAAGUUAUUUCUAGGAUUGUAUUCUGGGACAUGAACUUACCCGAUGAGACUGGAAAGCAACAUCAAUGAUUACCAUAAUAUUAUCCAGAAGCAAAUAGAAAAUAGCAUGCCUGAGGGCAUGGAAUAUAAGAGGGAUUUAAGUUUCAACCGCUGCUCACAAAAUUAUAAGAGGCAUUUAAGUUCCAACACCGGAAUGCGAUGAUAAAAGUAACAAUCAACCAUUAGAAAAUAUUCCACGGAGAAUUCAGAAACAAAUCACCUAAAAUAUGGGUUCAACUAAGAAGCAGAUAACAUUGUCCGAAAAUGUGCUUACUUACCAUCAUCGCAAAUUGGUUAGGGAUGUACAUGUCUGCAACAAGUGCUCCUUGCAUCUGCAGAAUUAAACUCCAAGCAAUGAAAUGAAUGCAAUGACGAUAACUAAUAAGCAAGCGGAAACAGAGCAAAUUUCAUGAUUUAGAGUGGCAUGGUGGAAAAAUCUGAAAGUGGUUACAAUGGAAACUGAAGCCAUCCGAGAUUAAGCUAUCUGAAAGCCUCCAAUCUUCCAAAGAGCUAUAGCUACAUAGAGAAGCAAACUGCUCAUAGUUGACAUUCCUUCAUACUAACUUCCCUUGUCAUGGAAUCCCAUUAGGAAAAGGUUUGAGUUUGCUUUGUUAGAAUUGGCCAAUUGGCUUAUCGGUGAAGACCAGGUGAAUGAGACAUCCGAAAUAUUCUUAAAACGAAGCAAAGAAACGAAAUUUGUGACAAUGUGCAAAGAUACCAACAUGCCGAGAAACGCAAAACAUAGUAGCAACGAAGUGUUAUCACACAGAUUACAAAGCCUCUCCUUUGGAGUCACAAAACCGAAAUUGCACCCGAAGAUUGAGAGCUUUCCCACACCUCAAUGCCCUCAACAUCUUCCCUAAUAACAAACAGCCUAUCGCCGCCACCUUCGAUUUUCUUUAUAAUCCCUCUCUCAGAAUCCUCAACUUUAUCAACAAAAUUCCUCCUAUACCACCCCUCACAAACCCCAUUUUCUAUUUCCACCCUGCGUUCUGCCUCUGCCACCUUCGACCAAACCUCCAACCCACCUUCCCUCCCCACAAACACUUGCUUUCUGUAACACCUCACCACACUAUUGUUAUUUCCACCCGUCCCAUCUCCGCCGGUGUACCUCAAGCUUGGGUUCUUGUCUUGUAAAUAUACCCACGGAUCAUCCCCUAAUUUACGCAAGUCUGCCACUGCCAAGUCGCCGGACUUUGAACACAACUUGAACAGGGUCGACUCCUCAACGUCGGCAUCCACGUCGGCGAACGAAUCCCCGAACCGACUGCUCCGGCCCGAACCCGGUUCGUUCGCCUCCCAAACCACCUCAUUCGACCUCGGGUCCCACAAUCGGAUGUAACCCGAGUAACCAAAGGCGCCGCACGUGACGGAGCUCCCGACGAUCAGUCCCGUCUCCGGAAGCCACCUCAGCUUUCCCACGGCCAGGUUCUUUGCGGAGCUCCCCGGUUGCCGGCUCAGCUCUGAUACGAUUUUGAGAGUCGAUUUGUCGAUCAAGAAGAUGCAAUUCUCUCUGUGGGAGCAAUCAAACGACGCGAAGACCGAGCUUGGCGAGUCGGCAAUGGCGGUGACUCGCGCCUUGAAGAUUCUGGGAUCUUCCGGGUCGGUCCAGUGGAUCGACCCGAGGUUUCGCACGCCUGAGAAAUCGUAGAAGUGAAGUCCUGCGCUGGAUUCGGAUCCUAUAGCGGCAAUAUCAGGAUACACACGGCAAAUCGAGGUUAUGUCCUCCAAAUGCGUACGUAGGGUUCCGGCGUAGCUGAGUUUCCAAUCGUAGCUGGAUAUCUGGCCGCCAUGGGCGAUCCAGACGGAGCCGUCGUCGCCUGCGGUAAUCGCCGAAGGACAGCCAUCGUAGGCGGGUUGGACGGUGGUGACAAUUGAUGCGUCGAUUCCAGAAAGAGGAGGAGGCGACAUCGCCGACUUAAGCUGCGACUCGAUGCCGUAGUAGAGGGCUUCAUCGGCGAGCUCCUGCUUGGAGAAUAGGCGAGCCGCGGAAGGGAGGCCUUUCGAUCGGAGAAGAGAGAGGAUGACGGAGAAGAUCUCCGGGUCCCGGUCAAUGAAAACCGGGUUCGGGUCGUCGGUGGAGCGGUUUGAUAGGGCGGCUAAGAGAGAGUCGGGUCCGCCGGCCUGGAUCGUUUCUAACGUCGUUUCGAAGUACUUGCCGCCGACGUUGAGCUUGAUGCGGUCGUCGGGAUGAGGCCUAGGGGCAGUGUGGGAAUUUCCUUUCUCCAUUACGAGGCCGCGUGAGGUUGAAGAUGUUUCACGGUCUUCAACUUCACGGGGACUUUCUGGAAAUCUGAGAGGCGGGCGUUCGGGAAAACGACGGAGAAUUUUACGCUUGCCUUGACACUAAUACCCUUGUUAUUGUGUGGAAUUACUCAACUUUUGGUGGGUGUUAUCGCCUAAAAAAAUCCAACGAAAGCCCUUUUUGGUCAUUCUGAAAUGGAGAAAACUAACCUUUUUUUGUCUGUGCUUGGAUGCUCAGACCACGAAUUAUGAUUGGGCUACAUUGUGGAUCUGAAUGUUUUUGGUACAAGCCCAUAUUAGAGCCCACCUUCUGAGCCACACAUCAUUACUAUUUUCGGAAGUGCACUAGCAAAAGUCCGUCAUUUCCUCUUAGUUCCCAGCUUAAAACGGUAAGGCAUCUCUGCCUGAUUACCAGCUGUAUCAGGAUCAUAACAAGACAAGUCUGUAAACUUCCUAUAAUACUCAUGUGCUGACAUAUUCUUUUGCUUCAAUCGAGUGAACUCCUGCUUCUUGCGAUUAAUGUACUCCGGAGGGACAAAUCUUUUCUUAAAAUGUUCCUUGAAUACUUCCCAAUCAGCUGCCAUCUCAGGGGACAUAAACUGAGUUUGAUUUUUCCACCAACCUGCAGGCUCUCGCCCCAAAAACCAAGUAGUGGUCUCAACCCAUCUAUUAGCAGGAAAAUUUCCUUGACUCUGCAUCACCUGAAAAGUCAUCUCAAUAUGAUCUAGCCACUUUUUUGCCCCUUCGUGACCUUCAUUACCCAUGAAACGAUCCAAUUUCAAAUUAUACAUAGUCUCUAGGGGUGUCAUCUGAGGAGGAGGAGGGGGCGGAUUGCAUUCUGAAAGGCCUGGGCCAUCGCUUCCCCUAACUUAGUUAUAUCAGGGAAAUUAGGUUCAAAAGCACGGCGUGACUCCCUACGAGGCGGCAUAAUUCUGACAGAAAACAUCAAAAGAUCAUUAGAGCAUUAACAAUUAUACAGGACUGCAACCUGGCUCUGAUACCAAAUUGACACACCCCGACCCAGAAAUCAGGGCGUGUUGGCCGUCACAUGAGUGUGACGUAACCAAAAGUGCGAUAUGGAAGCAAAGGAUAUAAUAAAUACGAAGGAAUAAAAACCAACUACUAACAGUAUAAACCAACUAGCGUGCUAGAGUGAGUUAUAUAGUAAAACACACAAUUCAGAGCGUAGGUACUAGGUGCAGUCAAGUACACUAUAAUUAAAUUACAACACCCGCAGGUGAGUCCUACAUGCAGGGUGUCUGUCAGAAAGCCGAAGAGAACCUCGUGAGCCACCAACUGCUAGCUAGAACCUAGAGGGGCGCAAAAACAAAAUUGAGUGGGUCAGUAAAACCAAAGCUUUCCAAAACAUUUCAUUUAAAACGUUUCUAACCCCUCACUGUAAAACCUGUAUACUUUCCCAGAAAAAUAGUAUAUAAACAUAUAUAUAUAAUCAAAAGCUCAACUCACAAUCCUUCACCACUUUUCAGAAAGAAGAUGCCAUGCCAUGCCAAAAAAUAUAAUAUGAAUGCAUCAAUAUAAAUCAGGUGAAAUAAUAAAUCAACCGGAGACCCUACAAUGGUCAUGUACGGCUGAUUCUAUAGCUCAAUAUCCCAUCCAGCCGGAGUCACCCACUGUGACCUGUACGGCACUACGCUGCACAUAAGUCGGAACUACUUAUAGUAGUCUGUACGACUAUGAUGGUGAAAUAAUACGCUCUAGUGCUUCUCUCAUCAAUCAUCUGCGCGCGUAAUCUAAGGUCACCUACUAGUCGGAACCACCUCUAGUGGUCUGUACGACUAGCAUGUCGAAACCCUCUCAGGGUCUGUACGACAUGCACCUACUUGGAUCCAAGAUGAGCGUCCGGUGCGGUGAAUAAUAUAAGCACUAACACCAAGGGUGCAAACUAUGAGCUCUCAACACAAUUCACAUUAUCGAUGAUUCACAUGAUUAACAUAAAACUCACAUGAUAAUCACCUGUGCGUCCACAACACCAAUUUACACAUAUAUAUGCAUCAAUAACAAUUCAUAUUAUUCAUAAUAUGCAUGCAUGGCAAUUGAAAACAUACUUUCAUAUAAAUUCAAUUUCUGGGAAAAUUAAUAGUAUAUAGGUAUAUACGAAAACAAAAUUGCCCACUCACUGGUAAGUCGAUGGGUCGUAGCCCCCAUGACGUCCCUGGAUGCGCUCGUCCUCGGGAUAGGUGUCACUUAUAUACGAAACAACUAUAAAAACAUUAAUUAAUGCACAUAACCGACAAUUCAAAAUAACUUCUCAUACGGUGCUCAAUUUGGGUAUAUGAAUAUACCACAUCGACCUACUAGACGUCACGGACGUCGAGAAAUUUUUAGAAAUUUUUUUUGAAGUGGCACGAGCCCCCACGCGCCAGGGCAACACGGGUACACGCGCCCCCCCCCCCCCACGCAUGUCUUCUUCCUUGGUUCACCGGACUGUGUUUUCCGGUGGCCGAAAAACUGGGGAUUUUUCAAUCCCUUUGUUUUCCCUCAUUUCUCAACCAUUUUCUUUGUAUUUUAUAUCAAAAUGAAGCCCCAAGCAUGUAGUUUCACGCUAUACUACUUUAAAGCUCUAAAAACUACGAAAUCUCACCAUAGAAAUUCCAAGAAAACCGGCCAAAUUCAAAUCCAGUGAUCCCGACGUCCAAAACCUUCAAACGAAGCACUCCGAGCUUCCUUGGGACCUCACUAAGCUCACUAUAAGCUUGGAUUGUCCUAAAAAUCAACCAACACAAAGUUCAUGAAUAGUGCCAAACUCGGACCUCGAGUUUUCAACGUGAAAACGAAGGGUUUCUUACCUAAAAUGGGCGUGGUUGAGUUCGUAGAGUCCUCACGAGCACGAUGGUGCCUUCAAAAUCCUUCGUCUUCUGGGGCAGCACCGCGUAGUGAAGCUCCAACUGAUCAACCUCCGAUACCUCCUCCUUCCGUGGCCCCGCCGACUGCUGAAGCUCCGCCAACUACUGAAGCACCACCUGACCAAUGAAUGCUAUUAGUUUACACAUCAUUGUAAAAAAAUGUUUAUUUCUAUUUUUUAUUUUUUUAUUUUUUUUAUUUUUUUGUUUUUUGUUUUUUUUUUGUUUUUUUUUUGUUUUUUUUUAAUCAAUGUAAAAUAUGUAAAUCAAUGUCAAAAAGACUUUGGUUAACCUUCCCCAACACUUAAACUAAAUAACACAAACUCACAGAAAUCAACCAAAUAACACAACUAACUAAACAAAACAAAAUGAAAGCAGUAAAGAUAAGGGUGUAAGAAUUCAAAUCUGAUUUGGUUAGCGAUUCCAAAGUCUCCCUUCGUUGAAUGCUUGGGUUACCUCCCAAGAAGCGCUUGAUUUAACGUCCUUAGCCGGACGAAUCUUUCCUUUAAACUCCCCUCGGCUCCAAAGCAUGGAAUUUAUCUUUUAAUGGGAGGUGAUACUUGAAAUGAUUCGGCAAUGGUUUAAAUUCAAGAGUGGGUGCCUGAAUCAUCAAAAUCAGAAACAUGUUAGUAUAAAUUAAAAUUAAAAUUGGAGAAGAUGGCUUACUUUCUUUUUCCGACACAAACUCAAUGACAAACACCACAUAUGUGAACAUUUCCGGGACUUUGAACUUGGCCAGGUUUACUAUGAUGGUUGUGGCUUGUCCCGUGUCAUCAAACUCAACUGCUUUGGGCUUGAUUGUCUCAUGCACAGCCUCUUGGAUGUAUUCUUGAUAUGCUUCAACCACUUCAUUUUCUUGAAUCCCUUUUCUUGGUGUGCAAGGUUCUUUGAACGUUUCAAUACCCUCGGGAACUUGUUUUGGUGCACCAAGAAUUGGGAUAUCACUUUGCACCUUUGGAAGAGCUUCCACAAUGUCUUUUUCACUCUCUUUGAUAUUUGGAAUCAAAAACCUGCAAGGACAAAGGACAUUCGGUGGAAUAAUGUUAGAAUGAAGUGAAUUUAGAACUUCCUCACCUGAGUUGGAUGACAUAGGGAUUUGAGGAGCUUGCAGCAAGAAUUCUUCUAAACUGCCCAGGUCGUCCUCCUCCUCUUCUGCUUGCAGCAGCAAUUCAUCCAUGUUCGGGCUGUGUUUGGAUGGUUCUGGGACAGCUUCAUCCUUCAUGUCACCUUCCAAGGUGAUGGCUUCAUCGAUUUCACUUUCUGCCUUUGAAUUUGCAAUGUUUGAGUUGGAAAGUUCACUUAGAUCUCGAAUCUGUGCCAUGAAUUCCACAAUCUGCCCAACUUGCAUAUCCAAUUCGUCCAAUCUUUUGACUCGGUCUUGCAUCUCCUGGUUUUGAUUUUCUACUCCCUGAUUCAAAGAGGUGAGUAACUUAUUAAGUGUAUCAUUAUCCAAGGACGUACCUGAAUUGAAUUGGGUUGAUUGUUGUGGUGGCUGUGACGGUUCAUAUGGCCACUGAUAGAACUCUUCUGAUGGCGGCAAUUGUUCUUCUUUUCGUAAACCCUGCGCCACAGAAAUUAGUCCUUCAAGAAUUUCAUUAUAAUUCAUGGGCAUACUUUGAUUUGAUUGGAAUUGUUGUGGGGGAUGUUGUGGUGGCUGCAUAGGUCUUGAAUAGAACUCCUCAUAUGGCUGCCAAUAUCCAUCUUGUUGGAAUUGUUGAGGUUCCCCCCACAUAUAAUUUGAAUGAUCUCUCCAAGCCGAAUUGUAAGCGUUGGAAAACAUGUUGUUGCUUGGUUGAUCAUAGCCUUGAUAACCCCAAGCAUCUUCGUUCACAUUGAAUUGAGGAUGUUGAUGAGUUUGAUAUCCGUGCCCAUAGGACAUGCCAAAUGUAGGGACACUUUGCAUUAUGGUCCUUCCGGCAAUCUAUGACAAUUGAGAAGUAAGAUUCGCCAAUUGAGCUUGAAUGUUAGCAAAAUCCAUGUCUUACUUCUCUAGUAUCUGAAAUCAAAGAAACAAAACUAAAUCAAAUAUCAAGAGUAACACAAAACAAAGAAAACAAAACUAAGUCAGAAACUAAAACAAAAACAAACUAAACAAAAAGAAAAGAACCAAGGGAUUAGCAAAUUUGCUAAUCCCCGGCAACGGCGCCAAAAUUUGAUGCGAGAAUUACUUGACACACAAAUUAAACCCUCUUUUUGACAAUUGUAGUAUAGAUGUAAGUAGGGUAUCGUUCUAGGCCGGGGAUUAGGAGGGAUUGCUAAUCUAUUGUAAAUUAAUUUAAAAAUAUUAAAUAAGACUCAAGGACACAAAACUAGGCUAAAAACUCUAAUAACUCGAAAACACACUUAAAAUGACUCAAAAUAAUGAAAACAAUUAAAUUAAACACUAGGAACUGAAAUGGACGGAAAUUAAAUUAAAAGACUAACAAUAAAGAAAACUAACUAAAUAAUAUAAUUUAAUAAUGGAUGGGUGUUUGGUUUUGAUGAAAAGUAAAUUAAACUUAAUUAAAUUACAGAAUUGACAAAAACAUAAAAUUAAGGUAAAAUGAUAAAUGACGGACUAGCUAGAGGGUUCUUCUCCACACAUGUUAUACUUGCAUACAAAAUGAUUUCCAGUUGCUUUUCGAUAAGCUAUGAAUACUCAACGCCCCAAAUUAACCGUGAAUUGCACUAAUUAACCCUCAGUUUUUCCACAAGUUAUUGGGUUGGAUGAUUGCAUACGACAACCCAAAACAUUCCCUACAAGUUCCCUACAUGAGUUGCAUAAUAGAGAUACAAGCAAGAAUCAUUAAGUUUUAUGAAAAACAUAAGCAUUGACGGGACACUCGUUACUAUGAUUUGCAUGAAACUUAUGCCAAGAAUUUACUUAACGUGAUUGUGACUAGCAACCUUUACUACUUGUGAAUAUAAGUUCAUAACGAUUAGGUGAAAUUCACUUAUAUUCUAACAUCAAAUUCAUGCAUGUAAAUUAAGCAUGCACUCUCAACCAACAUACACAAAUCAGUUUUUAUACGAACGGAUAAGUAAAUUGAAUUCACAACUUAUAAAAUCACAACCGAAGGUAAUCAAUUCAUAUUACAAAUAUAUUCAUGGCUUUGAAUUAACCUCUAGCCAAAAUAAAUUUAGUUACACAUUAUUAUCAAAUUAAACCAAAAGUAAAACAUAAGUUUGGAAAGAUUUAACCGAAAGAUUGAGUGAAGCUUCUGCUUCUGUGCUAUUUCUGCGCCUAGCAAGUCGACUUGCCCUCCUUCCAAUUCUCCGUGUCUUACGCUGCUCUCACGCUGCCAAAGGCAGCGUUCCGUCCCCCCCUUCCAAUUCUCCUUCUGCGUUCCUUUUUAUAUAUCCCCUUCACGUCUGACCUCUCUCUCGUUUCUGCCUUUUCCUGGACUCUAGCUGUCCUCACGCUGCUAAAGGCAGCUUUCUGCUCUCCCUGUCUACCCGUAUGCCUUCUUCUUCCUGCACGUUCCCUCUGACCAGCUGCAAAGCAGCUUUCACACUGAUUUCCACUCCUCCUUUUCUUUUCUAUAUUUUUUUCUGCCCCUCUGUCUUCCAGCUCACGCUGUCUCUCUCUACAUAGCUGCCAACGCAGCCUUUUCUUUCAUUUUUCGCACUGCCCACGUCUCCUGCUCUCUGCUGCAAAGGCAGCUCCUUUCUCCUCCUUGACACGCUGCACAGCAGCUUUGUUUAUUCCUGCCCAAGGCCCCCUCGAGCUGCCGAGAACAACUUCUUCUUGUAUUUUCUUAUUUUCUGUUUCGGUGCACCGCCAAAGCCCCCCCAGCUGCUCAGCAGCUCAUUCCCUUUUAUUCCUCGGAGACCUUUAUUUCUGUUGCAAAGCAGCGUUUGUUUCCCGUGCUCCCCUUCGUUCUUUCCUUUGUUUUUCUUUUAUUCCUUUCCUUUUUUUAUUCCUUUCCAUCCGUUCUUUUCUUUUCUUCUACAAAACAAAACCAUCAUGAUGAUGUUUCAAACAUCAUCAUGACUUAUCAUUAUUAUAUAUAUUUUUUUUAAUUUAAUUUAAAAGCUGAUCUACACAGACAGUUUUGACGAAUUUAUUACAUAAAAUUUCACUUGUUCUAUUUUUAUUUUCUUUGCAUAACAAAUCCUAUAAACACAAAAAUAACGUAAAUAGCUCAAAAAUAUAAGGAACUAACUAAGAAAAGACGAGUGAAUUUGAAGUAAAAAUAUAUAUAAAUAUGAUCCGAUCACGUGACUCCCUACGAGGCGGUAUAAUUCUGACAGAAAACAUCAAAAGAUCAUUAGAGCAUUAACAAUUAUACAGGACUGCAACCUGGCUCUGAUACCAAAUUGACACACCCCGACCCAGAAAUCAGGGCGUGUUGGCCGUCACAUGAGUGUGACGUAACCAAAAGUGCGAUAUGGAAGCAAAGGAUAUAAUAAAUACGAAGGAAUAAAAACCAACUACUAACAGUAUAAACCAACUAGCGUGCUAGAGUGAGUUAUAUAGUAAAACACACAAUUCAGAGCGUAGGUACUAGGUGCAGUCAAGUACACUAUAAUUAAAUUACAACACCCGCAGGUGAGUCCUACAUGCAGGGUGUCUGUCAGAAAGCCGAAGAGAACCUCGUGAGCCACCAACUGCUAGCUAGAACCUAGAGGGGCGCAAAAACAAAAUUGAGUGGGUCAGUAAAACCAAAGCUUUCCAAAACAUUUCAUUUAAAACGUUUCUAACCCCUCACUGUAAAACCUGUAUACUUUCCCAGAAAAAUAGUAUAUAAACAUAUAUAUAUAAUCAAAAGCUCAACUCACAAUCCUUCACCACUUUUCAGAAAGAAGAUGCCAUGCCAUGCCAAAAUAUAAUAUGAAUGCAUCAAUAUAAAUCAGGUGAAAUAAUAAAUCAACCGGAGACCCUACAAUGGUCAUGUACGGCUGAUUCUAUAGCUCAAUAUCCCAUCCAGCCGGAGUCACCCACUGUGACCUGUACGGCACUACGCUGCACAUAAGUCGGAACUACUUAUAGUAGUCUGUACGACUAUGAUGGUGAAAUAAUACGCUCUAGUGCUUCUCUCAUCAAUCAUCUGCGCGCGUAAUCUAAGGUCACCUACUAGUCGGAACCACCUCUAGUGGUCUGUACGACUAGCAUGUCGAAACCCUCUCAGGGUCUGUACGACAUGCACCUACUUGGAUCCAAGAUGAGCGUCCGGUGCGGUGAAUAAUAUAAGCACUAACACCAAGGGUGCAAACUAUGAGCUCUCAACACAAUUCACAUUAUCGAUGAUUCACAUGAUUAACAUAAAACUCACAUGAUAAUCACCUGUGCGUCCACAACACCAAUUUACACAUAUAUAUGCAUCAAUAAACAAUUCAUAUUAUUCAUAAUAUGCAUGCAUGGCAAUUGAAAACAUACUUUCAUAUAAAUUCAAUUUCUGGGAAAAUUAAUAGUAUAUAGGUAUAUACGAAAACAAAAUUGCCCACUCACUGGUAAGUCGAUGGGUCGUAGCCCCCAUGACGUCCCUGGAUGCGCUCGUCCUCGGGAUAGGUGUCACUUAUAUACGAAACAACUAUAAAAACAUUAAUUAAUGCACAUAACCGACAAUUCAAAAUAACUUCUCAUACGGUGCUCAAUUUGGGUAUAUGAAUAUACCACAUCGACCUACUAGACGUCACGGACGUCGAGAAAUUUUUAGAAAUUUUUUUUGAAGUGGCACGAGCCCCCACGCGCCAGGGCAACACGGGUACACGCGCCCCCCCCCCCCACGCAUGUCUUCUUCCUUGGUUCACCGGACUGUGUUUUCCGGUGGCCGAAAAACUGGGGAUUUUUCAAUCCCUUUGUUUUCCCUCAUUUCUCAACCAUUUUCUUUGUAUUUUAUAUCAAAAUGAAGCCCCAAGCAUGUAGUUUCACGCUAUACUACUUUAAAGCUCUAAAAACUACGAAAUCUCACCAUAGAAAUUCCAAGAAAACCGGCCAAAUUCAAAUCCAGUGAUCCCGACGUCCAAAACCUUCAAACGAAGCACUCCGAGCUUCCUUGGGACCUCACUAAGCUCACUAUAAGCUUGGAUUGUCCUAAAAAUCAACCAACACAAAGUUCAUGAAUAGUGCCAAACUCGGACCUCGAGUUUUCAACGUGAAAACGAAGGGUUUCUUACCUAAAAUGGGCGUGGUUGAGUUCGUAGAGUCCUCACGAGCACGAUGGUGCCUUCAAAAUCCUCGAUCCACGAAGUUUCAGGGUUUUAUGGCAUUGGUCCGUACGUUUCAAGAGGGAGAGAGUGAGAGUCGUGAGGGAAGGGAGAGAGAGAGGGUACGGGAAAGAGAGAGGGAGAGGUUUAACAUGUGUGGUCCAUCCCAACAUUCACCAUCCAACUUCAAUCCCUAGCCACACAAUUUACAAACCAAUUUUUAAUCCAACCUAAUAAUUUUAUAAAAACUUAUGAAAUAAAUGUAUUUAGUCCAAAAGAUAUGUCACACAUACACAUACCUUAAUACCCGUUAAGGGUAAUUUCGUCAUUUUACGUCCCCGAUAUAUAAAAUCCCGGAACGGGCUGUGACAUUGAAAGUUUAGUAAAUUAUUUUGGUAUUUCUUUAUUUUAGGUGUUUAAAGAAAUGUGUAAGAGUAAAUUGGGUGGUUAGAGACAUGCGUUUAGGCAUACUCAAAACCACUCUUUCCAAAAACGCCACCAACUCCAAUCCUGCUAUCCCCCAUUCAUUUGAUGCUUAUGAAUACGAGCUUAAACACACUCCACAACCAAUGGCUCAGAUGAUUAUCAUGUAAUCAUAUGGUACUAAUUAGUUCAUAAUCAAAUACUCAAAUUCUUUUGAACUCUUUAAUUUUCCUCUGACUUUACUAAAAUUGAAAAGAAUGUGAACUUGCCUUUUGAAAUCCCUAAUCAAAUACUUCAAAAUCAAGAAUCUAUCAACUAGAGCACUAGUUGAUCUGAUUCCUUCCUUACUUCCCUUAUUUCUAAGUUCUCCAAUUCAUUCUUUCUCUCAUUUUUGUUAGUAAACAUGUAUGUCCCAAAUUCAAACAUAAAUAAAAUUGAUUUAGCCUAAGUGCAACAAUCGAAAUCACAAUCCUUACAACAUCGGCCGUGAUAAGUAGUGAUUAAGUUUUAAUCAUAUAUAUAACUUGCUUCCUAAGCAAUCAAAAAAUAACCACGAGACCAAAUUAGGGUUCGAUAAGUACUUCCUUCCAGCUUAAUUGACCUGAUGAACAGCCUGACCUGCAUAUUUAUAUCCUACUAGUUAAUUCCUAUAUAUAUACUCUCUUGUGAAUGGAAAUUGGCCAAUGAGAGAACUGCUUCAACUGGGGGUAAUGAAUGGUAAUUAAACAAUUAAGUCACCAUAUAAAUCAGCAAGUUCCGAAACUCACAGAAACUUCACUGUUAGAGAACCUCUGCCAGAUGCUGCCUCUUCUGCAGUAGUGCCCCUGCUACAACAACUUCAACUGAACUGUAGUACUUUUUGGAACGUGGCUCAAUUAGUUUAGCAGUAAAUACUUCUUCCUCCCUAAAUACGAUGAGUUACUACUCCUCUAUUAUUAUCUAGGUCAAAUAAUUGAAGUAUAUGAAUUAUGACGAGGUCCCCAUGAAUUUGAAUGGCUUUAUCACUUCGUUAGAAUUAUGCAUAUAUGAUGCAGCUAGCCAAGGGUCUCCCCACUACUAGUUUCUAAUUACGUGAAAGACCUGUAGUUAAUUAAUUUUAAAAAAAAUAUCAACAGCAAGAACUCAUAAGAAGCUUCACUUGCAGAUAUGGAUAUGGAAAUGCAUGUGAAAUUUAAGACUUGCAUUAGUGAUGAAAUGCGGGCAAGGCCCCAGCAGCCAUGGCAUGCAGGCCAGAUCAUUGGAGGUCCAAAAACAUAUAAAAGCUAGCUAGCUAGCAGUACCACUGCAUACACCCUGUCAAACUGCGUGCUAUCUAAGCGGGUAUGUGUUGAGAGAAUGACUUCACAUGUAUAUAUAUCAUCACCAUUACAUUUUGUGUUAAUGUAGAAAAUAAUUUGUAAAUUUAUGUUCACAUGACGUUAUAUCAUUGACAUGAAAAAACACAAUAUUAAAUUAUAUCCAUACCAUAUAAGUUAUUCUCAAGCCAAAUCCACAUUAGUAACAAAGUACCUUGACGUAGUAGGGGCUCUUUGAACUUUAUAACACAUGUUUGCAUUUGUAACAUCUCAAAUUGCAAAAAAAACACCCUAGCAUGAAGAAAAGAAUACAAAAAAGUCCGCCAAAAUUACGCCAAAGUCCCUUCUAACCUAUCAUUUUAUUCAAUGCUAAAAAAACAAAGAACCUCUUCCAUUUCAUCCAAGCUAACCUUCUCUCAAUCCAGUUGACAAAAUGGGAUAAAGUGGGAUAUAGAUGAUGAGUACAGAGGGUAGAGUGAGUGAGAAAUUAUAAUAGAACAUAAGAAGUAAAGGGAGAUUUCGUUUACAGUAUUAUGGGGCACAUCUAAAAUAAGCCUUCUCAAAGUGAUCUCCAUGAUAUACAAGGCAUAUUCAAUCAGCUACUGUUUACCCAAAAUAUCAGGUUAUGUUAUAAAUAGCUAAAAAUGAAAAAGGGAACAUUUGCUAGAAAUUGAAGUGGAACAAGAUUGAUAUUAUCACCUUCACUUUUGAUCUUAUGUGUUGUUAAGAAGAUCUAAACAUAUCUCUAUAUAUAGAUGUUUUCAUCCGACACUACUUUACAUGCAUGAAGAAACUUUACAUACCAAGAUAGUAAAAAUCAUACUCAUACCAUUUAAGUCUACAAUCUUAGCCUACAAACUUGACUUCAAUUCUUCCAUCUUUAAUCCAAUUAUGUGUCCAUUCAUUCACAUUUUUACAACAGGCUAAAUUCAACACACAAAUUAUGAGCUUAGCACUCUGCUCCAAAUUAAUUUGAAACUGCCUUAUAUAUAUGGUCAGAAUGUUUCUCUCAAACUUUGAUGGAGAGAAGAACCUGGCCUCCUUCAGUACAUUUCUGGAAUGAUGUUAGUUAAAUUGCUCUUCCACCAAACAUAACCGGGUACCGUAAAAUCUCAAGAAUAAACCUUUUAGUUUUCCAGGUGUUCAUUAUUUUGUCUCUAUGUUUUGAAGAAGUGUUUUUAAUGAGACAUCAGUGCAUUAAAUAUCACAUUCAUACCAGUCAGGCAGUCACCUAAUAAUGUUAAUUAACUGGGUCCUGUCCUGGCCAUGGUAUAUCAAGAAUUUUUUUUCUUUGUGUCGGGAAAACGAAUAAGUACACAAAGUGUAACUAUACAAUUGGUGAAUUUCUUUCUUCAAACAAUUAUUGUAUUCUUUUUCUUUAAAUCGGUACCAAACUAUUGUUUAAUUACACUUAUAUGAGAGUACGGUACCAUAUUCUAGGAACAUUGAAAAAUGUCUCUCCACUUCAUUAUGAGUACUAGUGUAUUGAAAAUAAUAAUGUGCAUUAACAUAGUAAUACACUUCUUAUGAGAAUUGACACAACCAGUUCAUUAUUAUUAGAAGAAAAAAAAAGUUUAACAUAUUGGAAUACAGCAGAGAAAUGAUCACCUUGUGAUGGAGGUGAUUAAAAAUAAAAAUUAACUUGAUCCCAUGCUUAAUUAAUAACUGGGUGCCCUGCCCUGCUUGGCCUAGUUAUUGUAAUCAAAGGAAUAUUUUUUUCUUUAGCUGGUUCGGGAAAAUCGACUAUACCGUACGGUCCAAAAGUGUACGUUGUACUACACAAUGUUUGUGCAAAGUUUCUUUCUUCAAAUGUCCUGCACGUAAUAUCUUUUAUUGCAAACGCAUUAUUACUUAAUCUUAGGUGCUAAUACCGGACCAUAUUGCCUAGGGCACAUUGAAUAAGGAAACUACUCCCACCAUCGCAACAGGUAUAGAUGAGGAGAUGCCAAUGGGCACUAGGGCAACUUUGUAAAAAAUAUGUUGGACAUUAACUAUUAUAAUACACUUUCUUAUUUGAGAAUUGACACAACCAGUUUAAUCUAAAUUAUUGAGAAGAAGAAAAAAUUGUUUAACAUUUGGAAUAAGGCAGAGAAAUUGAUCAACCUGUGGAAUUGGAUGGUGAUUAAAAAUAGUGUCGAAAAAUUUACAACUUUGACUCCCAUGCUUAAUUAAUAAGCCCUUUGCUUUUCCUUUUCCUUUUCCUUGUUGGAUGAUGACACUCUGCCAUCUGUCCCUGCAAGUAUGCUAUAUUUGUCCUUCCUAGUUAAAUUUGUGCACUCAAUUCCCAAAGUCCCAGCCAACACCCUCUGAAUAUAAUUUGCAACUUCAUAAGCAGAUUUCCCACCUUUGCAAAAGAUAAGCUUCUUCGUACGGUAGCGUUCAGGAACGUAAUUUCGUAAGUUGGCACGGAUUCAUGAAUACGAAAUACGGGUCCAACAAUUUGUGCCCCCUAACCGUUGUACCAUGAAACACACUUUGUUUUGUGUUGAUUGCAACAGGCACAAUCCUAUCAGUGAGCUCAGCAAAUAGGGCAGUACCCACAGAAACGGCUCUCCUGUGUAGUUAUUAGCACAAAAGUUAAAUUUCGAAGCAAAUAAAUGAAAUACCUCUCCUAUACUAAUAAAAGACCACCGGCCUAUGCGGAGAAAUUUUUCUGUCUUGACGUCCAAAUUACGGAGUUGGUGUGAGAUUGUUGGUGGGGAUACAACCCAACAGGUUUAGAAUUGUACAUUUUGUUGCAAAUGAAUAGAAAUCCUUGCUCUUUCUUUGCUCGCUUAUGCCUUACUUACUACAUAAUUAAUCCCUAGAGACUUAAUUUUGUAUCUCGCACCUGUUAGGUGUUCUCUGGCGAGGAGUACAUAUUUUUAAAAAGUGAAGGGCAACAUUGGGUAGGUCCCACAAUCUGCCCUCAUGAGAAUAUAAAUAGAAUUUUCUUGUCUUGGCCAGUGAAAAAAAUGAAAAUUGGCUUCCUGAAUUUAACGUUAACACAGAAAAAAAUGGGAGUUUUCAUCUUUUAGUUUUUGAUUCAACUGUAAAUUCAAAACUGGUUAGGAGUUGGUCAAAUUGUGGCUUUACAGAGUGUGGUUCUUAUAAGGAGGGUCAUCUGAAAGUAACCUAACUCCAAUAUACUAAAUAAAUUUUCAACCCAUGAACCGGAAGUCAACUUGCCUUAAUAGUAUUCGGACGACAAACAUUUUUAGUAUCGGCAAUUCCAUUACAUUCGUAAAAUACAGAACAACAUUGUUUUCCGAUUGUCAACAACUCAUUUCACUUGAAUAUUGUAUUUCAUCAACGAGUAUUAAUUAAUCUUUACUAAAAAAAGGGUAUUCUUAAUUUGUUAACUUUUCCCUUUGUUCUUGUUUUUUCGGAGCAGUUUGUAGUUUGAGAGUGCUAUUGUAUGGGCCAUCACCUAGUAGUAACGUUUAAUGAUUAAUAUUGUGAUACAGAGAUACAUGAAGCGGGACUGAGAUGGAAUUCUCUUAUUGCGUAGAUUUUGUUGCAUGUGUGUAUAUCAACAUUAAACAAACUAUCUGAAUCCUCUUUCCACCAGUCUUCAUAACUCAUUAAAUUGCCACAAAAAAAAUCUGUCAAUUUCUGUUCUCUCAAGACAUAAACUUGAGAGCAAUCAUACCCACAUAUAAUUGAUUCCAUAAACGGUUGACGGAUUUAUGUUGUUGAGAUUAGCUGGGAAGCCUUUGGCCAAAAAAAUAAAAAAAAUAAAGACACUCAACAUUUAAAUAUUAAAAGCUGCUGGCAUGCUGGCAAAACUAAAUUGUUUAGAUACAUGAAAACGUGUAACCAUUUUUAUUUUUUUAAAAGGAAAUAGUUGCAUGCAUGCUUCUUUUUUAAACAUGAAGCGGGACUGAUGGAAUUCUCUUAUUGCGUAAGUUUCCAUGUGGUAUAUCAACAUUAAACAAACUAUCAUCCUCUUUCACUCAGUCUGUCAAUAACUCAUUAAAUUGCCAAAAAGAAAAAAAAUCUGUCAUUUCUCUCUCUCAAGAAACAGAUAACUUGAGAGCAAUCAUACCCAUAUAAUUGAUUCCAUAAACGGUUGCGGAUUUUGUUGUUGAGAUUAGCUGGGAAGCCUUUGGCCACAAAAAUAAAAAAAAUAAAACACUUCAACAUUUAAUAUUAAACGGCUGCUGGCUGCUGGCAAACUAAAUUGUUUAGAUACAUGAAAACGUGUAACCACUUUUAUUUUUUUUAAAAGGAAAAUAGUUGCAUGCAUGCAUUCAUUUUUUUUAAAGUUUGUAGACGAAGAUUAUGUGAAAAUUUCUACAGCUAAUACGAAUCUUGAUUGAAACAAAUCUUUGAAAUUUUAAUUAAUCGUAUAUUUACCGUGUGUGUAUCUUUUUUUAUAAAUAUUAAGCUAUAAGCCUAUAACUAAAUAAUAAUAUCCUUUAUAGUGUAUACAGGAUACGCAAAGCAUCUAAGUCAAAUCCUUUCAAAUCAAGUAAAAAUUUUGAGAGAGCAUGGGUCGUGCUUUUGGUUACCUUAGGUCACCAACAUCCCUGACUACAUGAAAGUAUAAGAAUCAAAACUUACUUAGACAGGAAGAGAAUAAUUAACGCUAACUAGUAGUAUCCUUAUAAGUUAAACCAAAAAAAUGAUGGAGUUUGAACUCGAAAUGUUGUAGUUUGAAAGAAGAAAUGCUCUAUGUAACACUUGCAACUACAGGCGAGACAACUAAAAACAAAAGAAAAAAGAUCAUGCAUAACUAUAGUUAAUUUCAAGAUGGGUAAUGCUAAAGAGACUAAAUUUGUAAAUUAAAUGUUUUAAACCAAAUGAAAUGGAAAUCGAUGAUUGGAUUAUUAUUUAAGCGUUGAUUACCGUACCUACUUUUUAUUGGUAACACAUUAUUUAGUUUCCAAAUUCAGUCUACCAAGCAUAAUUCUUUCACAAUUGUCGACAAUCCACUGCCACAUUUAAUUAGGGUUAAGCAGACCAUCUUCUUCCUAAAAUAUUAAUUAAGGGACUUAAAUCUUCGAAAUAUUAUCCUAUAUUGUAAUGUAUUGUAAUUUAGGAUAAUGGAUAAUUGAUAUUGGGGUCACUGAUCAUGUGACUAGUGACUCUAGAGUGUUUGAUGAGUUAUGUGAUUAUGUUCGUGAUCCGUAUAUUACUAGUGCAAAUGGAGCACCUUCCCCUGUAAAGGGUGAAGGCACUAUCUCUCUUACUCCGACCUUAUCACUGGUCCAUGCGUUACUUGUUCCUGAUGUUAAAUGCAAUCUUUCGUAAGUAGGAAAACUACUUGAUACCUUAUAUUGUUCUGCUCACUUUUACCCUACGUAUUGUUAUUUUCAAUACAUUUAAACUCAGAAAAUAAUUGGUCGUGAUAAAAGAAUAGGGGGUUUGUACAUCUUAACUAUGGAGGAUAUUGUUGUUUCCAGUUCAAAUAAUCAUCAAGUUUUAAGUGCUAAAGUGGACGACAAACAUCAAAUUCGGUUGUGGCAUCGACGAUUGAGACAUCCAUCAUUCAGUUAUAUGAAGCAUCUAUUUCCUUCUUUGUUUCGCACUUGUAGUGAUUCAGAGUUCAAGUAUGAAACAUGUGUCAUGGCUAAGAGCCAUCGUGCUUCCUUUGACAUAAGUGAUUCUAAAGCUACUUUGCCAUUUGAUUUAAUACAUUCUGAUGUGUGGGGUCCAGCUAAGGUUACUUGUAAUGGAUUCCGUUAGUUUGUUACUUUUAUUGAUCAUUGUACUCGAUUAACUUGGGUGUUCUUGAUGAAGAAUAAGAGUGAUGUUCCUUUACUUCUUCAAGAAUUUUGUGCAAUGGUGUCUACUCAAUUUCAGACCAAAGUUAAGGUCUUCAGGUCUGAUAACGGAGGAUAAUAUGUAAAUCACACUUUGGCAUGAUUUUUUCAUUAAUGGGGUAUUAUUCAUCAGACGAUUACUCCGUUUACACCCCAACAAAAUGGUGUGUUCGAACAAAAGAAUCGUCAAAUAAUGGAGGUUGCUCAUUCCUUGAUGUUGGAUAAAUGUGUUCCUAAUCGUUUGUGGGGUUAUGUUGUUUUGGCUGUUGUGUAUUUGAUAAAUCGUGUUCUAAGUAGGGUUCUUGUUUUGGCUGUUAUGCAUCAAGUUUCUCUUGUUUCUGUAUCAAAACUUCCUCCGAAGAUGUUUGGGUGUAUUGCGUAUGUGCAUGUCUACUCUUAUCAACGGAGUAAACUUGAUGCAUGUGCUCUUCGAUGUGUAUUUAUUGGGUAUGCUAACAAUCAGAAUGGCUAUAAGUGUUAUCAUCCUCCGACUCAAAAAACUUAUAUUACCAUGGAUGUCACCUUCCACGAGGAAGUUUCAUAUUUUGUGAAGCCCUCUUCUGACUCUUCACUUCAGGAUGAGAGGGGGAGUGAAGUGCAGAUUCGAAGAGAUGGUAUGGAUGAUGUGUUAUAGGCAGAGUUAGGGACCUAACCUAUUAUGUUGCAUGAUACUGAUCAGUCGGCUAUAGAUAGUGAUUGGUCACCUGUCAUUCUCGAAACUAUUUCUACUGACGACAGAUCAGAUGUGCCCAACGAGUUGCAUGUUAGUCUGUCUAACGAAUUACCUUCUGAUGACCAUGUCUAACGAGUUGCCUAAUGAUGGUUCAUCCAGUGAUGAUUCUUCUCACAGUUUGGUACAAGAUGGUGACAUACAUAAGGUAAAUUCUGACAAUUCUUCUACUUAUCAGUUGCCUCCACGAGCUAAUCGUGGAAAACCUAAAGUACUAUAAGCCUGAUAUGCAUGCAAAAGCCAAAUAUCCUAUCAAUAAUUAUGUGUCUACUCAUUGUUUGUCCAAACCAUAUGCAUCUUACAUAUGUCAGCUAUCUAGUGUAUCAAUUCCAACAAAAUUGCACGAUACUUUGUCUGACCCUAAGUGGGUUAAUGCCAUGAGAGUUGAGAUGGAAGUCUUGGAAAAGAAUUCUACUUGGGAUUUGGUUCCUUACUAAACGGGAAGAAAGCUAUUAGGUGUAGAUGGGUGUUCAUUAUUAAGCAUAAAACAGAUGGCUCUAUUGAUCGGUAUAAAGCCAGAUUAAUUGCUAAUGGUUAUACUCAAACCUAUGGGGUAGACUAUCAGGAGACUUUUAAUACUGUACGUGUUCUUCUGUCCUUAGCAGCAAACCAGGAUUGGCAUCUGCUACAUUUUGAUGUUAAGAAUGCUUUCCUUUAUGGUGAUCAUAAGGAGGAAGUUUAUAUGGAUCUCCCACCUGGUAUCAGAACAUUUCCUGGAAAAUGUGUUGUAUGCAGGUUGCAAAAGGCUUUGUAUGGUUUGAAACAAUCUCCUAGAGCAUGGUUUGGGAGGUUUACAAGUUCAAUGAAGAAGUUUGGGUAUGUCCAGAGUCAUUCAUAUCAUACUUUGCUUCUAAAGCAACAAAAUGGUAAGCUAAUUGCAUUGAUUAUUUAUGUUGAUGACAUUAUAGUGAUUGGUGAUGAUCAGAAAGAGAUACAAGGCCUUCAAAAGUACCUAGCUACUGAAUUUGAGAUGAAAAAAUUGAGUGAAUUGAAGUAUUUUCUUGGAAUCGAGGUUGCACGAUCCAAGCAUGGUAUUUUUCUGUCUCAACAGAAGUAUGUUCUUGAUUUGUUAGCUAAAAUAUGUAUGUUAGAUUGCAAACCUAUUGAUACUCCGAUUGAGCAGAAUCAUCGUCUGGGCUUAUUUUUGGAUCAAGUUCCUACUCAUAAGGAACGGUAUCAGAGGCUUAUGGGGAGAUUAAUUUAUUUGUCUCACACUCGCCCUGAUAUUGCUUAUGCAGUUAGUGUGGUAAGUCAGUUUAUGCACUCACUUAGUAAAGCUCAUAUGGAUGCAGUAAUCCGUAUUUUGAGGUACUUGAAGAUGGAUUCUGGCAGAUGAUUGGUUUUCUCCAAGAAUGGUCAUUUGAAUGUCGAAGGGUAUACAGAUGCAGAUUGGGCAGGUUCUAUCACUGAUCAGCGAUCUACAUCUAGAUACUUUACGGUUGUGGAUGGUGAUAUAGUUACUUGGAGAAGCAAGAAACAAAAAGUGGUGGCUAGGUCAAGUGCUGAAGUUGAGUUUCGUGGUAUGUCUCACGGUGUAUGUGAAUUGUUGUGGUUGAAAAAAUUGUUGAGAGAUCUUGGAUUUAAACCCAAGGGUGCUAUAAAACUCCAUUGUGAUAACAAGGCUGCUAUUGAAAUUGGAUGCUGGAAUUAUUAUGUUUCCGUUUGUGGGAUUUGAAGAUCAACUCGCUGAUGUACUUACUAAGGUUGUGUCUAAUAGUGUGUUUUCCAAGUCGCUUGACAAGUUGGGCAUGCGUGACAUCUUUGCUCGAACUUGAAGGGGAGUGUUGCGAGUUAUAUAUUAGUUAAAGUGUAAAUAGUAGUUUGUUGUCCCACAUUGAUGAAGUGCAUAUGUAAUACCAAUUGUAACUCUUAUAUAUACUCCACUUUGGAGAUUAAUGUGUGUGUGUGUGUGUGUGUGUGUGUGUGUGUGUGUGUGUAUAAGAAAUUCCCAAAUAUUGUCAUAUAUAUUUUUGGUAUUUACCAUGUUUAGUUUGAUAGUAAUGAAAUUAGUUAGUGAGCGGCUGAGUUGUUAGAUGAUUUGUUUGAGAGAGAGCUUAGUUUGUUAAGGAUGAUAUCUCAUUUGAGUGGUCAUUGUUGUAAUUAAAAGGAUGAUCUCCCAGCUAGUAAAUCUCGUGCAACCCCUUGCUUGUAGAAGCUUAACAUGUGGCUUGUUUAUAUUUCAGGCACCAAUUCUAUUCCACGGGAAUCUAAAAUGCAAAGUAUUUGUUAGUGUCAAAUAUCGGAUAGAGCCCAACUUAGGUCAACACAAGCGUUACUUUCAUUCUCAGAGUCAUGGAAUGCCUCGAGAGAAAGUAUUGAGAAUAGGCGUGCCACAAUUGUAGGUUGAUAAUAGAUAGUGAUUGCAUAGUGAUUUGUAGGUUUUUGGUUAGCUCUGACUUCUAAACCAAAAUGAUUAUGCACCGAAUGAGAUAUUGAUUCGGUUAGGUUCUUUUGAAUGCAUAUGAGACCGAGGACUUGAAAACCAGUGUGUUAUAUAUGUUUUGCCUAAGAAUGUAAGUAGAAUAGAAGUGAAGAGAAGGAGUGGGUUAGGAUGCAUGAUCCUGAUGUUAGAGUUAUGUCCUAAAAGCUAAUUAUGUAAUAUUGGUUAUUAUGUAACAACUCAAUUUUAAUUAUAAUUAAUAAAAGGACAAGUUUUAUUCAUUCAUGAGUUUGGCUUUGGCUUUAUAUUAUAGAGAUAAUAUAAAGCCAAUUAGGUAAUAUUAGAUAUCAUGUAACAACUCUAUUUUAGUUAAUUAAUAAAAGGACAAGUUUUAUUCAUUCAUGAGUUUAGUUUUAUCUUAUGUUGGGAAGGAGCAAUCCAAGCUGAAGUGAGCUCGCCUAAGCUAGGCUUCCUUGUUGGUGGGCCGGUGUCGCACGCUUUUGGUGAAAUAAAAAUUAGAUACCCUACUAUAACAAGCCUAAUUUUUAUUUAUGGUCGAAAUAAUUAUAUGUCAAGGUCGUCAACAAUAGCAGAGUAUAAGGCUUUGGACAUAACAACUGCAUGAAUGGCAUGGAUAAGGCAGCUAAUGUUCAUGUUCCAUUGUGACACACCCUGAUCCUAGAAUCAAGGCGUGCUGGCCAUCACGUGAGUGUGACGUAACCAAAAGUGCAGUGCGGAAGCAAGGGAUAUGAGAGAUAUGAAGGAAUAAAAACCAACUACUAGUAGUAAUAUCCAACUAGCAUGCUAGAGUGAAUAUAAGUGUGCAGUACACCAGUUCAGAGCAUAAAGAAAACUAGGUGCAGUCAAGUAAGACUAUAAUUAAAGUACAACACCCGCAGGUGAGUCCUACAUGCAGGAAGUCUGUCAGAACGCCGAAGAAAAACCUCGUGAGUCGCCAACUGCUAACUAGAACCUGGAGGGGCGCAAAAACAAAAUUGAGUGGGUUAGUAAAACCAAAGUUUCCAAAACAUUUCAUUAAAAACAUUUCUAACCCCUCACUGUAAAACCUGUAUACUUUCCCAGAGAAUAACGUAAUAGCAUAUAAAACCUCAUACGUCACAAGUCACCAUUCUAUCACAAAUCCAGGAAUAUGCCAUGCCAUAAAUGUCAAUAACAAAACAUAGAUGCAUCAAAAUAACAGGUGACAUGAUGAAUUAACCGGAGACCCUGCAGUUGGUCCUGUACGGUUAAUUCCAUAGUUCAAUAUCCAACCCAGCCGGAGUCACCAUGAUGACCUGUACGACACUACUCUGCACAUAAAUCGGAACUACCUGAAGUAGUCUGUACGACAAGAAUGGUGUAAUGAUACGCUCUAGUGCUUCUCUCAUCAAUCAUUUGCGCGCGUGAUCUAAGGUCACCUACUAGUCGGAACCACCUCUAGUGGUAUGUUCGACUAGCAUGUCAGAGUUCCAUCUUUCUUUCUCAUAAAUAAUACCGGAGCUCCCCAAGGUGACGUACUAGGUUGAAUGAAACCUUUAUCAAGUAAUUCUUGUAACUGAAUUUUCAACUCUCUCAGUUCAGCUGGAGCCAUUCUGUAUGGAGUUAAAGAUAUAGGAUCUGUACCAGGAAGCAAAUCAAUAGAAAAUUCCACAUCUCUGUCUGGCGGCAAUCCCGGCAAUUCAUUUGGAAAUACAUCAUGAUAGUGCCUGACUACUCCAACUUCCUCUACACUGCUAGGAACAACAUCAUUUAAUACCACAUGGGCUAAGUAUCCUUGACAACCCUUCGAUAAUAACUUCUUUGCUCUCAUGGCAAAAAUAACUCCAUGUCUCACCCCGCUUCUUUCACCCACAAAAGUAACCUCUGGUAAUCCAGGACGAUAAAAGGUAACAGAUUUCCCGUAACAAUCAAUAUGGGCACGAUUAUAAUGCAACCAAUAUGCUCCUAGAAUCACAUCAAAAUCCACAAUAUCUAACGGGAUAAGAUUGGCUGGCAUAACUACACCCUCUACCAUCACUGGACAUCCAAGAUAAACACUAUCAACAUAACAUUUAUCCCCUCUAGGCAUGGCAAACUCUAAAUCAAAUCCUAGAGGCGAAGGGUGAGGUUGAGUCAUUUGAGCAAACGUAUGAGAAAUCACAGAAUGUGUACCACAAUCAAUCAAAACUCUAGCAAAAUGACCAAGAAUAUUUAACGUACCCAUGAUCAAAUCUGGAUGGUUCUGAUCAUCUUGCAGUGAUAUGUGAUUAACACGUCCCUGAGCUUGCUGUCGUCCACCACGACCUCUGUUGCCUUGGUUACCUCGCCCCUGUGAAGUACGUCCCUGCCAUGACUGAUUAGACUGCCUCGAUGAUCCUGCACCACUAGCAGCAACCUCUCCCUGACAGGGUUGACCUCCCUGAUGCCACUGAGAUCCACUGGCAGACAUGGAAGAAUAAGAAGGAUAACCCACAGGGUCUUAGGAAUACCAGUCUGAGAAUAAGGAUCCUGGGAAUACUGAUACUGUCCGGAAGCAUAGGGAGCAGCAUCACCCUGAUAGUGGUAAGCACCACCACGACCCGUCUGACCAUAAUUGCCUGAUCCAAAGUUCUGCUAAAUCGGCGCUAGAGGUGGCAUACCAGACUGCUGAGAUUUCUGCUGACUCUGGGGACACUGAGUAGCCCUAUGUCCCAUUUGUCCACAAAUGUAGCAAGCACCACCACUACCGCUUCUCCUACACUCUCCAUGAUGUCUGAAGUUACAACGGCGGCACAACGGAGCACCAGAACCACCAGCACCACCAAAAUCUCUCUGUCUCUGAAAUCUAGGCCCGCCAGCAAAUCUUCCACCUCUCAUCGGGCCAGUGACACUAAAUCCUCCACUGGAAGAACUCGAACUUGCUCCACUUUUCUUGAAAUUCUGCGUCUUACGGGGUCCCUAAGUGGAGAUACCUUUGCCCUUAUCAUCCUUCUUCUGACUAUCAUUCUUGUCCUCAUCAUCCUCACUGUCACUAGGAAGAUUAUCGGAAUCCUCCAUCCGAACCAAAAUCUCGAAAAACUCAUGAUAAUCGUUGCAAGGAAGCGCACUAGCAAAAGUUCGCCAUUUCCUCUUAGUUCCCAGCUUAAAACGACGAAGCAUCUAUACUUGAUUACCAGCUAUAUCAGGAUCAUAACGAGACAAGUCUGUAAACUUUCUGUAAUACUCAUGUGCUGACAUAUUCUUUUGCUUCAAUCGAGUGAACUCAUGCUUCUUGCGAUCAAUGUACUCCGGAGAGAUAAAUCUUUUCUUAAAAUGUUCCUUGAAUACUUCCCAAUCAGCUGCCAUCUCAGGGGACAUAAACUGAGUUUGAUUUUUCCACCAACCUGCAGGCUCUCAUCCCAAAAACCAAGUAGUGGUCUCAACCCAUCUAUUAGCAGGAAAAUUUCCUUGACUCUGCAUCACUUGAAAAGUCAUCUCAAUAUGGUCUAGCCACUUCUCUGCCCCUUCAUGACCUUCAUUACCCAUGAAACGAUCCAAUUUUAGAUUAUACAUAGUCUCCAGGGGUGUCCUCUGAGAAGGAGGAGGAGGGCGGAUUGCAUUCUGAAAGGCCUGGGCCAUCACUUCCCCUAACUGAGUUAUAUCAGGGAAAUUAGGUUCAGAAGCACGGCGUGACUCCCUACGAGGCGGCAUAAUUCUGACAGAAAACAUCAAAAGAUCAUUAGAGCAUUAACAAUUAUACAGGACUGCAACCUAGGCUCUGAUACCAAACUGACACACCCCGAUCCUAGAAUCAAGGCGUGUUGGCUAUCACGUGAGUGUGACGUAACCAAAAGUGCGGUGCGGAAGCAAGGGAUAUGAGAGAUACGAAGGAAUAAAAACCAACUACUAGUAGUAAUAUCCAACUAGCAUGCUAGAGUGAAUAUAAGUGUGCAGUACACCAGUUCAGAGCAUAAAGAAAACUAGGUGCAGUCAAGUAGGACUAUAAUUAAAGUACAACACCCGCAGGUGAGUCCUACAUGCAGGAAGUCUGUCAGAACGCCGAAGAAAAACCUCGUGAGUCGCCAACUGCUAACUAGAACCUGGAGAGGCGCAAAAACAAAAUUGAGUGGGUUAGUAAAACCAAAGUUUCCAAAACAUUUCAUUAAAAACAUUUCUAACCCCUCACUGUAAAACCUGUAUACUUUCCCAGAGAAUAACGUAAUAGCAUAUAAAACCUCAUACGUCACAAGUCACCAUUCUAUCACAAAUCCAGGAAUAUGCCAUGCCAUAAAUGUCAAUAACAAAACAUAGAUGCAUCAAAAUAACAUGUGACAUGAUGAAUUAACCGGAGACCCUGCAGUUGGUCCUGUACGGUUAAUUCCAUAGUUCAAUAUUCAACCCAGCCGGAGUCACCACGGUGACUUGUACGGCACUACUCUGCACAUAAGUCGGAACUACCUGAAGUAAUCUGUACGACAAGAAUGGUGUAAUGAUACGCUCUAGUGCUUCUCUCAUCAAUCAUCUGCGCGCGUGAUCUAAGGUCACCUACUAGUCCGAACCACCUCUAGUGGUCUGUUCGACUAGCAUGUCGGAACCCUCUCAUGGUCUGUACAACAUGCACCUACUUGGAUCCAAGGUGAGCGUGCGGUGCGGUGAAUAAUAUAAGCAUUAACACCAGGGGUGCAGGUUAUGAGCUCUCAACACAAUUCGCAUUAUCAAUGAUUCACAUAAGUAACAUAAAAUUCACCUGAUACUCACCUGUGCGUCCGCAGCACCAAUUCACAUAUAUAUAUACAUUCAUAUCCAUUCAUAUAAUUCAUAAUAUGCAUGCAUGGCAAUUGAAAACAUACUUUCAUAUAAAUUCAAUUUCUGGGAAAAUUAAUAGUAUAAAGGUAUAUACUGAAAACAAAACUGCCCACUCACUGGUAAGUCGAUGGGUCGUAACCCCCGUGACGUCCCUGGAUGCGCUCGUCCUCGGGAUAGGUGUCACCUAUAUGCGAAACAACUAUAAAAACGUUAAUUAAUGCACAUAACCAACAAUUCGAAAUAACUUCUUAUACGGUGCUCAAUUUGGGUAUAUGAAUAUACCACAUCGACCUACUCGACGUCACGGACGUCGAGAAAUUUUUAAAAAAAUUUUUUGAAGCGGCACGUGCCCCCACGCGCGUCUUCUUCCUCGAGCUCGCCAGACUGGUUUUUCUGGUGGCCGGAAUCUGGGAAAUUUUCAAACGCUUUGUUCUCCUUCGUUUCUCAACCAUUUUCUUCGUAUUUUAUAUCAAUUUGAAGCCUCAACAUGUAGAAUCACGAUAGACUAGUUUCAAGAUCUAAAAUCCACUAGAUUUUACCUGAGGAAGCUCGAUAAUCCGGCCAAAUUUGAAAAGCUCCGUUCUCAGUCCUCCGACGUCCAAAUUCUACCAACGAAGUACCCCGAAGCUCGUGAGGAUCUCCUUAAGCUCACUGUGAGCUUGAAAUUCCCUGAAAUGCAAGAUUUUACGUGUGCAUGAACAGUGCACAUUUUCGGGGUUAGGGUUUCACAACGAUUCUGAGGAUUUCUGAGGUUUUAAAAUCAAAUAUCACAUAUACGAACUCACAAGCUUACUAGGAGUUCAAAUCUUACCUUAGAACCUUCGAUCCGUGAAGAAAUGGGAGGUUCCUAGCUUGUCUGUACGUACACAGUGCACGUGAAGCAGAAAAAUCGAGAAGAGAGAAAGAGACACGGGGAAAGGAGAAAGAAGGAUGGACUGUGUGUGUGUGUGGUCCAACAUACCCCAUCACCAUCCAUUUUCUUUUUUUUUUCCUAACUCCCUAACCACACAAAACAUACAACCCAAUUUAAUCUACUUAAAUAUUUUUCCUAAAGUUUAGGAAUGAAUUUAGUCCAAUAAUAUGCCACACACACAUACCUUAAUAUCCGUCAAGGGUAAUUCCGUCAUUUCACGUCCCCGAUAUAUAAAAUCCCGGAACGGGCUGUGACACAUUGGAUGCUCCUCCCAUGAUUUACAGUGGCAACAUGUCUGCCAUAGCCAUUACAUAGCAAAACACAUUGAGAUAAACUUGUUGUGAAGGAUAAGGUCAUAAAAAAUGAUUUGCGAAAGUGCUAUUCAGAAACUCAUUUUUAUCUCCCACACCUUUGUUAAUCUUUGGCUAUUGAUCUUCUUCAACUCAUUUGAUCCGACAGCUGAAAACUGAGAGGAGUAUGAGAAGUAAAAAUGGGUGUGUGAAUAACACUACCUAUGAUUAUUGGUGCAACAUUGCAAUAAUCUCAUGGUUCACACAAGCAUGAUUGAGGGGGGACGUAGAGUAUAGAGCUCCGAAGCUUUAAGUUGUUGUAAAUCAGUUAGUGAUCAGUAAUUUGUUAAAGUGAGAGAGAGCUUAGUUUGUUAAGUUUGUUAGUAAGCAAAGAGAUGUAAGGCACGUAAUCUUGCAGAAUGCAAUCAACAGUUUCCCUUUUCUCUGCAGGUCACAUCUCUAAUUUCAUGCAGAAUUAAUAUGUUGCUUCAAAAGAUUUUAUUAUUGAGACUUCAAAGGCACAUGUCCCUGCCGCUUCCCUCACCUAAUUAGUCGAUCCGUUAAUGGCCGGUCACUUUUGAAUUAGACGUUUCGACGUGAACAGAUUUCAAUUCAUCUCAUUUAGCAAUUUCUUUUAGUUGAAUAGAUAAAGUAAGAAUAAAAAUCAAGAAAUUGCAGUCUUUAAUUAAUUUUCAUUUUUUUAUAUCUGCAUCUACCAAAUUAAUGGACGAUUGGAUGUCAAAAAUCAACCGAAUUGUGCCUCAAGUUGAUAACAACGGGAGCUUCAAUGUGAUUAGUAAUCUUGACUCUUAAGGGUGUCGUACAUUAAUCAAGUAUAAAUUUGCAUUUGUGGUUAACUUCAAGAAAACAAGAAAUGUUCGUAUUUUUAUUUCUAUAUAUAUAUAUAUACUAAUGACUCGUUUAUUAAUCUAUAAUCAGAUUGAGAAAAAAUUAAUUGAAGAGGAAACAAAAUUAUAUUCUAGUUAAAAUUGUUUAUUAAACUUGGCAGAGGUAGACUCGUCAUUUGGCUCACCUGCAAAAAUGAAUUUUUUUUAAAGGGCUUUUCCCACACUCGCUAAGCCGGAAAAUUUUCAAGUUUGAUCCUUUGCCAUGGAUGGAAAAAGAAAUCCUGAUAUAGAUAGUGUUUAGUGAGUGAUAGCUGUUGUCGUUGAAGGAUUUCUCUUUGAAUCCGAUUUGUCACUGGUGAAGAAUCUUUGAUAGUGGCAUCCCAAUAAGCAUCCGAUGAGGUGGGGUAGCCCUGGUCAGUUGUAUUGAAGAUAGCAUUUCACCAGCUUACAUUGGAACUCUAGAUUUGGAGUAGAAAUGAUUUUGGUUCCAUAUUAGUUGUUUAUUAGUUCACUUGAAUCAGAAUUAAAACAAACUUGAUUACUAAACUGUCCUUGUUUAAAAUAAAUUAUUUUUCAUGCUAAUUAAUGAAAUUUAAUUUAACAUAAUAAAUUAUAUCUAUAUAAAAAUGGUCAUUUUGGUUCUAGUCCUAAUCAACCUAGUUGUUAGAAUGAAAUCUUAUUUGUUUAAAUAGUUUGAUCAAGGUCCCUAGUAUCAUUUAAGAGAUUUAACUGAUACAUUUAUGCAUUCAAUAUCCCACAAAUUAUAAAAUUUAAACAAAUCCAAAUAUUAUUGUAACAAAUAUAACAGUUACUUAAAAAUCAAUAAUAGAGUAAUUUGUUUUUCACAUAGUUCUAGCAAAAGAAUGUACCCAUGUAAUUUUCACAUCCUAGCUCGACUUCGCCGUAGCAUGAUAUUGUCCGCUCUGGGCUUACCAUUCCCUCACGGAUUUGUUCUUGAGUUUCGGCACGAGAACUUCCAAGGGGGUCACCCAUCCUAGGACUGCUUUCGCCCAAACUCGCUUAACUUCAGAGUUCUUAUGGGAUCCGGAGCCAAUGAGCUCCCAAAAGACAUCGUGCUAUAAGGAGGGGCGCAUGUACAUAUAAGGCAUAUCACCCCCUCUCUGUUGGUCGAUGUGGGAUCUUACAAUCCACCCCACUUAAGGGGAACCCAGCGUCCUCACUGACACAUCCGUAUCGAACAGCAGUGUGGCUCUGAUACCAAUUGUCACAUCUCAGCUCGACUCCGCCGUAGCACGAUUUUGUCCGCUUUAGGCUUACCAUUCCCUCACGGAUUUGUUCUUGGGUUUCAGCACGAGAACUUCCCAAGGGGGUCACCCAUAGGACCGCUCUCGUCCAAACUCACUUAACUUCGGAGUUCUUAUGGGAUCCAAAGCCAGUGAGUUCCCAAAAAGCCUCGUGCUAUAGGGAGGGGAGCAUGUGCAUAUAAGGCACAUCACAUCACCUCUCUCCGUUGGUCGAUGUGGGAUUUUACAAUCCACCCCACUUAAAGGGAACCUAGCAUCCUCGCCGGCACAUCCGCACUGAAUGGCAGAGUGGCUCUGAUACCAUAUUGUCAUAUCCUAGCUCGACUUCGUCGUAGCACGAUAUUGUCCGUUCUAGGCUUACCAUUCCCUCACAGUUUUGUUUUUGAGUUUCGGCACGAGAAGUUCCGAGGUAAAAUUUUGGAAUAUGACGCCAAAGGUAUACGUCCUCGAAACGUACAAUACUACUAACCAACUCUACGACACAAACUAAAAGGUCUCAUGCUAUAGGGAGGGGAGUAUGUACAUAUAAGGCACAUCACCCCAUCUCCGUUUGUCGAUGUGAGAUCUUACAUAAUUAUUAAUAUAGUGCAAGAAAUAACUAUUGAUAUAUUUUAAAACAUAAAAUAAACACAUAUAAUGAGCAUGGGUACGAUCAUAAAAAAAUAUUGGUACAAAUUCAAUUAAAAAUAUGGGUACAUAUUAAAAUUCAAAACUAUUAUGACAACCCACCCCUAAUUUUACGAUUAUUAAUUUUAAAAGAGUGAUUUGACGAAAAUGCCAUAGAGGUGAGAUUAUUGACUUUCGUUGACCAUCUUUUUGUGAUGUGUUCGAACUUCUAUUUUAUCGUAUUCUCGAAGGACUCAACAGUAUGAACGCAUAGGCGUAUACGGAAUUGAAUUCGAAGCUACGAUGAAGAUUUUACGGAACUACGAAUCCGAAUACUUUUAUCAAAAUUACUAUCUGGUAUUUUAUUUAUUUAUUCAAAAGUUUAUAUUAUUAUAUUCUUAUUUUAAUAUUUUAUAAAGGAUAUUUUAUUAUUUAAUUAUCUUAUUGGUCAUGGGACCCACACAUCUCAAACCCUUCACUUCUUUCAUACCCUGUGUCCCUCUUCCCUCUCUUUCUCUUUCUCGCAUGUUUCCCUCUCUGUUACUCCCUUUCCUUCUCCUAGAAAUCACACGCUGCCACCAACUCAGUUUCCAUUCCGGUGAGAUCCUUUGUCACGGAGCUACAACCGCCGACAGCCACGACUUGUCACUAAUCUCAAACUUUCUAAAACUCUCUAAUCUUAAACUCUCUCUGCACUCCCUUGUGCACAGUAACGCCGAACCACCUAACCUCUCGAACUUCGGCGAGUUCUCGCAAUUCCCAGUGAAGGUGAGCCUCAAAAAUCCCCAAAACUUCUUAAAUCUCGUUUUGGUUUAAGAUUGGGGAAAUUUGAGGUGUUUUAUCAACAUUUUGAUGCAGAAAUGGCACGAGGGAUUUUUCCUCAGUUUCCAGCAAGAGAUCCGACAACUUCAAGUUGUUUUCCGGCCAGCUUCGGGCACGGUCGAGGAAUCCAAUGGUAUAUUUCGAUUCCUUGUUCUCCGAGCUUCAAUUUGAUAUAUAGGAAGACUUGGUUUAGUUAAGUAUUUGGGUUGGUCGGAGUCUCAGCCGUCUUUUUCCAAGUUUUGGAGGUUGCAGAGGCAACCGGCCGGAGAAGAAGAAAGGGAAAAAAAGGGCUUUAAGCCCAAAACCCAGCCCAUAUUCUUUUGGUCCAAACCUUUGGGCCAAUGCCCCAGUCGGCCCAUUUAUUCUUUGGAAUAUUCUUAGAAUAUUCCUUGUGUUGACUUUUUUGGAAAUUCCUCGGAAACCCUCCUAGGCUAAUUUUGACGCCUUGAUUCCAAAUUCGCACUAUGUUUUCCCAAAUUUAAUUAUUUUAGUGGAGUUUUACUAAUGGGUCCUAAUAUUAUGCUUAGGUGAGAUUAUUAUCAAUGACUUCGGUUAUUCUAGUUCGAACGGGUUCGACUCGACAGCGUGAUCUGUGAGUGAAUCUUUUAUAUAUAUAUUGGUUAGUUUCCAUAUGUACAUUCCUUAAUGAAUUUCCUACGUGAUUACCAUAAUUAAAUUAACGUUCGUAAGAAAUGCCUUAUUGUUGGGAAAAGAUGAAAUAAUCCUACGAGAUGCACAAGUGAGCUUACAAUAAGGGCAUGCCUUAAUUAUAUUUAUGGCCAUGAAUAUUAUGAUAUUGACUAGAAUUGUUGAAUGGCUGUGGCAUGAUCAUAUUUAUGUUAUAUGUUCAUCGUUUGCUGCACCGGUGUUAGUACUCGCCCAUGCCAGAACCAGUCUUUCACGUGUAUGUGCACAUUACACUGUAUGCUCACUUUGGAUCCAUGGUAGGUGCCAAUCCUGUCCUAGAUUGCUAUAGGCAAUUAGGACUCGUAUGUGCUGCGCAUAGCGCCAAUCUUCAUGUGAUUGUAGUACUAGAGCGCAUAUCAUUGUUACACCCAGUCCUGUUUAUGUCAGAAUACCUCUGCAUGAACUCGUGUGUCAGCAUGCGUCGAUGAGCACUCGUUAUGGUAGGUUUGCUUAUGUGAGAUUAUAUGAUUUCGGUCGUCAUACACUUAUUUAUGAAUUAUUGUGUCGUAUUGAAUUAUUGAGAUUUUGCAGGCUAUUGUAGAUAUUUUCUUACUAUACAUAGUACGUAUAUUUUGGAAACUAUACUUGUUUUACGGCGAUGAGUUAUUACGUUUUCGAAAAGGUUUUUAUAAAGCUUUGUUUUUAGGCCCACUCACCCUUGUUUUUCGCCCCUCCAGGUUCUAAUAGUAGAGCUUUCAUACCAACGAGGAUUAUUGGCAAAUCUUGGUAUUGGUGAUUACCCUCGAUGGUAUAAUUGUCAAUCCACUCUACUGUACUUUACUUAUGCUCUGACAUCACGUGUGAAAUGGGUUCAUUCCCGCUCACCAGCGCACUCUUAUAUUUAGGCACUUUUAGGUUUAAAUUUAUUCACAUUUUUCCACAUCACUACACUUUAUGGCUUCGUCACCCUCCGGGUGUCACCCAGCACUGCUCAAUUUGAAGUCUAGGUGGACAUUCCGGAUCAGCGUGUGUCAACUAUGGGUACAAAUUAAAUUGACAAUAUGGAUGCAUAUUCAAGUUCAAAAUUAUGGGUACAAAUUAAAACUAAAAAGAAUAUUGGUAUAAAUUAAAAAAAAAAAAAAGGAUACAAAUUACAAAUAGAAAUAUAUGAAAAAAAAAUACGAAAAAGAUUAUAUUUGAAAUUGAUUAAUAAUUUUCCAUUUUUAAAUUGACAUAUAAUGACUUGUAAAUAAUUUAAUAUUCAAAUAAUGACAUGAAGAAAAGUUAAGGGACCUUGAUCAAAAAUGAAAAAGGAACAAGGUUUCAAUUAAUGAGAAUGAGAAUAAGGGAUGAGAACUUAAUUUAUUCAUAUAAAAAUAAUUAAAGAAGGUUUUCUUUUAAUAAAAAGGAUGGUUAAUUAUAAAAUCAAAAUAAAAAAAACUGACAUCUUCAACCUCUUCUUCUCGAUCGGCACUUAGUACUACGGUUUAAUGGUAUUCCUCUUCUGAAAGGUCUUAGGUUCGAUUCUCGCCAAAAGCGAGUUUGAACCACAUUAUUGCUAACCCAUUGUGAGACUAAGCUCACCCCCUCUCCUAUAGUGUAGAUAAUAUCGUUUGUUAAAAAAAAAAAAAAAAAAAAAAAAAAAAAAAAAAAAAAAAAAAAAAACCUCUUCUCGAUCUUGGUCUCAUCCCUGUACUCAAUCAUUUCUUUCCCCUACCUCCACAACCUCCCAUGCCUCCCCCUUAGAGCAACUCCAACGUUGCAAAGGCCCCCUAGGGCAACUUACUAUUGAAUCCACCCAGUGAACAGUAACUGCCUUUAAUGAAUAGUAACUACCUUUUGCAUCUCUACCUCUAAACUGAAUAGCCAUGUCAAUAGGCAAUAAAAUAUUAGUAUUUUUUUAUUUUAUAAAAUAAUACAAAAUAUUUUACUUUCUUCAUUUUCUCGGAAAAUAUUUUACUGUCUACUUCCCGAGAAAAAAUUAUUUUUUACUUUCCCCCUCGCUCUCUCUACUUUCCUAGAAAAUUUCACUACUUUCUUUUGAUUGUCUCCUCCCCUCAUUUUCUCUCACUCCAAUCCUCCAAGAACCCAUCUUUCUUUCAAUCCUUGCAUCCCCACAAAAAUCCCACUUCUAGGUUUUCUUUCCCAUUCACUUAAUUCCCCCACCAAGCUCUCAGAGCUCCAAUGGUGGCCGAGAACACGCUGAAAUAGAUGGAGGUCUCCGCCAUGAUCAAACAGGGCUUCAUCUCCGAUCAAACCCUCUCAUUCUCGCUGUCAAGAUCCCUCUCCAAGCUUUAUUCCCCCCACCUUAUCACCUUCCAAGCUUCUCUCUUCCCCUACUUCUCCCCAACAGCCGUCGCAACUUGCCGGGUCAAAUCAGUUUUUGACUCGACCGACCUGGUCCUGAACUCUUUACGAGAUGAUGUCCUACGACCAAAACCGAGACUCCAAGCUCCUCACGGACCGGAAAAUCCAUGCAUCUUCACCCUGACAUCAGCGUUGCAUCACUUCUACCCUGGGCUCUCGAGCCACUGAUUCGAGCCAAGCCUUUCGCUCGGGCCCCCCUUCUGCGCAAUCACCCGCAUGGGCUGGAGAUGAUUGAUGGGGCUAUUGGGCCCUAUUAAGUCGCUUGUCCAUCAGGCUACUCCCCCCGGUGGAGUUGCUCUAAGCUUUUUUAUUUCCCAGCCCGCACAGCCUCCCACCCUCUUAUCUACAGAUCCUUACGAAUCAUAAUUUGUUGCUCUCGUUAAUAGGUUCUGCAUGCAACCAGGAACGAAGUCAGGCGUUUGGAGUCAAAUGUCUUCCAAUGGAAAUCGGUUGAUUUGAACAAGACGAAUGUGGUUGAGUCUGUCAACUUGGUGGUAAAGUUGUAAGGUCAUUUCUUAAUAAGGAAAAAAACUAUAGGCAGAAAUCUUGGAACAAAAGUUGGAUUUCGGAUGACCGCCAAUACUCGGAAUUCAAAUACAACAUGAUAUAGAGAAUCUCACUUUCAAAAGUCUGAUUCUUGAAUUGGGAUGGGUUCCACCCUUGUAUUGAUUUCUACGGUUCUACCCAAUUAGUAAGCACUCGAAUUUAUUAAACGGUGUGCAAUUUCAUUUUUCUCCAUUCCUUUUCUCCUUUUAACACGCCAUGAAUGUAACAAAUGUUGUAAAUUAAGGACAUAUAUAUAGGAGAACGAUUAGAAAUAUGACCAAAUAAAUGAGAUACGGUCCCCUAAACUCCUUAAGAACGCUUGAUCUUAAAUUUUCUUUCAUUUUCUUUUUUAACUUUAAUUCUAUCCCUAAUUUGAAUGACUUCGUUACAACAUGUCCAUGUAUUUUGGGCCUACUUUGUCUAACGACGAUACCUAAUCACUAUUAUGUAAUUCUUUUCUUCUGUGCAGUUGGAUCAUUAGAGAUUGACUUUUUCCCAAAUAUUCUAUUUGUUCAACAAAUUCUUCAUGGCAGAUGUAGUAGGUUCAAUGAUGGCACAACUUCGAUAUAUACGUGGUGAUAGUUAUGAUUAGGGUUACAGAUUUGUUUAGGGUUUUGGUUGUUUUGGACUAUGUGGGCUUGGAUAUAGCUUGUGCUAGAUUUUGGUGCUAUGACUUUUUUAGUUGUUUGUGCAUACUUGUCCAUUUUAGUGUAGUCUUUUGGAGUUUCUUUGUUUACAGUUAUAUUGAGAUUCAUGUCUUGUACAUAUAUUUGAUGUAACAUUAAAGUAAAGAAAAAUCAAAUAAUAAUAAAUAAACUAAAACAUACAGAUUGUAUAUAACAAAAUAAAUUGUUUAGUCAAGUUGAUUAGAGGAUUAUGCUUCAUCCUUUUGCAAUAAACGUUUAGAUGAAUUUAAUGUAGAAUAUCACUUACAUAUGAAAAAUUAAACAAUACAAUUAAAUAAAACUCUAUUUUAUUAAACUAAAUUGAGCAUAUUGCAACAAAUCAAUACAAACGAAAAUUGAAUAAAGUAAAUAAACAAUUGACUUGUACGAAGAUUGAGACUUGCAGAUUGCAAUGUCCUCACAAAAUUUGCAAUGCACAUGCGCUAGUAGUUAUGCAGGCAUCUAUCCACCAAGAUUCAAUGAUCUAAUUCCAAGUUCUAACACUUCAACUUUGAGCAUUUACAAACCGAUUGUGAUUCUCUCACUCACUCAAAUGUGUUUCCAUUGUGAGAAAAUGUGGGUGAAUAUUUAAGAUGCGUUUGUUACAUCGAGCUAUCUCCCACCCUUCUCCUCUUUUUCUUCUAUUUUCUCCGAUUUUUGCCCUUUUUUUCAGUCCCACGCUCUCCCUCCCCUCUCUAACUUUUUCUCAGUCCAAUCGCAUAAUCGCAAGGAUUUUUUUUCCACUAUAAGACUUGCACGAUAACAAAAACUCAAAAAUCAAGGGCUUCAAAUAAUAAAAGAUUUUACCUUGACUUCCUCAUGCUCUUAAUAGAUGAAAAUGCCACCAAGAGUCCCACCAGACUUUCAAUGCCAAAGCCCAUAAUUCCAAAGCAGAUCCAGAGCGGACCGGAUUCCAUUUGUCGUUCUCGGAUCCUAAGUUUUUCAUGCGGAAUCGUUAGCUCUGUUUAUUGGGUACUAUUUUCAGUUCAAUCGACCAAAAUGGAGGAACCCAUUUCCUCAUAUCAAGUGUUCCUCCGUUAAGCUGAAGCCACACCCGAAGCCCGUGCCGUAAAAAAUGGAGGUCGAUAAGCCCAAGGCAGAGCCUUUGGAAGAUGCCGAGAUCGUGAAACGCGAUUUUGGGUUUUGUAGUCAGAUCGCGAAGCUGCUUGGCGAACAGAUGGUCUUAGCAUUACUCUGGUUUUUGGGGGAUCUCAUUAGGACUGUCUAGCAAGGGACGUAGUCGAGGCGAGUUACACGUAAUUCCAUCAAAGUUAGUCAUGCGGGUAACAAACAUGGGACAAAAUAAUCCUUAAUCUAGUCCUGUUCAGUGAAGCCUUGUGAAGGCAAGCAAACACACCCCUAGUGUCAUUUCAAAGAAUAAUUACAACCAUAAUGUGUGAAUAUUAAUCAGAAUUAAAUAUAUAAGUUUUGGGUUUAUCUAAUCUACAAAGAAUGAAACUCAAACCUGAAUGCAAAAAAUAAAGCACGUUGCUCUAAUCAACUUGACUAACUCAAUCAUUAUAAUUUCUCAAAAUUUUACAUCGGGCAAAAAUUCAUGACCAUAAAGAAACUAAUGGGCGAUAUGAUGAACUUCUCUCUUUUGUAGGUGAAAUUGGAUUCGAGCCCAAAAGAUAAAUAAAAUAAAAUAAUCUGUAAAACUUUCUUGUGACAAAUAAGUUAUUACUUCAGAAUGGGAAGUAGCCCAAAACAUGAGUAAGCUUAAGCUCGGCCGUCCCAUUAGCAGCAUAGUUGCAUUGGUAUGGACCGAUGGACGUGUCUUAUGGUCAUGCAUGUCGGGUACUUAGUGGACUUUGAAAUGGUCAACAACAUUACUCAGUCCUACCGUACGCAAAGUAAGGGCUGUUUUUAUAAGAAACACUUUUGUGCAUAAGUAUUUUUAUUAAAUAUUUCUUUUUUAUUAGAAAUACGUCAAGUUAUUGAACAAAUAUUCAAGUGCAUUUUUUAUGUGCUUCUUAAAUAAGCAUUUUAGAAAACACCUUUCUGAACUAUAACCUAUAUGGAUUUUGUUAAAUGUAAUCAUAAGAUAGUUUUGAUUGUUAGAAAUCGUUUUUAGCUCUUUCAAAAAACAAUUCCAAACAUACCAUAUAUACACACACACACGGAUACACUAGAUACAAAGAAUGAGUAACUCAGAAAGGUAAAAGAUGCUGAAUGUUGGGGGAGAAUCCACUACACAGUUCUAUUGACUAUGCUAGGAAUCUCUUUUUUGUUCCCAUAUUUUCAGGGUGACCUCCAUAUGGGCGUCUUCAUGGUGUCUGCCGCAAUGUGUCGUUGCAAUAGAAAUUUAAGAGGCAAAUGCAAGUGGGAAGACAGUUAAAAACAAUUGGCCGGGUUGGAAGUAAGGUUCUAAAAAGUGUUAGGCGCUAGUUGGGUGGUGUGCAGGAGUUUAGAGCAUAGAAGUCUAACUAAAUUUAUUAAAUAAUAUAUAAAUAAAUGUCUAAUUAUACUUAAAAAAUACAUAAUAUUUUUGGAAUACAUAAAUUGUGAAAUAGAAUGAUAUGUAAAUUAUAAAGUACUAGAACAUAUUGAAAACAUGGAAACAAGCAUAUCAAUGAAUGUUCAUCUAAGUAUUCAACAAGUCUCUUACAAUAUAGUGAAAAAAUAAAAUGCAAAAUGAAAGUUGCCUAUUUUAUGUCUAAUUGAGAGUCACGAUGUCUAAGCAGUUCUAGGCGGCUAGGCGGGCGCCUAGGCAAAUUUAGACGUCUUUUCUUAUUUUUAAAAUGCUUAGGAAUUAAUCAUUAUAAUAGUCAACCACCUAGCGCACCUUGGCGGCCCUGAACGGGGCUUUUUGGAACACUAGUUGGAAGAAACGGUUUAAGUUUGGCAAUUCAUUUAUCUAAAACACAAACCUCUAUGCCCCCAUCCUCGGUUUGUUAGGACAAUUUCAAAGGUAUCUUGCAAUACUAGUUGUGUGACAUAUGAUCUUCGUACCUCAAAAACUUACGUGUUUAAAGAAUAAGUGGCACUAUAAAGUAAACACUCUUUUCAUGUACACCGACAUCAUGUAAUGUUAAUUUAAGCUUAACCAACAGAUAAAUUAGGUAAUUAAGGCAAGUGAUGUAUUUCUUUUGUGGGUAUGUCAUUCUUCUUUAAUGAAGCUUAAAGUUGUAACACCGCUUACAAAAAUAUAAAAUAAAAUAAAAAGUGACGUGUAAAACCUCAACCAAGCGAAAUAAGUUGAUUUGCAUGGCCAACCCUAAAACCAUGGGAAAAGGGAAAAGUUAAGGGAAUUUUAACGAAAAGCACCUGGUACUGUUCACUUUAACGAAAAACCAUAUUUUUACACUAAAAAGUCAAUCCUGGUACUAUUCACUUUACCCUUUAUUUUGUCCUUAUCAUUAAAACUCAAAGUUUUCAAGCCAUUUUCAAGCCAUUUUCAUUAGUUUUCUUAAAAGUUAAAGGAUAGAUACAGUUCUCACUUGUAAAGAGAAGGAAAAAUAGGUGCUUUUUUUUUUUUUUUCUCGUUAAAUCCCCUUCUUUUCUCCUUUUGCAACAACAUGGAGAAAACUUUCAACGUUGGCCACAUUGAAGUUCCGUACAAACCAGUAAACUCUAAAGGAAAUUUGGAAAAGACUUGCAAGGGCAAAAGGCCCUCUAAAGCAUGUAGCUCGCAACCUUUUUCCUUUUUUAUAUUUCGCGUGUGGAGACAUUCAGAGUGCUUAAUCUUGCAGCCACUCUUUCAGUAAUCCUUUUAGUUAUCGUCGUUAGUUUUACUUAUUUGUUGUUAUUUUAAUUAUAUUUUGAUUUUUACGGUUCUAGCUUGAUUUGAUUGGUUAGCUGGAAGCCUGGAACUGCAUAACCAAGGCCUGCAGGUUUGUAUAAUUAUGUGAUGUUUUCUGUAAACAGCCAAUAAGCAAGGUAUCGUGAUUACAACUUUUAUCCAAGGUUGAGGGAACAUAAAUUGUAGUUCCUCUUUUUCACCUCCCCAUUUCUUUUAGGUCAAAUUCCCCAUUAAGAGGUAGCUAUUAGGCUUAAAUUAUGAGUAGGUAUGUGUAACAAUGUAUCAUUUCAAAGGAAAAAAAGUUUAAACCCUAAAUCAUAUGUCACACAAUGGGCAACUUAAUUUGGUAUCGAAUUUACGAUUCACGAGAUUCGAACCUAAAACCUCUCAUUUUUAAGUGAAGAGAAAUAUCAUCAAACCAUAGUGCUGAAUGACACAAUUUUAAAUCAAAUAAAACUAAAAAGUACAUCAAUAUAAAUUAGUCCAACUUUCCCCUUAUUCUCAGCUCUCCUUGCAUGUGACAAUCUUGGUGCAUUCAACUGUGGAGAAAAUUGAACAGCAAGCCAUGCUCUUGUGCAUGUGCUUCAGUGACAUCUUCAAGCUCAUGAUCUCGUGAUCCCUGUCAAUCCCUGUCCAAAUUAUUCUGGGUGGCUACUGCUGCUUUCUUCUGUGUAAACCAGGUAGGAUCACCGGCGAUACCGUGAAAAGCCGCCAGACUCAUCAUUUCAAGACCACAUUUAAGCUUCUCGCAGAUGAUUUCAGCUCUGCGAACCUCCUCGGGAAAAAGCUCCCUCUAACCAUUAUACCAAUUCGAAACAAUUUCAAAGCAUUUAUCCAUUUGGGGAUGAAAAGUUUCACCAUCAUAUACACCAUGAGAUGAACCCGCACAUCAUUAGCCCAACUCAUGACCCAACAAACUCAUCAAGCCUCUAGUUUGGAAGGUUCACGCAUCUUUGGAAGUGUUCAUCUACGCGUUAGCUGUUCCCAACUGGCUGAAUUCAUCACACAUUCUUCCAAGGUGAGAGAUGAAGAAAGUUGAAGUUCCACAAUAAAAUCAUUCUUCCAAGGUGAGAGAUGAGGAAAGUUGAGGUUCCAUCAUAAAUCAAUUGGCAAUAGAGAGAGUAGCCCAACCUCUUAUAAGUCAUUGCAAGGUUUCUCUUUUCACCAAUGUGAGACUCUUUCACCCUCACAUCAAAUUUUCAAGCCAAACAAGUGGACGACACGAAUUUGGUAACGUGAAGCACAUGUAGCCAUUAGGCUUUACACAUGGACCAACCUGCCCUGAACCAUGAAGAUAGUUGAGAGGUUACAUCAUAAAGUAAUUGGCAAUAUGAGGAGUAGUCCAACCUCUUAUAAGCUCUUGCAAGGUUUCUCCUUUUACCAAUGUGGAACUCUUUUACCUUCACAUCCUAACAUACGCACCCCUCACGAGUGGCAAAUUUUCAAGCCAAAUACAUGGACAACGCGAAUUGGGUGAUGUGGAGCACGUAUGACAAUUGGGCCUCACACGUGGGCCAACCUGCUUUGAUACUAUGAAUAAAGUUGAGGUUCUACCAUAAAACUAAUUGGUAAUAUGGAGAGUAGUCCAACCUCUUAUAAGUCCUUACAAGGUUUCUCCUUUCACAAAUGUGGAACUUUUUUACCUUACAUCCUUACACGCCCCCUCACGUGUGGCGAAUUUUCAAGCCAAACACCCAAUGUGGGAUUUUUUUACCUUCACAUCCUCACACAUCUCCUCAUAUGUGACGAAUUUUCAAACCAAACACGUGGAUAACACGAAUUGGGUGACGUCGAGCACGUGUAGCCGUUGGGCUUCACACAUGGGCCAACCUGCUCUGAUACCAUGAGAUUCCACCAUAAAACCAAUUGGCAAUAUGGGGAGUAGCCCAACCUCUUAUUAAACAUUUGCAAGGUUUCUCCUUUCACCAAUAUGAGACUCUUUUACUUUCACAUCCUCACACGCUUCCUCACGUGUGGUAAAUUUUCAAGUCAAACACGUGAAUAACACAAAUUCGGUGACAUGGAGUACGUUUGGCCGUUGGGCUUCACACGUGACCCAACCUACUCUGGUAGUGUGAAAAAAAAAGUUGAGGUUCUACCAUAAAACCAAUUGUCAAUAUGGGGAGUAACCCAACUUCUUAUAAGCCCUUGCAAGGUUUCUCUUUUCACCAAUAUGAAACUCUUUUACCUUUACAUCCUUACAAGAGAACCGUAUAAGCCAAAUCCAACUUGUGUCCCAAGUAUGGUUGCCAUGGAUGCAUGAAUAGGAACCGUGUCUGUACGGAGUUCUCACAAAUCAACGGUUUCCUUCUGUUUGAGCAAGACUACCGUAUCCAAUAUGGCAUCAAGGACACGAGGAGGCAGUACAUUCUACCGAGACCUCAAAACCGAAGCAUUCUUUCAGGGUCCUUGGCCUGCCAAGUAUUGACAGCAGAAAUUCUCAUUGUCAUCAUCAAUAUAAUUGGUUCUUUUUCGACAUAUAAACGACGAAGUGAAUUCAACUAUUAACGACAUUAUGAACAUCAAAAGAAACUUGGUAUUCUCCUUCCAUACAAGCAAACACCAGCCUAUCAUGCCGCAAACAGAUUACACACCCAACGAACAGUGGAAUUAGUGUACAAUUCCACACAUUUACUUAAUUAGGCAAAUUAAACUUGCCACUCCCUGAUGAAGAAAUGAAGCCCGACGCGGAUUUCGCAAUAAAAGCAGCUACUUGGACCAAACUAACUAAAAUUGAAUCAUAGAAACAAAUUGUAAACCAGUAAUUUUAACUAAUAUGGACUCAUAACUACAAAAUUACGCAGCAGCGUGCCGGUGGCAAUGGAUCUUUGGAAUCUCAAAAAAAAGCAAUGAAAAUAAACCAAAUUUUACAGGAACGAAUUCAUUCGUAUUUGAAUUGGUUUCAAAUUUUUAGUUUUUAGUUUUGGUUUUCACUUUUUACUUUUUUGAAAACUAAAAGUAGUUACCAAAUAAGUUUUCAAUUUUCAGUUUAAAAAUAAAAAUAAAAACUGAAAACAAAAUGAUUAUGAAAUUCCUUAAAAGAUAGGAAACUUUAACGAAAAGCUUUUGAUACUGUUCAUUUUAACAAAAAAUCAUAUUUUUACACUAAAAGAUCAAUCUUGGUACUAUUUAUUUUACCAUUUAUUUUGUUCUUAUCGUUAAAACUCAUCAAAUCAUUUUCAUUAAUUUUCUUUAAAAAAUAAAGAAUAAACAUGAUUUGACACCACUUGCAACUUAAUUACAUACAAUUGUUUCAUUUGUCUCCUUUCUAUAUCUUUCUUACAAACAUGUGAUGAGAGAAUGUACGAAGUUUUUCUCGCAUGAUAAGUUAAGGUUGGGCGCUAUCACUCUAUCCUUUCACACAGCUAAAGCAAAGUGCCAAAACUUUUGAGCUGGGACUUGAUAUCUUAGAGAUAUUUUUUUAAUGUGAUCGUAAUACGAGAUGGUACAUCAUAUGUCCUUAUAUAAAUGGUGGGUUAUAUGUGUUAAAUGGUUAAUAACUUAAAAAUUAAAAUUUUCCACCACAUGCAUAAAAACAUGUGGUGUACCAUCCGUAUUCCCGUCACAACUAAAAAUUUCUCGAUAUCUUAAUGGAUCCCACUGUAUAUUACUCCAACCUUGAGAUUUAUAUAUGUGCCCUACACAAUAUUUUCCCUACCAUCCAUCAAUAAUGGCCAGCUUUGACAGUAGUCUCUUCCUCUGACGACAAACUUAAAAAUCUAAAGUUGGUUUUCUCUGCUAAAAUUAUGGUGCAUGACACACCAUAUGUACAAGGUCACUGGACAUUUAAUAAAGGAGAGAAUUUUUACAAGUGUCUCACACGUUUUUCUUUAUUAUUAGUCAUCAAAUUAAAUAAAUUUAACAAAAACAAUGAUCACAAUUAAAUAGAUAUAUGUGAACCUUUAAAAGAUCUGUGUUUAUCUUUUUCCCUUAACAAACUACACCCUAUAUACACGCUGGAAAUUCAAAGAGGAAAAAUUAAAGGGUGGGUGUAGCUUCAAUUCCAUAUAGCCACAUAAAUCCAAAUUAUUCAAAGUGCAUCCAUGCUCUUGUGUCAUGAAUUGUAGCAGGUAACGGUGUUGGACUUCACAUGUGGAACUACCUACUCUGAUACCAUGAAGAAGUUGGAGUUCCACCAUAAAAAUAAUGGAAAAGACUUGGCUGUUGAAAGAUUCAGUAGCACCUCCUGCUACCAACCAAUCACGGCUGGACACGUGUCGAGUAGGAGGUGCUGUUGAAUCUUCAGCAGCCAAGUCUCGUUAAAAAAUAAUUGGCAAUCUAGUGAGUAGCCAACUUACUUAUAAACUCAUACAAGGUCCUCUUCCUAUCAUUGUGAGAUUCAUCCUCAACACAAUCUUUAGGAAUUUUACCACCAUUGAUUGUUUCUUCAUUGGGACAACGAUGUGUGAGUGUGAGGAAUUUUUGUAAUGAAGCAGACAGGUGAGAGACACUCACCGGUGCUACUUUAAUACCGUAAAAGAUUGUUGAACGGUGGUGAUGAGUAUGUAAAUAUAGAAGAGAACUGCUAAUGUUAAUUGCAUGUGAUAAUUUUAUUAAUGGUCAGUAUCAACUCAUCUAUCGCAUUCAUAGGUAGCAUUCUUUAGGCCUAGCUAUUUAGUGUGACAUAAAAUGUAGACGAAUGUUGUGCUCAUCUUGUCCACAACAUAAUUGAUUGUUACCUCCGACAAUGUGACAAAGAUGACAACUUCAGUAAGCGCGCGUUACGAUCUAUUGCUAUCAGUAAUACCUAAAUGAUCAUCCCCUCUCCCCACCACUAUCUAAUGCGAAAAUGAAUGUGGAAAACUAGGGAGAAAUUGUAAGGGAAAUAAAGUAGAUAAAAUUAAUGUUCAUUAACUGUGUGCAUUGUAGCAAACCGCUGGUACUAAGUGUAAUUAGGUACAUAUACUUAUUAAGCUUCUUCUUCUGUAGCUUAUUAUUUUGAAACCACCAAAUGUUGGUCACCUUCGCCAGAACUUCCAGGUGUUGAGUAUUGAAUCACUAGUAUAUAUGUUGAUUAGACUAAGAGUCUGCAGUUUAAUAAUCAUUAUCUGUAUAUGUGCUAUAGAUAGAGUAAAAGUAUGAAAAAUGCAGAGAAAAACUUGGUACACAUGGAGUAACAAGCUGGCCUCUGCAUUAGUCACUUGCAAAUAUAUAUUAGUCACAGUAUGUACAUAGAUAAUUCUUAAUUAAGUCGAGAAGAUUAACGGGAUUUCUGUAUGCAAGUGGAUAUUUGGCCAAGUCUACGUACCUCGUCAUGUGCAUUAAUGUAGAAAAAUUGCAUAUAUUAAUUCUUAAUUAGUAAAAGUUAAUUAUAUAUGUUCCGCAAUAUAGCUUUACUUGUUUCCGUUAUAAAUUACAAUUCUAAGCGCCAAAAUCACAAUCAAAUAGAGUUAUUUUGUACCGAAUCACGAUGGAUUUUUGGGAUUUCCUAAAUAAUUAAUAAACCAAGUUAUCCAUGCAUGUUAGUUACAUCAUUGAUUUAAUAAGGAUUGGUGUGAGUUUUAUUUUUCCAAGUGUUCAUUGUAUAAUUAUGUGCGGUGUACCACUCUGUCUUCUGGAUGCACUGAAAAAUCUCUCAUCUGGUUGAUAUGUAACUUGUGUUUAGUCCAAGUUCUCACUCAGAAUUAUCAAUCUUUCAUAUAGAUGGACUCAUAUGCGCUAGCUAGAUCAUAAGUACUCAAAGUAUUUUAUUAACAACUCGAUCAGAUCACCAUAAAAAAAUUAAAAACAAAUUAAAACCCUUCCAACGGUUUUUCCGUUAUAGUUAGGGAGCUGGUUUUAUCAUGAAUAAUAUUGUUAAUUUAUAUCUUUGCUGACCUCUAACGAAACCAAUAGAUUAGUAACUAAACAAAUAAUAGUUAGUUAAAAUAGAUACAAUGAACAUGUGCAGUGUGCAGUUCAAAUUGUACAGAAAGUUUUGUACUUUAGUUUGGAACUUAAUGCUAUAAAAUCGAAGAUGAAUUUUUCUUUAGUACUUGCACUCACUCAUAAUCGGAAUAUAUGUAAUCAUUGAAUUUGAUUCAAUAGCUUUUAUAUUGUUAGAUCAAAUUAACGAUAAAAAUUGCGUCGGCACUGAAUUCUCGUCGGUACUAAUUAGAGAAAAAUCGCAGUUUGAUUGGCAACGGAGGCUAAUCAGAAACAGAGAAAUUAAAAGCAAAUGGUCUAGCCAUCGAGUCCCACAUGGUCUCAGAACAAGAAACUUUGAACCUGUCCAAAACUCUCUCUCCCCUCCCAUCCACAUACACACUCACAAAAUUUGAGUGCACCCAAGUGAACAAGAGUAAACACUCGAAGCUUGUCCAGUUGCUGCAGCUUCUUUUUCGGCGUGCAACGACGGCCGAGCUUUAUUAGCUGUGCUCUCUCUCUAUCUCUCUCUCUCUCUCUCUCUCUCUCUCUCUCUCUCUCUCUCUCUCUCUAAAGCAAUUCAUGUGCUAUGUAUCUCAGUAAUUCUAAUGAACCAGAGGUCCAGAUGUCACGCUCUCCUAGACCGUCACUCACAUGCCAAUGUAUGCAUAUCACUACUAGAAAUUUUGACUUUACCGAUAAAAUGAAUUUGUCGGCAAAAGUCAAAAUUUGUCGGUAAAGACUCUUUCACGACGAAAAAAUUUGUCGGCCAUUUUGUCACGCAAAGCAUGUCGUGCAAGACUCUAGCCGACAAAAUUCAACAUUUCGUCGGCUAUGAAGUGGUUCUUUCCCGACAAAACAUAUUUUGCCGGCAUUCUUAAACCCCAACAAAAAAUUCUGUCGGAAAAGGAUUUUUAAGCCUACAAAAUGCACUAUUUUGCCAACAAGAUGUGUUCGUCGGAAAAGAUAUUUUGUCGGCACUGCCUUACUCUACCCACAAAAUUAGCUUUGUCGGGAAAGAAUUUUAAUUCAUUAAAAAAAAUGCUUGAAAACACACAAAAUAAUUUCUAAUAAUGCUGCUUUGAUUAGUAAUAUGUAUAUGUACAAUGGUUAUACAAAGUAUUAUAUUAUACAAUAAUCCUAUCCUACUCCCAUUCCUCAGUAUCAGUUUAGCAGUAGCUUCGCAAUAAUAUCCUGCAAAAAUAAUACAAAAUGGUAAUUAUUAUGUAUGACAACAUAAGAAAGAGCAUCCUUAAAACCGAAACAAUCAAAUUGUAGCUAGGAAUCUUUCUAUAAGUAAUAACAUUAUGGAGCUGCACUGAUUCACACAACAUCAUGAAAAAGAUACAUUCAAUUGAAGAUACUUUAACAUAACAAUCUGUUAGAAAAUGGGGAUGGGCUGCAAUUAACACCAUAGUUACACUAAACAAUGAAAACUUAACCAAUUUGUCAACAAGAAAGCAUGUAAUUCUGUAAUCAAGCAUAUAGUCAGACUUGAAUUUCACUUGCAUCUUGGAUGAUAAAGCAUGUACUCAUGUAAUCAAGCAUAUAGUAAAAGAUAUUUCAAACCUUGCAAUCAACAUCUCAGACCACCUGCCAUUUGAGAGGUACUCUUUAAUCCCUUAAUAAGAUGCAAAUCAAAAUGACUAAAAGAAGGUACAAUAAGUUACGCAAUAAUAAUUAAAAGAUAUUCAACUCUGGGAUUAAUUAGUAGCCCUCAAGAAUACAAGGAAAAUCCUCAAACAUAAAAAAAUUUCUCACAACUUGAUCAAAUUGUAUUAAUGACGACAAUUGUAACUUAUUGGGGAAUCAAAAUUGCUUACACAAUGCUCCUUGCUCGUGUCUAGGAUAGACAUAAUCAAACUAUUCGUCCAUGUACUUGGAAUAAACACAAGGCAGAGAAAGCAAAACAUACAAUAUAUUCCUAGCACAAUCAAACUUACCUGUACAAAGCUCCUUGCUCAGUGUGUUGUGCACAAUAGAGGGACAAAAUAUACAAUAUAUUCUUGUCAUCAGCUGAAUGGGAGAGUAACACAAGUUAGGAACCCAUGAGAAAACAUAACAGAGGGAUAAUUUAUACGAUAUACUUGAGAUAAAAUUCACCAUCACCAGCCUCAUAAGCAAGUGCAACUACAUUAACUUCAAUCACGCGCACCUGGAAUAAAAAUAACAAGACUAAUUUAAUAGUAUUAUUAUUAUAAUUUCGAUGAAGAGAAGACUAAGUUAAUAUAGACUUGCACAUGUUACCACAUCUACAUAUGAGUUGUGUAACAACUACAUAUGUUGGAUUAUUCAAAAGAUUUGCAAACAACAUGGAGUUUAGAAUGGUUUAGAGAGAUCCUGGCAAAUAGCUAACAUUGUACAUGUUACCUGUCAAUUUGAAGAAGUCAUCACUUGCAUAAACUAAAGGCAUGUCUGGUAAGUGCAGAUCAGUUCUGCAAGGCAACACAACCAUAUCAAAGCAAACAAAAAGUACAGUCAUCAGUAAGAUUGUAAGAGAUAAAAUUAAAGCUGAACUGAGAAGGCCUACCCCUAAUAAGCUGGAUCUCUUCCCACAAACUAAUAUGGCCAUUAACUCCGGACAAGAUGUUAUUAACUGCAGUUGCAGCUCUCGUCUUCUCUACAUCACUUGCCUUGCACCAUUCUUCAAUGUCGGAUCCUGCGUGUUACAUAGUAAAGUAAGACUCAACCACAACAAAAUUUUGGUCACAAUCAAAACCAGAAACCACGAUCAACAUAGCUAGAACACCAAAAAGAAUGUAAUUUAACAUUAACAUCACAACCAAUCAGAGAUAACAGGAAGCCACAAUUGAAAAAGUUAUAUAUUACAACAUUACUUGGAACAAAAGAAUUGAGAUGUGGCAUUACACGAAUCUUUACUAUCAGCAUCAUCUAGUGCAGAUUCCAAAACCUUCGCCCUGUUCCUCAAUCCCUUCCCCAAAACAUUUGCCCCUCUGUGUUCAGUCGAGUCACAAAUAACAUGUGGGGAUUAGGAAGUGGAUCAGCAAUCAAAAUUAAUAAUCCAAAUUGUCGUAUACACCAAGCCCUGCAACUUAAAAGGUUAAAUUAAAUUUUCCAACUUAAAACCCUAUAUUAAAUCCUACAAAUUGAACUGGCAGACAUGGAAUUAGAGAGGAGAAGGAAGAUAAUCACUUAAAGAGAUCACUGACCUUCGAGUUCUUGGCAGCUUUGAUGGUUUUUUUUUUAUCCACCCUAAUAAACAUAACACACAAUAGGCUCGCAACCUAAUACAAAUUCAAGCCCACAAAUUCCAUUUCAAUUUUGACAAAACAAAUCGAAAAAGAAAAUUGAAAACCCUAAGAGAAUUACAGAGACAACUGAUGGGUUUAUGCACCAGAACUAGAAUUGAAGAUGACAAUUAGAAGGGAAAGAAAAAAAAAACCUUUUUGAGGGCUUUGAAUUUGACGCCGGUUUCGAUCUCCAGCGGAAGGAGGCAGUCGGUCGGUCUGUGUAUUUGCAGCGACGAGGGAGAGGGAGAGGGAGAAGGAAUGGGACGGAGAGACAACAGCUUCGUGUUUGACUAAAGCGCUUAAUUCUUUUCUUUCUUUCUUUUCUAACUCCGCGCUUCUAUUUUGAAACCGCGCUUCCAAUUUGAAACCGCGCUUUUAUUCCACGCCUCAUUUUUGGUUAAUAGUUUUACCCUCAGCCGAGGAAAUUUUUGUUGUUGCCCCGAAAUCGUCGUCUAGUAUUCCAAGAUAGCAGCGAAGGACAGUUUACCCGUCAAAAUUAAACUCGUCGGGACAUUGCAUUUAUGCCGACAAAAUGAUGGUCGGUUAACAUUCAAAUUUUCUCGGCUAAAAUUAAUGCUAUAAAUUGGUUUUGGCUUGAAUAUUUAGCCGACAAAUUAAAAUUUUAGUCGGUAGAGGACUCUUAUGCCGAUAAAAUUUUACUCUGUUGGCUUAGAAUAUGUCGGCAAAAUCAGAUUUUCUAGUAGUGUAUAAAGCAAGGCACUUCAGACUUCUCCUUAAUCUAAACGCCCUCUUAUUACCUUUUUACAAAAUAUUUGAUGUCUCUCCUAUCCAGUGAAUCCACUUGCAAAAUUAGUAUACUUCUUUUCUUUUUGCCUCUCUAACACUCAAAGACACAAAACUAAUAGCCAACAUUUUCUUUGCAAUAUCAAUAUGUAUGUGUGUGUAUAUAUUAUAUCAUUUUCAGACUUUCAUCAUUCCAAAUUUAAAUUGAAGUCGCACAAAUAAUUUUGUGCACACAUUAAAACCCUAAAUUAAUAGCAGCCAUAUACGUCCACAUUAUAACCCUAAUUAACCCUAGAGACCAAGUUUCAAAGUUUUACGAGUAUCAUAACUUACAGUCAUCAUGGAUUGUAAUAACUAGUAGUAGUACGUAGUAAUCCAAAUAAUCGAUCAAUUCCACGUAAAUUAUUUUUCGUGGUUGAGAUGUGUAGAAUGCCAAAAUACAGCAUGAAUCCGCGUUGUGCCGAGUGGAAGAUCAAGGGUGGCCCUACACCGAUAUAGACUGCUGCUGUUGCAUGGUUCAAUUUCAAAGUGUUCCGAGUCAGACUAAUCAGUGAGGUGUAGAUUAUUUUGUUAUGUGGAAGCAAUGGUUGCAUGGUUUGAAUAGAAGCACCAUCUACAGACAUCAUCAGCCUCAAUGGCUCAAUGCUUCCCAGCUUUCACCACCACACAAGGUCUCCUCAUGAAUUCGUAGAGACUCCCGGUGGCCUGGUCUCUAUUUGGGGUUACACCGAUGGACCCCCAACAGAAUUAAGUGACAGUGACGUACUGGUUAAAGUUUACUAAGGUUUAAUGUAUGUAGGCCAACUUCUAGGCUGGGAUAUAUAUGAUGGUUGAAAAACUAUAAUCGAUAAAACAAACAUUAAUUAAUCUGAAAAUUUAACUUUUCCCCUCCAAACUCAUUUUGUCUAGCCACCCAUCAUAUUAUAUUUAUCCAAAUAAAACUCAAUGAUUAGGAUCCAACUAAGCGUCUUACUAAAUUAAGUUUGUGUGUACCUAUUUUUUAAUUUUUACAAAAUUGAUUUACCUACUUCUUUUUAUGGUAUUAGUAUAGACAAUAUGUAGAAUAUAUGUCCGUAAUAUUUGAUUGAAUUAGGUUUUGGACUGGGGAGUUCACACAAAAAUAAAUUAUGUUAAACAAAUUAAAUGUCUGAAAAAAUGUAUAGGAGAUUUGGUGGCAUGAUUUUGUAAACAAACACAAAUUCAUGGACAUCUUUUAUAUAUCCUAAAAUUUGAAAUUUAUUUAGAAGUUAUAAUAUAUGUAGGUUUAUAUGUCACUUCAUCUUUACUUGUUAACCAACAAAAGAUGAGGAAAAAAAAUUGAUUUACAAACCCUAUUGCACUGACACAAAAACAAAGAACAAGAAUACAAACUACCAAGGCAGACAAAACGUAAAAAGCUACAUCGUGCCAAAACUUAAUUUUUACUCGCGAAGACACAAGUUGUAUUUAUGAUGACCUAAUUCUGAACAAGUAGGAAAGAAAACCCUAGUAAAUAAAAGGAAAACAAUCUUAAGGACCUAAUACGUAAAAUACCCUAACUUAAAACACAUCAAAUUGCUAGUUUUUCCAACACUAGUAUAAAAUAUAUUUACGUUAACAAUAAUGCUAGGGAGACCAAAUUUUUUAAAUCAAAUUUACAAACUAAAUGAUGUGGUUGUAGAUGAUUGGAUUAUUAAUUAAGUGUUGAUUAACGUGCUUGUUUUUUAUUGGUGACAUAUCAUUUUGUUUGCAAUUUGGAUUAAAAAUUUUGAUCUCUCUAACAUUAUUCUUAGGGUAAAUGUGUUAGAGUAUAUAGCCAAAUAGAUAUGGCAGUUAGGAUAGUUGCUAAGUGUUAGAUUCAAGUAAUCUUCUAUAUAACUGUAUCAUUGUAACCAUUGAAUCAAUUAAGAAAAUAUAAAUGCAAUUCACACACUUUCUCUCUCUCUCUCUCUCUCUCUCUCUCUCUCUCUCUCUCUCUCUCAACCUUCUCUGUUUUCUUCUUCUUCUUCCUCUGCGACCUCUCUAUUCUCCUUCUGCAUAUUGCUUAACAUGGUAUCAAUCGCCCGAAUAGCUUCGACAGCUUCUUCGAUUAUGGUUUUCUAUGCUUCCGCUUCAUCUCUCAUCUCUCUGUGAUUUUCUGGGCGUUUCUCUUCCUUCCUCAGUCCUUCACUCCGGUUGGCCGGUUCUUGCACACCAAGUGUUUGGUUUUAUUCCUCAGUGAAAAUUCUUCACAAUGGUUACUGCUUCUCAACUGCAAAUCUUGCAGUCUCCGAUUACUGGGUUGAUUUCUUCUGUCUCAUCCUCUGUGUCAGUUAAGUUGGAUGAUUCCAAUUAUCUUCAAUGGCAUUUUCAGAUGCAAUUGCUACUCAAAGGUUAUGGGAUCAUGAAUUUUGUGGAUGGUUCGAGUUCCUGUCCUCCUCAAUUCUCGUCUACCUCUUCUAGUGAUUCUAACAUUUCAUUUACUGGAUCUCAUUCAAGAGUUGAGUCUGAUGAUUACAAAGUAUGGAAGAUGCAUGAUAGGGCACUUAUGCAUCUCAUUACUGCAACCCUAUCCUCUUCUGCAAUUUCUUGUGCUAUUGGUAGCACAAGUGCAAGAGAUUUAUGGGUUAGGCUUCAAGACCAAUUCUCUGUCGUCAGUAGGACUGCAAUCUUUCAAAUGAAAUCAAAUCUUUAUACCAUCAAGAAAGGCACUGAUUCUAUGACUCAGUACCUGCAACGAAUCAAGGAAGCAAGAGAUUUUCUUGCUGCUGCUGGAGUCACAUUUGCAGAUGAGGACAUUGUUAUUCUUGCUCUUAAUGGCUUGCCAUCUGAGUACAACACCUUUAGAUGUGUGAUUCGUGGUAGAGAAAAUGUUAUUUCUCUCAAAGAUUUUCGAUUCCAAUUUCUUGUAGAGGAAGUUUUUGUUCAAAACAAUUCCUCAAUACCAUUCCUCUCUGCUAUGGUGGCACAGGAUCAAGGACAGGGUUCCAAAGUCUCAAUAACUGCCAAUUAUGGUCAUGGAUCAUCUGCGUCAAUUGGCUCUACGCAAAAUCUGGGUUUUCAAAGCAAUGAUCAUUCUAGUUUAUAUGCCAGUUCUGGAGGCAAUGGAGGCACUGGACACAAUCAAUUCUUUUACUCAAAAUCAAAGUACCCAUGCAAGUUUCAGUAUAAUCAAGGCCAAAGGUAUUCUAAUCCUAAACAUGUUGUACAUGAUUUCACUUCACAGUUUAACAACGGAGCUUCUUAUUCUACAAUCACUUGCCAAUUGUGUGCUCAACAAGGUCAUAGUGCAGCUAAUUGUAUUUACAGAAUCACUGCUUCACCUGAGCCAUGUCAAAUCUGUAAUAGAAGGAACCAUAGUGCUGUCACUUGCUUGUACAGAAAUAUGACCUAUUCAUCUACACCUCCAAUGACUACUAUGCAUACCAGUUUCACUGGACAAAACCAAUCAUAUGCUAUGCCAUCUUCUAUGCCAUCUCACUUGUCUAAGGUUGUGCGAUGUGGUAAAGGUCAGUUCCAUUACAAUAAUGGUCCAAGGUUUAAUACAUAUAAGUAUUUUCCUCAAUUUUCACCUGGAGUUCUUGGCUCACCUCCAUCUCUAUAUCCUAGUUCUCUGCCAUCUGAAAUUACCACACAUCAAAUUUGUUCACAGAAAGAUCAUGUUGAUGCUGAUUGUCUCUCAGCUUCUAGUAAUGUAGUUAUGGGAUUUGUUGGAUAUCCAAAUGUGGGAAACAGCGUAUCUGCGCAGCAUAAAUCAGACUUAUCUGAGAAUGAACACUCUGUAGAUGAUGACGGUGAAGACGAGCUAGAGUUUGAUCGUGUCCUCGAAGACCUCAAUUCGUUUGACUUAGCUAAUGAGCUGGCUACCACGAAGAAACUCACUGUCAGAACGCCUCCUGCGCCCCAUAAACGACACAAACAUCAUGAAACUCCUUUACAGAGCCAUUUUAAUGUUGAAAUUCAUACUCAAACUGUUGCACAUGAGUUCUGCGGAUUUUAUGUACUUCGGUUAUGCAAAGGUGGAAGAAUAUUUGAUAUUCAAUUAGGCUACCAUAUGAGAAUUUCUGAUAAGGGUGGGGGCACCAAGUUUACACUGAUUUGGUUACUAUGGUAUACACGGUACAAUGGUAAAAUACAAGGAUUGUUCAGCCACAAGCUUCACGAAGGAUCCCACUUGAUCAGGUCUGGAGAUGACACAUGGGAAAACUUGGAAUAUUUUGCUAUAGCUAUUACAAUUGUCGUUAUCGCUGUUCCAGGAGGUUUGCUUUUGGCUGUGACAUUCAGUCUUGCUUUUGUCAUUAAGUAUAUAGCCAAAUAGAUACGGCACUAGUCAGGCAUUUGGCCGCUUGUGAGACAAUGGGAUCAGCCACAACUAUCAGCAGUGAAGAGAUACUCUACUCUCCAAUUGCAACAAUCUCAUGCUUGACCCACCAUGAGCUUGCGGGGGGGAUGUUAGAGUAUAUAGCCAAAUAGAUAUGGCAGUUAGGAUAGUUGCUAAGUGUUAGAUUCAAGUAAUCUUCUAUAUAACUGUAUCAUUGUAACCAUUGAAUCAAUUAAGAAAAUAUAAAUGCAAUUCACACACUUUCUCUCUCUCUCUCUCUCUCUCUCUCUCUCUCUCUCUCUCUCAACCUUCUCUGUUUUCUUCUUCUUCUUCCUCUGCGACCUCUCUAUUCUCCUUCUGCAUAUUGCUUCAAAAUGCUCUUCGUACUGGUAGAGCUACAAACUUCCCACUGCUUGUUUAGGUACACGCUCAUUGUUCGUAGGAUAACCUGAAAACAAGAAGAUAAGGAAAAAAGGGAUGAGACGAGGAUUUAUGUGGCUGACCAAUAUGUGGGAACUCUAGAGGGAAAAGGGUAUCGUAAUAUCCACGCUCCAAUAAAGUAUAAAUUUUAGUUUCUAAAAUUACGGCUCCUAAGGUUUUUCUUCAAUAAUUAAAAAAAAAAAAAAUCUUCAAUAGUUGCGCGUACGUUACACUACAAGUGUUACAUAACAGCAAUCCAGAAGAGUGAUUACUAGAAGACCGUGACUUCACGGAAUCGAACGAAAAUAAACCCACAAAAAAUAUAAUAUGAUGACUUAGAACUGUGGAUCAAAUUACUCAUUGCAGGUUUGGAUCUUGAGUCAAAAUUUAAUUGAACUUAUCUAGAAGGCAAGCAUGAGCAAAGGGUGGUGAACUUAAGUACGAGAUCAAAAAUCGAAAAUCGAGAGAUAAGGAGAAAGUCAAAUGUUAUUAAGAUUUUACUCGAAAUUUUAAAUUAGUCUGGUGUCAUUAAUUGUAUUCAACUUGUUGUACUUGUAAUUCAUAAACAAUUGUCGCUUCUAAUUGGUGAAUCCACAACAGGUUUUGUCGAUGUAAGGUCGGCAUUGAAAUGCACAAUGGUGACACAACUGACGCCGCCGCCGCGGCCACCACCGUUCGUGGCUUCAAAUCAAAGCAAUCCAAGCAAUUCAAGCACUGGCGGCUGGCACCACUGUUAACUACGGAAAUGAUCCCUUUCAUUAAAUUCAUCAAAUUUAAUCAUCUAGUCUAUUAAAAUUUGAUCUAACGAUUAAAGUUAUUAUAACUUUUAAAAAGACUUCUUAUUUGUAAUCGUUUAAUCAAAUUUCAAUGACCUUGAUGAUUAGACUUGGUGAAAGGGAUCUGGACCGUUAACUACUUGUUUAAUGUUUAGGUUUUGUACUUUCAUCACAUCCAUAAGCAUUGUUCGAUGCUUUAACACGGUAAUUAAAUAAUUCAUCUUGUAAUUAAUAACGUAGAAGAUGAGAUAUUGUCUCUAUUCGGCACUUAGUAGGUUAUAACUUAUUGAUGAACAUCAGUUGACAAAGAAUGAACUAACGAUCAGGCCAAAAUGUGCUAAUCAGGCAGCAAGAAUAAAUGUUGCAAAUUUGAGCUCCAGUCGUUUCUAAGAUAAAGGUGACACUCAUCAAACUCACAGCUUUGUUGUGAUUUUUGCAAUUUUCGGCCAAACUUCAUCAGUUAUAGUGUCUUACUAGGUUUUAAAGUUUGAAGGACGUUUGCGAUAUUUAAAAUUAUUUAACUCUAUUCCUAUUUAGGCAUUAUUAUCUAUCUAUUAUCAAUCAAUAAAAUUUGAAAUUUUCUUAUACUUUAUGUGGAUUCUACAAUUGUUGACUAAUGUUUCCUUUGUCACGCUGCGUCAGGUGUUUAUUUGUUGAAAGGUAAGGAUCAACAAAUUGAUCAAAAUUCGGCUCUCUUGAUGUGCAUAGAUUUUGUUAGGCAGUGAUGAUUGUUUUGUAGUAUUAUUGGUCAUAACAUGAUCAAUAUUUUCUAUGAUUUAUAUGAAUCACGCACUCCCCCAAAAGCCCUUAGACAUGAAAUGAUUUAGUCCACUUGACCUAUUUCUAUGAGUUUCGUGUUCACACAAAGACAAUAAGCACAUAAAAAUCAAACCAAAAAUGAUUCUUCCACUAACUACAUGUCAUUAUUUUAUUUUAUUUUGGAACAAACGAUAUUAUUUAAACUAAUGGGAUGAGGGAGUGGGCUAAGUCUCACAAUGUGCUAGCAAUAACGUGGUUCAAAUUCGUCUUUGGCAAGAAUCGAACCUAAGAACUCUCUCUUAUAAAUAAAAGAGAAUAUCACUAGAUCGUAAUAUUAAGUGGCAAUUAUAUGUCAUUAUAAAGAUGUUCAUUGUGUCGCAUUAAAUUGCAUUACCAUGUCUGUUGAAACUGAAAGUAGUCCUUUCGUGGCAGCAGCCAGCCAGCAGGCGUUGAAGAUAAAUCAUGUCCUCCUAGGGUUCAUCCUGAUUCCUACCCCCACCACUCCAAAAGAUUCUAAACGAUGGUUGUUUGGAAAAAACAUAAAAUAAAAGGAAAGGGCUUUAAAGGAGAGAAGAGAGGUCUUACUAUCCACCGACUUUCACUUUUAUGUAUUUUCUUUACUUAUCCAAACAAAGUUCCUCCGACAAAUUGUUCUAAUAAAACCUAAGUAACACCUUUUUCGUUCCACUUAGCCACCAGCACAGCGGUAGCAGAAGCAGUAGUGUAUUGAGUGUGCUCUUUCUAAUCAAUCGUUUCUUUGUUUGCGUGUUCAUAAAUGUGUUCAUAUCAUCAUGAUUUUUGCAGAGUUUGGUUGUGGUUUGAUCGAUUAAGAUGAAACAAAGUUAUAUUCCAUUGAACCAAUCGUCAUGCUGAUGCAAACGCAUACGAGAAAGAGCGUGUGGGAUGUAUGAUUGACAUGGAUAUAUAUUGAAGUUGCCCAAUUCGAAUUUAUUAUAAUUUUUUUUUUUGCUGGAUGAAAAAUAGAAAGCAACCUAAAGAAAAUAUUCCAAGCAUAUACAAAAGUCUUAAUAUAAUGAAUAUCUUCAAGCAUGUUGCAAUCAUCAAUUUAAUUAUAUAGCUACUAAUUCCUCUUAGUAUUCCUUGUACACUUAUUUUAUCAUAUAUCAAGCAUAAAUAGCUUGGUGUUCUUUUUCUACGGCCGAAACGAAAGAAAACCUAAAGGACUCCUAACUUGAAUCUUUAGUCCAAUGCUAAUUUAUUUUCAAUGUGGGAAUAACUUUUAAGUUCGAAUUUUAAGCAAGAUUUUUAGUUCAGUGGGCAAUUGAAAGUCAACAAGGAUAAAAUAACCCACGCACAUAGUUGUUAAUUUAUUGUAACAUAUUAAUGUAUGGAGAUCAAUCACGUUGGAUGACUGCUUUUGUGGGACAUGAUAAUCACUUACUAUUUUUCUCAUUUUUCACAUUCUUCACAAAAAAAAAAUAUAAAAAAAAUAUAAAUGUUUAAUAAAAAAAAUAGUGUGUACUUAUAAUAUUCAUUUUGAGUACUAGAAUUAGACACAAAACUUGAAUUUUUAUCUAAGUGAUUGAUUGAUUGAUAAUAUUCGUGUCAUAUGCUGAUUUAUUUUGAUUAGCUAGUACGUGCAUUUUCAUUUAACACCAAACGCAACUUUACUUGCUAGUGGAAAAAGGUUUCGUUUCAAAUCAAGGAGAGAAGUUUCACUACUUUUAAAGUACGCACCCAACAUUGGACUGCAUGUUACACACGUGCAUGGCAGCUAGCGGAGGACCUUUGACCGUUUAACGUUAAAUUAGUUCAAAUAUACAACAUAAUCAAGAAUAACAAUGUUUAGCAAUUGCUGUCAUGUCAUCGUCAUAUGAUCGAUAGCAUGACAAUAUCACAUAACAAAGAAGUUUAUGCAAUUUCGCUUAGAAUUCAUUAUUAUAGAGAUUUGAUGUGAAAUAGAGUGCUGACUAUUAACUACUUGAUGUUCUUCUUUUUUUUUUUUUAUUUGAGUUUGAAACUGACAGCGUAAGAUAAAUUUACACAUACGGAGUUCAUCACAUAAACUUACACAGAUGAAACUUAUCACAUACAUAACAGAUUGAUAUAGUUUAUGUUCUGAAUUAGGACUGAAUAUAUGUGUAUAUUAAAAUAAUUUUAGAGCUUGCAAUAACAAGGUCAAGAAGAUUCGCCACCUUUAAUUACAAAAGAAAAUAAAUCCAUUUCACAUGGGAGGAGAAUCAGGCGUUUCUUUCUGGGUUCUGAGUAAUCAUUUCACAUGUUUAAAAAAUAAUGAAACAACCAAAUCUUGUGGAAUGGGCCCUGUAUUAGAGCUUAAUUAGCUCCCAUCGAACAUGAUCCAUUUGGUUUAGACUGUACGUUUGAGCACAGUCGUACAGGAGAAGAAAUGCUGGUGUAAAAAUUAAAACAGCCCAGGAAAUUAAUUAAGGAAAACAAGGGAAGAUGAUGUUUACUUAUUUUAACCUAUUUUUCCAUUUAAAAGAUGUACUGAAAUCCAUUCAUCCCCUUAUUAAGAAAUUGGGAAAAACUUUUAUACACCAUUAGUGUGUUUAGUCAAAUUUUAAAUUUACCUUAAGAAUUUCGGCGGUGUUACAUACACCAUUUGAUUACAACUACUAGUCAAAUUCUAACUUGAGUUAAAGCACAAAUUUGAUCGGUGCCACAUCAUUUAGUGCACAAAUUUGAUGCAUAAAUUUGGUGUGCCUAACAUUAUUUUUAGAAUUUUGCGAGGAACUAUUGUCUUACGCGUGACUCAUGCUAGUGUGUAAACAUUAUAGAAGCCGAGACCACACUUUACAUCAUAGACGCCAAAUUUGAUUUAUCUUUCAACUUAAUUUGAAUUGGGCACAUGAGUGUGAAUUCGAUCGAAUUGUAAACUGGAAUUGAACCUCUAAGUCCAUACUAAAAGGGGUGAAAUUUAGAGGGCUUGAGGGAUUAUCUUGGUAGGUAGUCAUUUAUGGGGUUGAAGUUGAUGGUGUUGGUAUGCGAGGGAGGAGGGACCAAGACUUGACUGUUUGGUACAAAUAAUAUAUGGUGGCCUAAAUGCUUUCAUGAGAGGUCUGUUCCUUUAGAGGGGUCCAUAUUUAUAUAUUAUAUACCAAUUAAGCACCGGGUCUGGUUAUCCAAAUUCGCUUUAUCCGUUUGGUCAUUCAUCAUCAAUUAUUAAAGCGUAAUAUUCUUCUUAAACUUUGGAAACUAAACCUAACCAACGUAAUAAACCCUAUCUUAGACCGAUUACAUAUCACUUGCCCAAUUAAUACAUUCCAAGCAGUUCUUACUUAUUGAGAGCAUAUUUGGCAAGUGGUCUUUUACCACAGUAGUGGAAAGAUGUUGAACCUUUGCAUCUGACAUCUAAUCUAACAAAAUUUAUCAUUUAACAAAAAAAAAAAAAAAAGAGCAUAUUUUGGAAGACAACAAAUCAAUUCAAUAAUUAUUGUUUAUCAGACCUUUGAUCUCAGGAUUUUCCCCAGAACAAAUAAAAAUAAAUUGCCAAUAAACCGACUAAACAAUGACACACUCAAUCCCUUUUUUCUUUCUAGAAACGGGAUUUGCUUUUCGCCACAACAAUCCACCAUUUCGGAGGUCAGGAAGACUCACAGAAGCAUUUCAUAAUUUCUUUGGCCACCAUCGUGACUAGUAUCAGAAGACGAAAACAAUGACAUACUUAAUCAGUAAUUUGAUUACAUCUAAGUAAGAGUUAGCAUUCAGUGAAAACACAAUUCGGUGGCUUAUGAAUUAUGAUCCAUGUAAAACAUUAUCUUAGAUUUGAACCCGUCAAUCCAACAAUGAUGGAAGUACUCACUUUAAAAGCAAGUUAACAUUGUAGAAAUUUUCUUGAUGGUGUCCUUUUUAUUUUGUUGAACAAUCACAAAGUCUUCAUGCAAUAGGUUGUUAAGGAAGUGUCUCAAUCUAAGGUUAUUCCACAAAUGUUUCGAAAAUUAUGUGAAGUCAUAGAUUCAACCCAAAAAAAUCAUGUUGUAUUCUAAUAAUUUCUUCGUGCUUGUCUUGAGCAUUGAAGGGCAAUAAAUAUUUUCGGUUCUUCGUUUUUCUCAAAAUUAUGAUGUUUUUAUUUUUUAUAUAAGGAGGGCCUCAAUUUAUUUGCCCGCACAGGGCCUUCGAAAUCAAUGAACUUGCCCUGAGUGGACUACAGGAUCUUACUAAAAAAAAAUGAAGGUCCUUUAUGACUAAACUUUGAUGUGAAGGGUCAAGGUAUAACUCAUAUGACCUUCCAUAGUUUCCAUAAAAGUACAAGGCUAAAGGGGUGAGUGUGGAGGCAUUGAGUGCCUCCUAAUGCACCAACCAUGGACACAUUUAAAGGCAUUUUCUCCAUGUUCGGCUAAUUUGUAUUGACCCCCACUCAAACCCUAGAGUUCCAGACCUUCUACUUUGCCUAUAUAUUUAAGAUUGGACAUUAGCUUUUUACAAAGACGUUGAUGAAAAAGGCAUGUUCUUCCGAUAAAGUACUAUAGCUAGGCCAAAACUCAGCUCCACUAAACUAGUUGAUGAUUACAUUAUUAUCUCAAUUAACAACUUAAUAAAAGAAAAUUAAUUACAUGAAAAGAUGUAAAGAAAUACUAGAAAGCUUGAAGCUCCAAUUAUCAACAAAACGAGUGUGCCAAUUGAAUCCAUUGGCUUUUGAUUCUUUAAACCUAAUAAGCUAGAAAAACGUAAUUAUCAGGACCUAUGAAAAGGCAAAAGAUAAAACAAUUGAAUAAAUAUUUUUCUUGGUGUACAUAAUUUUUAGUUAAUAACAAUUUUUUUUUAUUUUUUUUUUUUUGUGUGUGGUGAUCGAAUCCAAUAUAUAUCGUUAGGAAAUGUGAGUAUCGCUCUGAACUGAUAAUACCAAGUAGGAGGGACAUAAAAUUAUGUUAAAAUUUAUUAUUAUGAAGGAGAUGAAUAGAGUUUGAAAUUAUACAAUAAUUAAGAAAAGAUGUAAUUUUGAACCCGAAAUAUGGAUCCAGUUAAAUUUACGUGCAUGCAUGGAUUAUCAUCAUUACGUUCAUGAUGAAUCUGUCACCAUGGGGUUCGUUCAUAAUGAAUCUAUCAUUACAGGAUCCACUAAAUAUGCGAGGACAGUAGUAAGUUUGAUACUAAGUUGCGCUUUGUUGAGGGCAGACUAACGACAGUUUAUAGAAGUGUAUUUGUAAUAUUUUAUAGUUUUUCUUGUAAAUUGAUAUUUUAAUUUUAAGGAGAAUUUUGUUAAGUCACAUGAUGAGCCAAACAUAAUAAUUAACAUUAAACUCGACAUUUACGUUCUUACCUUUUUGCAUUGGUAAUGAAUGAGUUAACAUGAUAUAUUCAAGAUGAUAUCCCUUAAUAUAUGCUUUUGUAGAUGAUAUAGUACUGAUAAAUGAAACACAGGAUGGUGUAAAUGCGAAGCUUGGAAUCUAAAAGUCUUUGACUAAGUAGGUCAAAUAUAGAGUAUAUGGAGUGCAACUUCAGUGGGAGUGGGGGUCUAAAUGAGAUAAAAGUGAGGAUUGGAGAUCAAGAAGUACCAAAGAGUGAACGUUUUCGCCGUCUUGGAUCAUCUUGUAAAAGAACAAAGAAUAAAUGGAGAUCUUAACUACAAAAUACCAAAUGGAUGGAUGAAAUUGAAGAGUGCAUUGAGUGUAUUGUACGAUUGUUGUACACCACUAAAACACAAGGGAAAAUUUUAUAGGACGACAAUAAGGCUAUCAAUGCUUUAUAGGACGAAAUGUUUAGUGGUCAAAAAUCAACAUGUGCAAAAAAUGAAGGGAAAUACCCCAAAAUGGGACAAUUUCUUAAUCUUAGGUCAAAAAUAGGACAAACCAGCCAUGCACAGUGGCGGAGCUAGGAUUUCUUGUGAGAAGGGGCCUCACACAAGUAUAGAAGAAGAAAAACGAAUAGUGGUUAUAAAAUUACAAAUGCAAAACAUCAUAAUAUUACAUCCAAAUAAUUAAAUAGUCAAAAUUAACAUAUCCAUAGAUAAUUAUAUCUAUUCAUGGUAAUCAUAAUUAUCCUCAGCAAAUUUAAUAUUUUGAGACCGCAUGAUGUCAUCUAUAUUAUUGAAAGAAUUAUUAAAUUCAAUAGAGAGAAUUACUAAAAAUUUGCAAAUCCUAAAACUCAAGUAAGAGGUAGGAUAGAAAGAAACAAAUGUUUUAUAGAGGAUAAUAGAGUUUUACAAACCUUAUUGUUCUUUAUUCAAUAAAUUUGAGAUUUGGAAUGGUUAAAUAUAUGAAAUUCAAGACGAAUAAGGGAAUAACUCUGCCAAUGUGUAAGUGAAAGAAUUUUUUUUUUAAUUAAAAGUGAAUGAUGGGUGUAAUUUAAAUGUUAUUAAUUUGUGAUAAAUGACGAUUUAAAAUAUUAUACUUAAUUUUGGGAUGGAAUUUGUUGGAUUAAAAAUAGAUAAUGAUUGGAUUUGUUUAAAGUGUUGAGAAGGGUUGCAAAGCAAGGUAUAAUACUAAUCUUAUUUUUACAAGUGAGGUUAGGCCUAGGACAAUUCUAGUCCUAGUAUGCCUCCGUCAUAACCAUGCAUAAAACCGAAAUGAUUAAAAUACCCACAUAUAAAUGGGUUAUUUCCUCCCAUUUUCUGAUUUUUCUCUCUCUAUUCUCUCUCAUUUCCUCUUUCUUCUCUCACUUUCUCCCUCAUGCACUUUCUCUCCCCUUCUCAUUGCGCACAUAAGGUGCACUAUCAUCUCAACCAACAUCGUCCAAAUCGAAGCCACCACUAAUUUCAUCUCAUCCUCAUAAGUCCAAAACUCCUAGCCUUGUCACAAAUCUUAUCCCCGAUCGCUAGGAUCGCACCUUAAGUAGGUUGCGAGUUUUUCAACCAUUUUUCAGCAACAAAGCAAACAAGUGAGGCUCGAGACCACCACCACUGUACUUGCAUCGUGGGUGGGAACAAAGACCAGUCAUUAAAUGCUAGUGUUUUAUUGGAUGAAUUUUUCAGGAUUGGCUCACUAUAUGUACAUGACAUGAACAUGAUAUGCUCGCAGAUUUGAACCAACCCAAAAAUCAGAGCUCACAACUCUCUUUUUGAAAUCAAGAAAAUGAUGUCAUCACCUGUGACGUCACCACCAUUGUGAAAUCCCGUUCCUGGAGUUCACUAUUGCAAACUACGUAUUUGUCUUAAGGAGAUUCUAUAUUAUUUUUGGGAAUUUAUAUUAAUUUUAGAUUUUAAUUACUUAAUUACAAAGUUUGAAUUUUUGAAAAUAAUUAUUUAAAUCUGUAGACCUUUAGGAGUCACUCUUAAUGUUUUCGAAUUGAGCUCAACCCCACGACCACAUAGGAGAAGGCCAUCAUGAAUCGGGACGAGAAAAGAGAAGUUACGGAUGUUAGAAGUUUCUUAAAUCAAAUAGGGAUUUAAUAUUUUUAGGGGUUCCUAUUAAUUUGGGAAGAGACUAAUAAGAGGAGAAAAAAAAAAAAAAAGCUGCCAGAUGGCAACAAGAGAGAGGGGAAGAUGAGAGUUGCGGGAGAGAAAAUGAGGGAUACAGGGACCAAUCGGGAGAGAGAGCAAGAAGGGGAAAGAAGCGACUGAGUUGGGUCGUUUUGACCCAUUUAUGGAUCCACGAACCACCAUUUUUUACCCGACCGCAUCUCCCUCAUCCGACUUCCGUUUUGGGUGAUCUUGGUGUCCAUGGAAAGCUCGUGACGAGACCAACAUCUUGGUGUUGUUAGAUAGUCCAUUUUCUCACUCAUUUUUCCAAGUCGAAGCCACAAAGUGUCGAGGGUUUAUAGUGAGUUUUCUCAUUUUUCAAUGAUCACCACCACCAAUAGACUCCUCUCAACCCCAGGAACAAAGCUCAAGUAGUGGUGGAGGCAUCAAAGUGCAUAUGGAGGUCGAAUCAAAGCACACCAAUUCCUAAGGUUUCCGAUAGUCCAAGGGAGAUUUCAGGUGUUUUCCGGACGAAUUGGACUUCAGCCCAAGUAUGAAAAUUACUUCCCUCAUUGAGAUCUACAUGCCUGUAAAAUUUGGUAAUUUUUGGAAAUAGUUGUAUUUUCCGACGAGUCAGGACGGCCUACUGCUGCGCGCGGCGGCUUGUGGGCUGAGACCUCACCUGACCAUCCUAGGCUAAUUUUGAUGCUCUGAUUCAAUAUUUGACAUCCGUUUAGUAAAAUUCCAAGGUUUGAAUAUAGUUUCGUAGUUGACCACCUAGUUGGCUGCCACAUGAUCAUUAUAUAAAUUGAUGAUCCGACCGUUGAAUUGGCACCAAACUUUAAUAUGUUAUAGUACGUAAUAUUUGAGUACGUUUAAAACUGACAGAUUAGGAAUCCAACCUACGGAUCUUCCCGAAUUGAAUUUCUAAGUUUGUAAAACCAAACUUUGACCACCAUUUGAAUUUGUAUUUGGCAGAGAUCCGACUGUUGGAUCGUAAUAAAACCUUAGUAUGUUGUUCUAGAAGACUAAUGAGACUUUUGGGAAGUUACGGAUCAGAAAUUUGAUGGGCGGAUCUUUCGGAUUAGGUUACUAGGGUUGUGGACCUUACCCUCGAUCUUGAUCGACAAUUGACUUUUUAGUGAACUAGCCCGAGUUCUUCUAGCAUGUCACUGAGCUUAGAGUGUUGUCAAGAUUUCAUGGAGCUUAUUGGGCUCAGCAUGAUGAUGUGUCUUCCUCAAUGGACGUGCACCUAGAUUUAUGUACGGAUGACAUCACAUUGUGUUAUGCUUGUUUAUUUUACGUGAUUUGAUUUGUGUAUUGAACUUGUUAUGGAGUGUGGUUGAUUUGUAUGUUUAGCCUGAUGUGAUGAAAUGUGAGUGCUAGGAGUGGACCAUGAACCCAUUGUCAUGGGGUUUGUUGCUUCGAGACUUGUUCACAUAUCGUAUCAUUAUUCCAUUUCUUAUUUCAUUGAGCUUUUGUAUUUUGAGUACUUGUUUCAUGUCUUGUUCUUCAAGCUUUGCUAUAUUUCUUGGACUUCUGCUCGAUUCUGUUGAGUAUCCGGAACUGGGUUUCUGCUGGAGUUCCGUUAAGUGGUCCGGUUAUCUGCUCCGUUUGGAUUCCGUUGAGUGGUCCAGAAUCCCUCGUGAUCCGCGAUUUCGUUGAGUGGUCUGGAAUCGUAUCCAGCUUGGAUUUCAUGGAAUGGUUUGAUAUGCAUUGUACUCUGUGAUUCCGUUGAGUUGUCUGGAAUCGUAUCCACUCGGAUUUCAUUGAGAGGUCAAGAAUCCCUUAUACUUCGCAUUUCCGUUAAGUGGUCUGGAAACCCACUUGGUGUUUUGGUUCCAUUGAGUGGUCCAAAACCCGAUAUUAAUGGAUUUUGUUGAGUGGUCUGAAAUCACAUCAUUUGACUUGUUAGUUCCUUGGAUUCGAUUUCAGCUUCAAAGAUGUAGGCUUCGACCAAAUUAUGUCGUUCUAGCCAUACAUUUCGGUGUAUUGUAUGUAUUAUUGAUUGGUGUGAUUAUUGGAUGGUGUUGGAAUGCAUAUGUGUGGGUGAAUGGUAAGAUGACUAGAGAAUAUUAUUGUGCUUCAUUGAAUAUUCCUUGAGGUGCUACAUGCUUGAAUUGUGGUAUUAUGUUGAGACGUAGUGAGAUAUGUGAUGAAUGUUUGAGUGUAGUGAAUGGUAAACUAUGAAUGGCUUGAUCCUAAUUUAGGGUAUGUAGGCAGUCUAACAAAGAGGUUAGAUAUAGCCAUAAAGUAUACGAAAAUUAUUACGCAAUUCAAACCUUGAGUGGUGCUUUGUACAUAUCCCAGGGACGGGGUAUGUUAAACGUAUGGAUAUUGACGUCACCUUCGAUCCUGGACGUAUGUCGGGACCAGGGCAUGACAACCAUAUACACUAUAUGCACACCACAUGCACAGAAUAUGUACAGUACAUGCAUAUGAUAUGUACAGAACUGAAGAUCGAGCAACGAGCUAUUUUUUGCAUUAACAAGAAUCUUUAACGACGACCUAUUGGUAUAGUGGAUACAAUUAAAACAUAAUUGCUACAUAUAUAAGAUUACAGUGGGAGUUUGAAAAGUCUUGUUAUGUAUAUCAAUCACUGCUUAAUUGUGCAUGUGGAAAACAUGAUACUUGUUGUCGUUAUUUCAUGGACAUGCAUGAUCCUUAACGUCCUCUAAGCUUUUUCUUAAUUUUUUUUUUCACCGAAGCCAACUAGGUUGUGGUCAUACUUGCUAAAUUUUAGGGCACACCAUAUGUGCAUCAUAACUAGUGAACAUUCCCGCUUUUCAUAUUAAAAUGUAGCCAUACACACCAUAUGCACAUUAUGGAAAAAAAUUCACAAAUGUCUGCAAUUGGAUACUUGAACCAGAAAUUGUUCCAUCCCAGUUUUGUAGCAUAUCAAAACUUGAAAUUUAUUCCACAACCCAUAGGCCCCAACAUGAACCACAAACCCUAAUUUAACUUAUAAGUAUUAAUUCAUCUUACAAAUAACCCAUUUAUUCCAUAAAUCAUUGAUGAAUGAACUUGGAACUAAACACCCUACCUUAUUAUGCCUGCCGAAGCUUUAGUCGUUGUAAAAAAAUGGAACUUUCCAGCCAAAACAGAAAAUAUGGUAUAAAACCCAGCUUUCUUCUCACCUCUCUCUCGCAUCUAUUUGUUCAAAAUCAGAGGCAUGAGGUUAACCCAAAAACCAGCUCACUCUUCUUACCUAUCUUUGGACUUCACUCUCUUCGAAAUCAGAUGAAUUAAUACUUAGAAGUUAAAUUAAGGUUUGUGUUUCAUGUUGGGGCCUAUGGUUUGUGGAAUAAAUUUCAAGUUUUGAUGUGCUACAAAACUGGGAUGGAACAAUUUAUGGUUCAAAUGUCCAAUUGCAGAAAUUUGAGAAAUUUUUUCCAUAAUGUGCAUAUGAUGUGCAUGGCUAUAUCUUAAUAUAAGAAGCGGGAAUGUUCACUAGUUAUGAUGCACGUAUGUUGUGCCAUGGAAUUUAGCAAGUAUGACCACAACCUAGUUGGCCUCGGCGAAAAAUAAAAUUAAGAAAAAGCUUAGAGGACGUUAAGGAUCAUGCAAGUCUAUGAAAUAACGACAACGAAUAUCAUAUUUUCCACGUGCACGGUUCAAGCGGUGAUUGAUAUACGUAACAAGACUUUUCAAACUGCCAUUGUAACCUUAUAUACAUAACAAUUAUGUAUUGAUUGUAUCCACUAUACUAAUAGGUUCCCAUUAAAGUUUCUUAUUAAUGUGAAAAAUAACUCGUUGCUUGAUCUCCAGUUCUGUGCAUAUGAUAUGCAUGUACUAUAUAUAUGAUAUGCGUGUGGUGUGCAAAUAAUGUAUAUGGUGGUGACGUCAUAGGUGAUGACGCCAUUUUUCUAAUUUUGAAAAAAAAAAACUGUUUUUGGGUUGGCUCAAAUCUGUGAGCAUAUCAUGUGCAUGUUGUGUGCAUAUUGUGAGCAAAUCCUGAAAAAUUCAUUCAACAAAACACCAGCAUUUAAUGACUAGGCUUGUUCCCACCCUUAAUGCGAGUCCAGCGGUGGUGGUCUCGAGCCUCGAUUGUUUGCCGUGUUGCCGAAAAAUGGCUAGAAAACUCACUGCCUGCUUAAGUUUCGAUCCCACCGAUCGGGGAUGAGAUUCGUGACAAUGCUAGGUGUAUUGGACUCAUGAGGAUGAGAAGAAAUUGUUGGUGGCUUCGAUUUGGACGGUGUUGGUCGGGAUGAUAGUGCACUAUGUGUGCACAGUGAGAAUGGGAGAGAGAGUGCGUGAGGGAGAAGUGAGAGAGAAAAAAAGGGAGAGAGAGAGUAGAGAGAGAGAAAUCAGAAAAUAGGAGGAAAAUACCUAUUUAUCUACAAAGGCAAUUAAGUCAUUUCAAGGUGUAGGAAAAAUCCUAUUUCUAUCUGAUUGUUGUGCAUGGCGUAUGCAUAUUCGAAAUGUCCUAUUUUUGUCUCAAGAUUAAGAAAUUGUCCUAUUUCAAGGUAUUUCUCAAAAUUGAAUGUAAGAAAGAUAAGAAUGCUUCGUUGGAUGUGUGGGCACACUACAAAGAAUAGGAUUAAGAACAGGAAUAUCCGAGGAAAAGUAAGGUCACUGAAUUGACAAUAUGAUGAGAGAAAACUGGUUAAGGUAGUUUGGACAUGUGAGCCGAACACCUACAAAUGCUCUAGUUAGUUGAUGCGACUAUGAGAUAGAGGCUCAAGGGAAAAUUGGUAGAUGAAGACCUAAGAAGACUUGGAAAUAGACUUUAAAAAGAGAUAUGAAGUACUUAGAACUAAUGAAAGGCUUGAUGCAUGCAAAACUGAGUAGUGGCUUUGUAGAAUUCCAACCCAUUUUGUAGAUAAGACUUAGAUGUUGUUUGUUGUUUGUUGUUGUUGAACUCGACAUUUACGUGAGUGAAAAACGAGACCAGCAUCUUAUAAGUGAAUAAGAAUCACUAAAAUUGUAAUAUCGUUUCUUUUUUUUUUUUUUUUUUUUUUUUGCUCUCUUUGUUGAUAUUAUCUUUGCUUUUCCAUUUUUUUCCUUUUUUGACUUGCAAUUAACUCGAAGUAUAUUUAAGAAUGUCAGGCCAAAUGAAGAAAAGUAACUAAGAAUUAAUAGAUGUACAUAAAACAUGCAAAAGAAGAAAGACUCGCAACUAGUUUUUCAUAGCCAACUUGUGGACAAUUAAAUCCCCUUUGUUUUAGAAUUUAGUUGUUAAUAAUAUUGAUGUAAUCAUUUCUUUCCCAACUAUUCUUAUUUUAUUUGAAGGGUUUCGAAAUAAUUAAGCUAAAUUUAUAUUAUUCUUCUCCGGCCUUCCACCAUUUGGAUGCUUUUUCCAAAGAUUUGUUGCAUGAUUGUGCUAACCCUUACGGAAACAGUCCAAUUCUAAUUUCCUAGAUUUGUUUGGGAAUUGUUAUUGACAUUUAAAAAAAAAUUAUUUUGCACUUCUUACAAGUGUAUUGUUUUUUAAAUAUAAAAAAUUUAGAGUAUAAAAUAAGAAUUUUGGAGUAAUAAUAACAAUAAGUUAUAGUGUAUUGAAAAAAACCCUCGAGAGUUCAUGGUUGUAAUUGCGUUAGAGACAGAAGCUAUUCGUGAGGCCAUAUGUUGGCCUGGAUUGAUAAGAAUUUUUUUCGCAAAUAAUGAUAGAGAUAGACUUUGUUAAUUUUGUAAGGCUGUUAAUAUAUGACUUGAUGUUAUGAAAUUGAAGAUAUGUGUAUAGUGAAAUAUAAAAUAAAUAAAAUACAAUAUUUAUGAAGUUUGGCAAAUUUGCUUACGUGAUAUAAAGUAAUAUUAUGACGAUUGACGAAUAGGACGGGGAUCGACUGAGAAUGAAUAAAACCAUGUCCAAAUAUACAAGAACCAAAUAUUUCUCAAAAGGCAAUAUAAUCCUAUAUUUUUUUUUUGGUCAAACAACUAAAUUUCAUUAAAGAUCAAACACACUAAUACAAAGUGAGGUUAGUCUGAAGACAGUCCACAUCAUAAUAAAUGUGACAACCUGUCCCAAAUUUUAAGUUUUAUAAAUUUUAAAUUAAUGAUUUUAUGAAAAUGCCCCUUGAGGCAAAGAUUUUAAACUUCGUUGACCAUCGAUUAGAGAGACGUGGGACUUUUUUUUUAGCAUAUCCUUGUAGUGCUCGUCAUUACGAGCGUAUAGGCGAAAGCUGUUUGCGAGUCCGGAUUAUAACGGUAUAGUUACGGACGUUUGAAAUUGGUUAAUUAUAUUUUGGUUUAUAAGUUAAUUGAACUCCCACCUUGUGGGAAAGAAGCCAAUUAAAUUUUAGAUACAAAUAUGAAGGGACCAAUCAGAAACAGGAGCAAAGAGAGGAAAUGAGGGAACAAGAACCCCUCUUUUUGGACCCGUGUACCCGCACACUCACACCCAUUCGGCCGGGGCCAUUCCGGCCAAAUUUCCACCAUUUUUCCAACGAAUUAGGCCAAUCCACCCCCUCCCAAGCAUCAUCUUGACCCUUCCUCUACCAUUACCACACCAAAUUUGGGAAGAUUAGGUUCAAAAUUUUGGAGAAAACGCAUUGGUGGGUGCGAAGGGACUUGGAUGGCGAUCCACCAAUUAUGAAGUGUUUCUCUUCAAUUACCACUACCAAAACACUCUCCUAGAACCCAGUAACAAAGCCCAAGCAGUGGUGGAGGCGUCGGAACACGUUUGGAGGUCGAAUUGAAGCACACCUAAUUCUAAGGUUCCGACGGGUUUUGAUGAAAUUGGAGCCUUUCCAGCCAAAUUGGCCUUGGUCAUAGGAGCCAAUCUUUCGGGACGUCUCGAUGCGCAUGCUAGAGAAUCAUAGCAUAAAUUCCAAGUGAGUGGGUCAUUUCCUUUUAUCAUAGGCAUAUAGUUGAUAGUUUCACAAAUGCUUCUAAAUUGAUUUAUGCAUUUUAUGCCAUGUUCUAAAGUGCUAAUAGAUGGUUAAGUUUAGAUUAUGUCAUAGUAUAUCCAUAUGCAUGUUAUCUACAAUUAAUUAAUGCGAACUACGAAUGGCUUGAUCCCUAUUUAGGGUACGUAGGCAGUCUAACGAGACGUUAGAUGCAUCCAUAUAAGAAAUGAGAUUAUAUAAUCGAGACAAUAGCCUUGUUUCAGGAAUUGAGCAAUGUGAGGGAUAUUGGUGAGAAAUGUGCGUUUAAACUUUAUGUUUUGGUGAUUAAUAGUUAGUACACUGUAUUAUAUAAUUAGAAAUACUAUGAAAUGUUUUUAUUUUAGAUUUCAUCAUGGCAUAUCCAUACAUAUAUUCCUUGCACAUAAUUAUUGUGAACGCUCCGAAGUGCAAAUGUGAACACAGGACACACAGGUAAGUUCAGGUAAGUUCAGGUAAGUUUAGGUACGUUCAAGUAAGUAUACGGUAUUAGUUGAAUUGAUGGGGUUAUGAUAUGACUACAUUUAUGUUUAAAGCAACUCCGACACCGUCGUACAUGUUGCAAUAGUAGGCAACUCCAACAUUGUCGUACAGGUUGCUUAUGAGUCGUACAUGUUGUAUUAGAUGCAUUCAAAUCUCAUAAACCUGCACUUCGGUGUUAGUGCUCCCGCCCGUGGCCAGGGUACAGUCCUUCACGUAAUGUUCACCUCCCGCACCAUACGUUCACCUUGAAUUCAAGGUAGGUGCACAUGCUUGUCGUACAGACCGCUAUAGGUGGUUUCGACUCGUAGGUGACUCUUCACGUGAUUGUAGCACUUGAGCGUAUGCAUUUACACCCAGUCCUAUCGUACAGACCACUACUGUGGUUCCGACUCGUGUGCAGGUGUAGUGCCGUACAGAUCACUAUAGGUGACUCCGAUUUAUGAGCUAGCAUAUGUAAUAAAUAAGAGACGAGCUAGCAUAUGUAAUGAAUAAGAGGCAAGCUAGCAUAUGUAAUGAAUAUGUGAUGAGCUAGCAUAUGUAAUGAAUAAGAGACGAGCUAGCAUGUGUAAUGAAUAAGAGACGAGCUAGCAUAUGUGAUAAAUAUGUGAUGAGCUAGCAUAUGUAAUGAAUAAGAGACGAGCUAGCAUAUAUGAUAUAUGAUGAGCUAGCAUAUGUAAUGAAAAAGAGACGAGCUAGCAUAUGUGAUGAAUAUGUGAUGAGCUAGCAUAUGUAAUGAAUAAGAGACGAGACAACAUAGGUGAUGAAUAUGUGAUGAGCUAGCAUUUGUAAUGAAUAAGAGACGAGCUAGCAUACAUGAUGAAUAUAUGAUGAGCUAGCAUAUGUAAUGAAUACGUGACGGGCUAGCAUAUGUAAUGAAUAUGUUAUAAGCUAGCAUAUGUGAUGAAAUAUGUGACGAACUAGUAUAUGUGAUGAGAUAUGGGUAAGUUGUACAAGCCACCCUAGGUGACUCCGACUUGCUUACUAGUAUGAGUUAUUAAUCGCAUGAUUAUUUGAUAUUAUUGAUGAAAUGUUGUGUUGUGGUAUAUUAUGAAUUUUCUGGAAACUAUACAGGUGUUGUAGUGAGGGGUUAUAAUGUUUUACAUGGUUUCUAUUAAAAUUUUACUUACAGGGCCACUCACCCUUGUCUUGUCUUCACCCUCCAGGUUUUAUUAGCUGAGUUUUCUUAUCGUCGAAGAUUCAUGGCGAUUCUUAGUAUUGGAGAUUAUUUCGAGGUUAUGAUUCUUAAUUCACUAUUUUGUACCUGCUUAUGCUCUAACGUCACGUGUGAAGUGGGUUCAUUCUUGCUCACCAGUGCACUCUGGUAUCUAGGCACUCUUAGGUUUAAAUUUAUUCACAAUUUUCCACAUCAUCACACUUUAUGGCUUCGUCACAUUCCAGGUGUCGGCCAGCACAGCUCGAUUCGGAGUCCUAGUGGACAUUCCGGGUCAGGGUGUGUCAGUAAAAGUGCAGCCUAUUACAAAAGUAAAGGAAACAAGCCCCAAAAGUGAGCCCAAGAUAAAGCGUAAACUGAAAACCCUAGAUCUGGAAAUGAGAAAUAGUCUUUUCCACCAAAACAGCUGCACCACCAUCGCCAAGCCGCCGCCACUGGUAAGAAGAACCAACGAACUGAAAGGAUGAACAGAAAAUGGGGGUGGGCAAGCCAUUCGUGCAAAAAGCGCUCCUAUAAUCCUACCAAAUAGUGCGAAAUGCACUUUAGCAGCCAUUGAAACCCAAGGCACGCCUCCAACCAAAAGUCCAUAGAGAAAGAGCACGAGGAGCCGAAUAGUUGAACCAAGUGGGCAGAAGCUCGUGACUGGAAACAACAAUUUGGGAAGGAAAAAAUGUGAAACUCAGAUCUGCAACAAGAUUGUCAAACAUUGAGACAAAAGCUCAAGAAAAAUAAGACAAACUCAAAGAAAAUCAACAAGAAAACAGGGGCCAAAGAAAAAGAAAAUGAAGAAUAUGAGGCUUAAGGAAGAAGGAGAAAGAGAAAAAGGAAGGAGGAAAUGAGGUUGCUACCGACCCUACCCGAGAGGAAAGGCCGGCAACUGAAGGUAUACUUGAUUUGGAAGAUCUAGGUUUGGCAAGGGGAGCGGCGCCUCUAGGGUUUUUUUUUAAAUAUAAUUAGACCUGACAUUUUCAACCCAACUCGUUCAUCCGACCCGACCCGACCCAUUAAAAUUAGUAUUCGGGUGAGUGCUAAACGGGUCAGGUCAUUAACGGGUCAACCCGUUAAUCACCUGUUAUUUAACAGGUCAUUUUGGGUCAACUCGCGAAACCCGUUAUUGAGGACUUUUGUGUAAUUUCAAAUUUUCACUCUUUCAUUCAUUUGCAGUUAGAUAGAGUGUCUAGUAUUGACAAUACUGUAUUGCUGCAAAAUACAUUAGGAGGCUAAUUUCCCAGCUCCCACCAGUUCAGCCUAUUCAUAUUUCGUCUUUGGACUUAUCAAGGGCAAGUUUUGGGGGUCAUGGGAAUAUGGGAUGGCCAGACCUUCGCUUGAUUUUGAUCUUCUACCUGGGAGUGCUUCAUCUUCCAUGCCCAAUUUACCUUACCAGCCUAAUGGCUUUUCGGACAUGGAUAAGUCCUUCAUGACUGACAUUAUUGCAAAUGCCAUGGAAGAGUUGCAUAGGCUUUUGCAGACCAAUGAACCUUUGUGGAUGAAGUCUUCUACUGAUGGGAGGGAUGUUUUUAAUCUCGAAACCUACGAGAGGAUUUUUUCGAGGGCUAAUAGUCAUUUGAUUAUUUUGGUUGCCUAUCUUAUUGGGGCUACUGCUUCUCCAAAUCUUGGUCCUAGAGAUGUUGAUGAUUGGCAAAACAGUUCUCUACCUGAAAAUGCCAACCCCUCAGAUUAUGAACGUAUAUAAUUGAUAGAAAGUCGAAUUCUACUAUACAAAAUGGGGUUGUAUUUGAUUUGGAUGAAAUGUAAAAAAAUAAAUAAAUAAAUUGUUAACGGAUGUUAACAGGUGAAAUGGGUGAAAGGGUGACUUAUUAGAUUAAUAGGUUGAGUUUGGGUGAUCUGUUAGUUUAACGGGUUGGGUUCGGAUGACCUGUUAAAUUAACGAGUCGGGUCAAACCCGACCCAAACCCAAUAAACCCAACCCGUUUACAGGUCUAAAUAUAAUCCUAUAUUUAUAUAGAUAUAUAAAUAUAUAUCUUUUUUGGUUCAAAAAAAAAAAUAUAUAUAUAUCUUUUAUGUUUGAUAAACUAUGAAAUUCAAUAAAGCUUGAAUCAUAAGAUGGAAAACGGGGGUAGUGAUGAGGUGGGACCAAGUAGCAAUUGUGGGCCUCUACCAGCCGUCCGAUCAAAAGGCCCAGGAGAUAUUUUCCAAUCAUGAGCCGGCGGGAAGUGGGGUUUGGAGUUCAUCACUUCAUGCGCGCAGGAAGCCGACCUAAUCACAACGGCUCCGCUUCGACGACUCGAGCCGACUUGGUCGCUAAGACUUGCGCGCGAUACGGCUGAGUUAUACAAAGAAAAAGGAAAGCAAAAAUCAUAAUCAUGUUUUUCCCUUCCCUGAUCAUAGGGUGCUCUGUUUUCCUUGUCCUUGCUGAACUCAGCUGUGUGCUGUUUAGCGCAUCUUUAAAGGAAAUGUCAAAUAUAAUAUGUCAAAAUUUUAUUCGAUAGCUGAUGUGGCAAAUUGAAUACAAAUACUAAAUUAUCUUCUUUUCCAAUGGAUGUGUCAAAUAUUGAUUUUAUGAUUUUAUUGGGCCUAGAGUUAUAUUAACUAUUAAAAUAUACGGAACUUUAACGAAAAGUUUUUUGUACUGUUCACUUUAACAAAAAAUGACAUUUUUACACUAAAAAGUCAAUCAUGGUACUAUUUAUUUUACCCUUUAUUUUGUUAUUAUCGUUAAAACUUAAACUUUUCAAAUCAUUUUUAUUAGUUUUCCUUAAAAAAUAAUAAUAAAUAAUUGUAGUUUUUAUUUUAUUGGCUGUUAAAGUGACCCAUAUAUUAAAAAAUUCAAUUAAAUAUAUUUAACUCCUUCUUUGUUUGUUGUCAAAAAAGGCAGCUAGAAAGUAAGGAGUCAAAUGAGUCACAUGCCACAUCAUAUAUGACAUAUCCAUUGGAGAACACCUAAAUGUUUUUUAAUCUUAUUUGGCAUAUUUCACAUCUCCUUUAGAGAUGGUCUUAGGUCUUUUGUAAUAGUUUUGGAGCUCUCUCUCAUUUUUUUAAUGAAACUCUUUGACCAAAAAAAAAAUGUGUUGCCCAUUAUUAAAAAUAGAGUUAUAUCACAAAUGGUUUCUAAAAUUGACUUACAUCAUCAAGAUGAUCUCUAAAAUUGAAAAAUCGAUCAAUUUAGUCCAUGAAAAUAAGAGUUGCGAAUCAAUGUGGUCAUUCCGUUAUAAUUUUGUCAAAAACUCGUUAUGUGUUGAUAUAGCACAUAAAUGGAUACUACAAGUGCUUUUUUUAAUCACAAAUGGUCCAUGAAAUUGACUCGCACCAUCAAGAUGGUCACUAAAAUUAAAAAUGAUCAAUUUAGUCCUAAAAUAGAUGUUUCAAAUCAAUGUGGACUUUUCAUCAUAAUUAAGUCAAAUUUUUGUUAUGUGCUGAUGUGGCAUAUAAAUGGACUCACAAGUCUGACUAAAUAAAAAUGAAUUAGAAAUAGGUCUAAUAAUUUAAUAAGUAAUUAGCAAGUUGUGAACCUAGAAAUUUGGUCCCCCAGUCACCUCUGAUCCUAACCCAUACUCCUUUACCUCCAUCUCCACAAAUAUAUAUUAGGCCUUGUAAGCAAGGUUCUAAAAUACGCUAGUCGUUAGUCGAGGGGCGUGCUGGGAUCUAGGUGGACUAGGUUGAUUUAAGUAAAUUUAUUAAAUAUUAUACUAAAAAAAAUAAUAAUUAUAUUUUGACACAUCAAUUGCAAAAUAAAAUGGUACUAUAGAUUGUAAAUUAUUAGAACAUAUCGAAAACAUGGGGAACAAGCAUACAAUGAGUCUUCAUCCAAGUAUUUAACAAGUUUCUUACAUUUUAUUGUCAAAAUAAAAGGCAAAAUGAAGUUAUCAAUUUUCUGUCUAAGUGAAAGUUGCAACUUAAGCAGCUUUAAGCAGGAUAGACGGGUAACUAGGUGGGCUAGGCCGACAUCUAAGGGAGUCUAGGUGCACUUUCAUAAUUUUUAUACGCCUUGGGACUAAUCGUGACAAUGCAAGUUGCUUAGCGCCUAGGCGGAGAUUUUUAGAACAAUGCUUGUAAGUGUGUUUAAGUGUGAACUUUGUCAGUUUGUUCAUUGAAAAUAAAACUCCUUGCUUAACUCUGAUAGUUUAAUUUCAAAUACAAAGCAAAACAUAGUAUUGCAACAAGCAUAAUUAAUUAAAAAUAAAAUACGAAUUCUAGCUUAAUAUAACUAAGUAUGAUGUUAAGCCACUUAGUACUAUGAUCUAGCGGUAUUCUUCUUCACUUGUAAGUGAGAGGCAUUUGAUUUGAUUCUCGCAAAAAUCGAAUUUGAACCACAUUAUUAUGGUUAGCCCAUUGCAAGGCUUAGUCCACUCUCCAUCCCUUUAGUGUAGAUAAUAUCGUUUGUUAAAAAAAAGUACGAUAUUAAAACAAUAUUAGUCUCAGUAGCUUAUAACCUAGGGCAUAUGCGUGGUGCUAGGGUAUCCAACUCAUGACAUAAUUUGUAUUUCGGAGUUUGCUUCCAACUUUCCAACAUUUGUGAUGUGUGAAUGAUUAGUAGUUACUGAAAAAAUAACAUAUUGAUUACAUUUGAAAUUCAUUAAUAAUAAAAUAUUAUUACCUCAUUGGCUAGAUUAUUGCCACUUCCAUAAAUUGCUUUAGCUUGGAUUUUUGUCAAGAUUUCAACUCUUUAUGUAGAUGUUUGUACUUACUUGAGUACUUGAUAGAGAUUGCUUGGACCGAGAUGUGCAUUGGAAGAUUGAAAAAAUAUGCAUGAAUCUUUUUCCACAUUUAUUUCAUCGUCAUCUCAUUUCCCGUGAUCGUGUCAUAAAGCAGAGCAACAUCUUCCCCGAUCGACCAAUUUGUUAUACCACUCAAUUUUUUUGGUAACAAGCAGAUUUGGAAAGUUGAAAAAAACAUGAGUUUGUAGGAAAAUGAUACUAAGUUGUUGUAUUGAGAAUGAAGAAAUAGUUGGGUGCUUAUAGAAUAACUAAAAUUAAAUGUUUUCCUUGUUUUCUUACUGUUGAACCUGACGCAUCAUAAUGUGCCACGUGGCACAAUGAUAACUUUUUUCAAUUUUUUGUUGAAAACCCAAAUCAUUAGGCAAUUGAAAAUCUAACAACUCUCAUCGUACCAUGUCAUAGAGCUGUUGGGCUCUUUUGUUGAAGCUACUGCAACAGGGAACAUAUCACUGCAGGUUUUGUUGGCUCACGCCCUAAUUCUGCGUGUGGGUUGUGUUGAUGUAAAUUUCUGUUUUCUCUUGCUUUAACGAAAAUACACCUGCAAAACAAUCAACACCUUUGGUCAAAGACCUAAGCCUUACAUGUCCACGAGGUGGAUGGGGGGGGGAUUAGGCCAAUGGAUCUCCAAUGCCUAAGUUAGUUUCUCUGAAAAGCAAAUAUGUUUAAGGCUUUUAGGGUAGCAAAAGUUUACUGAAAUUUGAUAGAAUUUGAGAUAUAUAUAUAUAUAUAUAUAUAUAUAUAUAUAUAUAUAUAUAUAUAAAGGGAGAGGGCCGGCCAUGGUGUAGGGUUUUUACCCUACACAUGGCAGCAUUCUAUUGGCCAAAGUGUAUGGAAAGAAUAUUCUCAAGAUAUUAAAUAUGAAAUAAUAUCUUGAGAUAAAUGUGUAAAUAUCCCUAAUUGAUUUAAUAGGUAUUAUUUACUUGAAUGAAGUCAAUAUUCAAUUGGGAAUUUAUUAAAGAUAGGAUUUGGGUAAUUAAUCCUUAUCUUUAAUGCUUUGACUUUUCCUUACCAUGGGCAGGUGAGCUGUGGGAAAUCAUAUUCAGCUGCUUGGACCUUUAGGGCUACUGAGCUGUAUCUGAGAAGUCUGCCCAUUUAGAGCAACUUCACCGUUGGAGCCCUCCCCCCAGGCAAUACACUAUGCUAUCCACCAAGUGAACAGUAAAUGCCGUAAUGAACAGUAAUCCCUCAGGCAAUACACUUUUGCAUCUCCACCGUUGCACUUCAAUAACUCUGGUAAUAGGCAAUAAAAUAUUAAUUUUUUUUUCUAAAUACUACAAAAUAAUUUUAUUUGUAAUUUUGGAUAAGAUUUUUAAUCGGUUUCGUUGUACCAUUUUCUAUUAAAAAAUUAUUUUUAUUAUUUCUUUUCAUAUGGUGCAUCACACAUUCCAAAACCUUUUUUUUUAUUCUUUUUUUUCCUUCUUUUCACAUGGUGCCAACGCACCAUUUUUUCUUCAAGCUCAGCAACACAUCCCCCCCCACACCCAGUUUUCAACUCGUCUCCCCCCCCCCGCCCCCAACGCACCAAUCCCUCCUCGCCUAUCUUCCUCCAUCUUCACCCCCCAUCGCCGCCUCUCUUCCUCCAUCUUCACCAUCCCACCCACCUCAGCCUCCAUCAAAGGUCCCGAUCUCCGGCGACCCAUCUCUGCCAUUUUUCUGUGCCAUUUUUCAAGUUCAGCAGCUCCCACACCUCAGCCACCCAUCUCUGCCAUUUGUCUGUGAGUGUUCAUCACCUUGGCGACGAACUCCAGCGAGAGCCGUUGAGUUCGAAGCUGGGUUUUACAGUUUUUUUACUUUUUUUUUAUUAAUAUUCUAUAUUUUUAUUAAUUUUAUAUUAUGACUGACGUCACCCUGACGUUAGCCCUGCGUCAAAUCCACUCGGGCUCUCGGGCUGGCAAUUCCUCACAGGCCCGCUACUCAGGCCUCCACAGUCCCUCAGGCCCCCCCGCGCUGGAGUCCACAGCCCGGCCUCUAGGGCCCUUUUUCCUUGCCUGUCCCCCGAGCAAACUCCAACGGUGGAGUUGCUCUUAAUGAGGGCUAUCUUGUCUAUCUUAUCUUUAAUGCUUUGACUUUUCAUUACCAUGUGUAGGUGAGUUGUGGGCAAUCGUAUUCAGCUGCUUUGACCUUUAGGGCUACUGAGCUGUAUCUGAGAACCUUGCCCAUUUAAUGAGGGCUAUCUUGUCUUUCUUGAGCAAAAGUUAACGUGUCGCCUCUAGAAUUUUUGGAAUUAUUUUAGACUCCACAGGUUGCACACGUUAGUUGUAAAAAAUGAAAAAAUCGUGGGUUACGUCAUGCUGAUGAUAGCCAUGUCUGUUGGUGGAAGGCUGGACUUAAAUCAUACGGUCAUUUGGGCAGGCAUGGCUUGGUCCAUCACUUGCCCUCAUUUUUUUCGGCUUGCUGGAGGUUGAUCGGGUAAUUGCAUUCCUUUUGUUCUUGUCCUUGCCAAAAGCAAUCAAUGGAAAUGCUCUUAUAGUAUGAGCGUAUAUCAACUAUUUUGAAAUGUCAAUAAACACACAUUUAACAAAUAUUUUAUUUUAUCAGUUCUUUUGAAGUGGUGUUGUUUUUAUUCUAGAAUGUAAUUAUUUUUGCAACAUGAAAAACAAAAAGAAAUGCGACAAAUAAUUGUACACCAUAAUGAUGUAUUCUAUUGAGAUUUGAAAUUUCUUGAAGAAUAGUAAACUCAUGGAGUUUGAUGGAGUGCCAUAUACUUAUGUGAAUUUGGGAGAAAUCAUUAGAAAUAUUAGGAGUUGAGGCCUGAUUGCAUAAAGUCUGUAAAAUAUUAUAAAAUUCCUCUAAAUCCAUUUAAGUCGUUUAAAUGUUAAAAUACUUUCAAUCAUAGCUGUGUACAUAUGUGAACUACUUUGAAAUUUGAAAGAGUAAUGUUAGGUAGACAAAUAAAUUGCAAAUUAAAUAAUGUGUCACCAAUAAUAAAUAAGUACGUUAAUUAAACCCUUAAGUAAUACACUAAUCCUCAACUUUCUUGUCAUUUAGUUUAAAAAAUUUUAGGGUAAAUUAUGUAAAACUACCUCAACUAUUGGGUCAGUCAUAGUUUUAUAUCCCGUCUUUAAAAAAAUUCAAUGUCAUACCUUAUCUUCGAGUUUGUUGCAAUGUCAUAUAUUCUGUCAGUUUUCUGUCAAUUCCUCUAUUAAAUGCUGACUGGCUUGAGACGAGACCCACUUUCUAUUAAAAAAUUAACUAAAUAUUAAAAAAAUUAAAAUACAAUUAUUUAAAUGAUUUGUAGAGUUUCCAUGUAAAUUUUUUGUUUAAUUCUUUCAAAAUCUCACUCCCUAGCAUUACAAUACAUUUUGAUUUUUAUAAAAUUUUAUAAAAUUCUUUAAAAUCUUGAUUGAAUACCUGUAAACCUCUAUAAAUUCAUUUAAAAUAAGUAAAACUAAUGAAAAUGGUUAUAAAAUUUUGAGUUUUAAAGAUAAGGACAAAAUAAAGGUUAAAAUGAAUAGUACUAGGAUUGACUUUUUAAUGUAAAAAUGUGAUUUUUCGUUAAAAUGAACAGUACCAGAAAUUUUUCGUUAAAAUUUCCUUUAAAAUAAUGUAUAAAUUUGUAAACUUUUCUAAACUUCUAAUUGAAUACAUCCACAAGUUGAAUUUUUCUUGUAUUAUUUUUGGUAUGAAAUUGAUAAAAAUACAAUCUUAGCCGUUGAAGCGAUUCUCCGGGAGGCUAUAAAAUGGAAGGUGCAUUGUUUAAUGGAGCCCCUCAGUCCUUUCUGAUCAGAACAACGUCUCACUCGCUUCUUCGCUUUGAUCUCCAUCCAAAUUCUCUGUCACCCCAAGAAUCGAAUCCUAUUGGAAUACAGGGAAUUUGGGGAGCUUCGUCUCUUUCACCCCUCCCCUUUUACACUUUCUCUCUCCUCGUCGUCCAUCUCUCCUCUCUCUUUCUCUCUCUAAUCAAAGGAGACGGAAAGAGAGGCAUUGCAUAGCAAAAUAUAUUUAUUGCUUAAUUUAUAUACAUUUACUAGAAUAGGAGCGAAAAGGGUCUUUUCUUCUUCGCCAGCACCCUCUGGAGCACUUUCUCCAUAAGCGAUUGUGUUUUUUUCUUUUUUCCUGCUUUUGAGGGCUCCUCGCCGUCUUCGUAUUCGGCACUCUGACCAAAUUGGUGGCGCAUUAAAGUCUGGCUUUUUUUCACAAAUUACACAGAAGCAGAAGCAGCAGCUACUUAGAGAGAGAGAGAGAGAGAGAGAGAGAGAGAGAAACAGAGAGAGAAAGAGAGAUCUUUAGCUGCAGAUUUUGUUGUUAAAUCAUUUUAAAACCAUUUAAGGCCGGCCACUCAAUUUCUCUCGUCUCUGCUGCCAAUUCUUGGAAUGGAGAAUUCUUAAAAACCCAACUCACCAUCAACUCUGCAUAUAAAUUACAAGUCCCUCCCUUUGUACACUGCCUAAAAAAAACAGUCAUAGAUCGAGAAAGUGACAUUCAAGCAAGGUAUGGGGCUUUAACCCAAAUUUUGUAAUCUGGGUUUUCUUUUUUGUACUUAAAUUCUGUGGAAGUACCGGUCUUAUUAAAGUUUGGAAGGAAUUUUCUUCUGGGAUUUUGGAUCUGGGGUUCUUAUGGCUUUCUUUUUUCUGGGGGUGCGUUUUGAUGUUAUACUUCUUUUUUCGGUUUAACUUUUUAAUUUGUCUUAUUUACUGUCUUUAUAUAUGUUUCAGAUCUACCUGGAUUUAGUUCAGACGUUGCGUUUCGAGAACAAUGUUGGCUCAGAAGCAAGCAGAGGAAGCAAUAGUCUCCAAUGACCAUGAAGGAAAAGAAGAUCAUCCCCAAGAAAACGAUGAGGAAAACACCUCCAUGUUUAAUGUCAAGAACUUCCUCUGGCAUGGAGGCUCCGUUUGGGACGCCUGGUUCAGCUGCGCUUCCAAUCAAGUAAACCCAUCUCCCGAAAGUGCUUUCUCGAUUUGUUGUUUCACGAAGUUUCUGAUUCUAACUACUUCUGGCUUUUGCAGGUGGCGCAAGUGCUUUUGACACUGCCGUAUUCGUUCUCCCAGCUGGGGUUUCUAUCCGGCAUCUUGCUGCAGCUAUUCUACGGAAUCCUCGGAAGCUGGACGGCUUAUCUGAUCAGUGUGCUGUACAUGGAAUACAGAACCCGGAAGGGAAAAGAGAACGUUAACUUCAAGAACCACGUUAUUCAGGUUCGUCGUGGUAUCCACCAAAAUGCAUUAAAGUGAAAGUGGAGAUAAAAUCAACCUAAAUUAAAAUCCCAUGUUUUUGUUGCAGUGGUUUGAAGUUCUUGAUGGGUUGCUUGGCCCCUACUGGAAAGCCGUGGGGCUUGCUUUCAACUGCACUUUCCUCCUCUUUGGAUCUGUCAUCCAGCUAAUUGCUUGUGCAAGGUGAAUUUUUAUUACUUAUUUUUCUAUAUAUUUUACUGUCAAAUCCAUCAAAUCUCACCUGGGUUAUGUCUUACUUUUACUGCUUUUGAUUGGAGCAGUAACAUAUAUUACAUAAAUGACCAUUUGGACAAGAGGACGUGGACCUACAUCUUCGGAGCUUGCUGUGCCACCACAGUUUUCAUACCUUCUUUCCAUAACUAUCGGAUUUGGUCUUUUCUCGGACUUGGAAUGACCACUUACACGGCCUGGUACUUGACCAUUGCAGCUGUUGUCCAUGGCCAGGUAAUAAGUCCAUCAAAACUUACGACAUCUGGGAUGUCCACGUCACUUUACCGGUGUCAUUUAGUCGCAUUUCAAGUGUAUCACACACUAUCACAUGUAUAGUGCCUAAUUGUUUGAGAUACUGUUAUGUUUCUUGGGAUGUCACGACGUUAUCAUCUCAAGCAUAUAACACAUUGUAGUGCGUGAUCAGUUAGAGCUUUGAGAUACCAUAAGCUCGUGAUUAGUUAGAGCUUUGAGAUACCGUCAGCUGGCGUGAGAAGUUGUUCUCCAAUGGUCCUCAUCUCUUAGAACAGUCACUAUUAUUACCAACUUUCCAAAGAUGCUUUAUUUCUCUUUACGUUUUCGGUAUAAAAAAGGUAAAGGUUUAUGCUUUUUGGUGAAAUUGCUGUGCAGGUUGAAGGUGUGACACACACAGCUCCCACAAAGCUAGUGCUGUAUUUCACCGGAGCCACCAACAUACUAUACACGUUCGGUGGCCAUGCUGUUACUGUGUAAGCAUUUUCCUCCUAUUUUUUUACCCUUUAUUAUAAAGAAAAAUUAACGAAAAUAACUUAAAAUUUUUGAAAUUUAACGAAAAUGACAAAAUAAAAAAUAAAAUUUUAAAUUUUAAUGUAAAAACAUAAUUUUUUGUUAAAAUAAACAGUAACGAUAACUUUUCGUUAAUUUUUUUUUAUUAUAAUGACCCUUUCCUCCUACUCUUUUACAUGUUUCUACACGGCUUCUCUUUGCAGCUUUUGCCGGCAUCUCGGUUCUCGAGAUCCAGACAAAAUCAUCCUAUCUACUUUUGUUUUUGCUCUUGGAGAAAGAACAAUUUUUUUACCCCCAUCCGAAAUCUCCAUUUCUCUAGGAAAAUUGCACAGUAAAUUAAUUGGGCACUAGCUAUCUCCUCGGUUUUGGUUUCACCAUAGAGAAUACAUGUUAUUUUGUUUUACGUGACGAUAUUUAAUUUUAAACUCUAUUCUAAACGUAAAAAGAAAUUCAAAUUUAAGUAUAACUGAUCAAGCACACUGUUUUACUGUUUCAAGAUACCGAUUAUCUCUCAUGGUUUUGGACUAAUUGUCAUAUAAUAUUAUUGUAUGAUAGAGAUUUGGAAAUUUGUUUAUUUAGUUGCAUAACAGUUAUACUAAGAUGUGACCGGAGGGGGCCCUUUGGUCAAGUUUCUUGGUUUUUAAUUUGUAUAACAAUGUUCCCCAUGUGCCUGUUGACCUUGUAAUAGCUAUAAAAUUGGAGUAAAGUAAUCGUGAAAUCUAAAUUCUUUUUAAUGUGAGUGGAAUCUGAUCAGUGAAAUAUGGGGGAUUUGAUUUUUGCAGGGAAAUUAUGCAUGCCAUGUGGAAGCCACAGAAAUUCAAGUCCAUUUACUUGUAUGCCACACUCUACGUUUUCACACUAACACUUCCUUCUGCUACCUCUGUCUACUGGGCCUUUGGUGAUGAGCUCCUUAACCAUUCCAACGCCUUCUCUCUCCUCCCCAAAAACGGCUGGCGUGACGCCGCCGUUAUACUUAUGCUCAUCCACCAGGUUCGACCUUAAUCAUUUCAUACACUAAAUUACCGAUGAGAAAUGAUUUGUCACAUGUCCGUUUAUUACUGUUCUUUGGUGUAAUUCAAUUGAAAGGACAGAAAAAAAAUCAGGUGUAGGCAUGGAGAUAAAAACGGUGUCCGGAAAUCACUUUCCUUACUGAAUUGCCCUUGAACGAAUGAUAUGCCUUUUACAGUGAACUGACAUUAUAUCUUUUUAUGGGGAAUUGUUUUGCAGUUUAUAACAUUUGGGUUUGCAUGUACACCACUGUACUUUGUGUGGGAGAAGGUGAUUGGCAUGCAUGACACAAAGAGCAUUUGCUUGAGGGCACUUGCUAGGCUUCCAGUUGUGAUCCCAAUUUGGUUCUUGGCUAUAAUCUUCCCCUUCUUUGGGCCCAUAAACUCUGCAGUUGGGGCUCUCUUGGUUAGCUUCACCGUCUACAUCAUCCCAUCUUUAGCUCAUAUGCUCACCUACAGAAAAGCUUCUGCCAGACAGGUAAAAAAAUAUGCCCUCCUAAUCCUAACUCCAAUUGGUCAUAUCACGUAAUGUUAUUCUUACACACAAGUUCAGAGGAAUCUGAACUUGUAACCCUUGGUUAUCAUGUAAGGUUAGUAGUGGUACCACCGUACAAUCUCGCACGAGUGGUUUGGUUCUUUGUCUAGUAACAACACUUCUGGUUACCUCCACUGAGUUGAGUGAGGUAUCUCGAUAGGUCAUGUCAUAGUGUUACAGUGGUAGAAUUGUUCGGAUUUCUCUGAACUUGUAACCCAAGGUUAUCAUGUCACCGUCACGUAGUGCUACUAUCAAACAUGCGAAUAAUGAAGUGAUUUGUCUAGUGGCGACUUGUAGUUAUCUCGAUUGAGUGGGGGUAUUUUAGACAUUGUAGUUUGAGUGGCACCUCCACCAGGUCACGCGAUGGGGAUACCCAUAUUUCAAUAGAUGCAGUGGGGAUGAGAAGGGCAGCAAGUGUACAAAGAUCAUAUAAUACUUGGAUUUGGAAAUGUUACGAGAAUUGAGAUAGGUGGGAAGUCCCUUUCGUUUAGUUAUACGCUACAGUUGAUGAGCUGUUUGGUUGAUUAGGCCUCUUUUCUUCUCCAGUUAGGUCACUUUGGUGCUGACUUUGGUCCAAGUGAAAUACAACUUGAACGAAAAAAAAAAAAAAACCUAAAUAUUAUAGAAUUAUUAUUGGGAACUUUAAAGAAAAGUUCCUGGUACUGGUCAUUUUAAUGAAAAGUUAUAUUUUUAUACUAAACAAAUUAAUCUUGGUACUAUUUACUUUACCUUUUAUUUUGUGCUUAUCGUUAAAACUCAAAGUUUUUAAGCUCUUUUAAUUGGUUUCCUAUUAUUUUAAGGAUUAUAAACUAAACCCAAAAACCCUGUUCAGUUUUACGGACGGAAAAUACUUGGCUCCUUGUUCGAAAGGCUUAUUUGUUCUUGGUAUUCCAAUAAUAUUGUCUAUGUAGUGAUGAUAGUUGUGAGAGUCCAAAAGUCACGGGCCAUAUGUAAAACACUCAACAAUUGGACUCCAAUUUUCCGGCUUCUGUGAGGUUGAUUCCAGUUUAUAGGAAACAAAAUCAAAAUUUCCGGCGAGGAAUCCUUACAAUACAAACCACUCACAGGUUGAUGCGUUUACACAUAAAAAGAAUGACCAACAGUAAGAAGUCGAGCAGUGUUCUUUCUUAAAAACCAAGGUUUAUUGAUUUCGGUUAAUUUUUUACUGUGUUUUUGCAGAAUGCUGCAGAGAAGCCACCUUUCUUUUUACGAAGCUGGACUGCCAUGUACGUGAUCAACUCCUUCAUGGUGGUGUGGGUUCUGGUGAUUGGGUUCGGGUUCGGUGGCUGGGCCAGCGUGACCAACUUUGUGAGACAAGUCGACACAUUUGGGCUGUUUGCCAAGUGCUAUCAGUGCCACCCUCCAAAACCACCACUAGCAGCCGCAGCUCCUCCCCAUUACUAAAUCUUCACCUCCUCCAGAACUCUCCCUCUCACCAGUCAGAAAAUUCUCAAACUUCAUAUUUGUACCAUACAUGGGGAAGUCGUAAUAUUUCCCCCUACAUGUCAUGUGUGCUGGAUUUUCUUUUUUCAUUUUUUUUCCUUUUUCGAUUUUUUGUUAAAUUCGUUAUUAUUAAAUAGUGUGUGGGUUUGUGAUGAUUCCAUUCCUAUUAAAGCAUAGUCCAUUGAUCGAAUAUCGUGUAGUUAGAAAUCAUUUUAAAUUUUAUAUUAAAUAUUGAACACAAAUAGUACUUAACGGAAAUUGAUCGUACGAUUUACGACAAAUGGAUACGAUUAAGGGAUUUCCUAAAUCCUCACAAAGAGGAUGGAUCUAGGAUCCUCAUUCAAAGCAUAGGCUAAUUAAAUCAAUAUAUAUGUAUGUUUUUAGAUAUUUUCCUUCUAUGGGUUCUUUUGCCCUAUAUCGUCGGGUGGAUUAAAAAUGUCAAAAUUUAACCAUGUAAAUCCAAUGGUUCAUUUCAUACAUCGCUGCGUUAUAGAAUCUUAGUAUUUUUUUUUUUCGCUGUGUUUCAGCUUUUUAUGUGAGAUAUUGUAAGAUUUUGUUGUUCCUCAUGUCAUGGCUUUCAAAUGCCAUUAUUACUAGCAUGUUUCCAAAGUGGCUUUGUCUGGUUUUCUUUCACAUGUGGUUGAUCUCAAGAGCUUGUAUGUGGAGUACAGUUCUCUCUAGAUCUAAAAAAAUGAAGUCCAAGGAUCAAAUGAUCCGGAUCUUUGAAAUUUGAUCUAACGAUUAUAAUUAUUAUAACUUUUAGAGGGAGUCCAUGUUUGUAACCGUUAGAUCAAAUUUCAAUGGUCCGAAUCAUUUGAUAUUUAAGCUCUGUUUUUUUUUAAAUCCGAAGAGGAUCUGUACUCCUGUAUGUGGACAUGUUUUAAUGGGCUCCCAUUGACCUUGGAUUCCGUUUUGAGGGAGAAUGGGGCAUGUACCCUCCCACAUUCACAUGGGUUGCACGUGGAUUCCCCUAUAUCACGUGCCACUCUCUACUUCUUAGUGUGUUAUCCUUCAUAUAACUUGGCUCUCAAGUUAUUGAACACUCAAGGAUUCUCGGUGCUUAAUGAAAUAAAUAUAUUGGAGUCUUAACUAUAUGCAAUCAAUAAAAGAAUUAGAACCAUGAUUGGAUUGUAAUUGAUUUAAUAGAAUUUGGAUUGAUAUCAUUUCCGAUAAUAGGAAGGAAUUGAUUAAAACUCUAGCUAUAAAACCAAGAUGUAGUUCUGCUUCCAAACGAAUUGAAUCUCACCAAAAUUACAAACCUAUUUCAUUAGUAGAUAUCUUAAGAGCUACUGGAAGUAGAAGACUACUUCUACUUCGCAUAAGGAUGCCCAUGGCUGCAGGUAAGUGAUUCUGCGACCAAUACAUGCAUGUUAUAAAUGCCAUACAGACGUACUAUAGCAUUCACCGAUGCUAAUGUGUACUUGUUCCAAUUGCGGUAGGAAUGAAAGGCUUCGAUCUUCUGUCUCCGCUGAGUUUUUUAAAUCAUUUAUGUAAUUUAAAUUUCAUUAUGCGUUUAAGCUGAAAUGAAGUGGUUAAAGCAAAGGGAUUAAUUGGUUUUUUGUUUUUCUAAAAAUUGCAUGAAGAUGAGCUUCGAUAAAAAAAAAUGGGAGUUCAAAUCUUGUGCACCCAAAAUAGUUGCGGCAUGGCCACUCUGUUUAACACUGAUAACUGUCCCAAAAGAAAAAUAAAAAUAAAAAAGCUCUAAAAAGGAUAAAAACAAAAAGAAGAAAAAGAAAUGAGAAACGAAUAACGUCGAUCAUCCACCAUCCCUCCUCUCUCUCUCUCUCUCUCCUUCCUUAUGAUUAUUUCUCAGAAAAGUCCGUCAUCCAUUCCGAAACGGCGAGACUAGUUCUUAAGUUUAUGUUUUGUUACUUAUUAAUACAUUAUUAAUUUGUAGUUUUGAUUAAUUCUUUAAAGUGGGUGUAGUCAAUUUGAACUUCAGAGGAUUUUAAUGAACUUUUUUUCAGUGAUAAAUUACAAAGGAUUUUAAUAAAUUCUACAAUUCUAUAUGAAUUUUGACAGAAUGUCAUGGAUUUCUAUAGAUUUGUAUUGAAUUUAUUUUAUGAAUUUCUUAGGAUUUUUUUUUUGACUCAUACGACAUGAAUUUCUUUCUCAGUGCAUAACUUGGAAAAAAAAAAACAUAAACACACACACCACACACACGCACACACGGAUAUGAAAAAGAUGUGAACCACUGCUUCCGGACGGCAUCUUUUUGUUGCUCGACCCAUUACAAAAAGGUUAACACAGAGGAGUUGGUACCUCACAGAAACAUAUCGGAAAUUUGCAGUCUGAACAAUUGGCCACACACCACCCCCCAACGCAUGGACGGGUACGAAAUCUCUCUUCAAAUUUGCCUUCACCUUAAAUGGAAAAUCCCACGUAAGUGAAAAUCUUGAACAAAUUCAUAGCCAUUGAAUCAUUCCAUUAUCUACACUCUAUAGUAUCCUUAUUUUGGAUGACUAAUACUCAAAAACUGUCGAAAGCAUCGAGUUCUACAAGACAUCUAAACAGACCCACCAUCAAUGUUGUACAAAUUCUGAAGAACAGAUUCAAGAGUUCAAACAAACAAGGUAUCAACUUCACUUCCAUGGAAGCUAAAACAUGUAAAUAACAAUUAAACAAAGCAAUGCAUAUUAUCCAACUUUUUCCAAAAACCCCACUCAAAAGAUUGACCUUAGAUUCCGAAAACAAGAAAUUGAAUCGAAUAAAGGAAAUUAGAGCAUCUCCAAAGGAAAUGUCAAAAAGUCCACAUCAGCAAUAAAAGUAAUAAAAGACAUCAAUAGUGUUUUCCAACUGAAAUGCCAAUUCCUAUAUGGCAUGAUAUGGAAAGGCAGCAGAGGAAGUUGGUGUCAAAUUUGAUAGCAGUUUCAAAUCUAUUUUUAGUAAUUAAUAAAUACUUUUUAUAAUUUUAAUAGUUAUCUUUUGUUUUAAAAUACUAAUUACAACUAUAAAAAGUAAAUAAUGUAAUAAAUAAUAGUUUAAAUUUGACAUAUCAAUUGGAGAACAAAAUUUAUAAAAAGAUCAAUGUACCACAUAAGCUUUUAAAUUUAAAUUUUGUGUUUAAAAUUUGACAUCUCCUUUGGAAAAACCCAACUCUCAGAAAGUUGAAGGAGCUUUCUUGCGAUGGAAUGAAGGACAAAGAUGAGAGGGGUAAACCAUGAUGGAUGAGGAUGAAGAAAGAUGAAAUUGAAGAGGACAUUGAGAUAUGUUCCGAGGAUGAGGAAGGUAUAGAGGAACAAAGAGGUUGACAGUAGGGAUGGGCAACGGUUAUGGCGGGCGGGUAAAUGCGGUUAUUUAUCCAUAACCGUUUAUGCUCAUACCCGCAUAACCGUUUACCCUUUGGGUAAUUGCCUAAACGGUUAUACCCAUACCCAUAACCGUUUAUAAACGGUUAACCAUACCCAUAACCGCAUACCCAUUUAACCAUAACCGUUUAAUACCCGUUUACCCAUUUACCCUUUUUAACCCAUUUAUCCUUUUUUUUUUACCAUAACCCCUUUUUCACCCAUCUACAUGUUUUUUAACAACUUGAAAAUUAAAAAAAAAAUUGUGAUAAUAUUAAUCCCUGCAAGGAUUUUCUAGCUUCUGCUUGUUGUUUGCCUUGUGUUGCCUAUUUGGUUGGCUUCUUAGCUCAGGUUCUGUUGUUCCAGUUUUCCAAAAAAAAAAAAAAAGAAAAAAAAAAAGAAAGAUGCAGUAUUCAAAUUGAAGAGAGGUGAUUGUUGGGUUAAUAACCCAACCUCCCAUCCCCCUGUCAAACAGCCCCGUAUGUGUUUGUGUGUGUGUGUGUGUGUGUGUGUGUGUAUAUUCCCAUCCCCUGUCAAACAGCCCCGUAUGUGUGUGUCUAUAUAUAUAUAUAUAUAUAUAUAUAUAUAUAUAUUUUUUUUUUUUUUUUUAAAUAUUCAACAUUACAUAUAUAAAAUAAAUGGGUAAACGAUUACCCGUUUAUAACCGCGGUUAAUACCCAUAACUACCCAUUUAAAUUUCACGGGUAAACGGUUAUACCCAUAACAAUUUAAUUAUCUAAACGGUUACCCAUAACCGUAACCGUAAAGUUUAAAUGGGCGAGUAACCGCGGUUAUCCAUAACCGCGGGUAUUUUGCCCAUCCUUAGCUGACAAGUUCUAUAGUCUGGUGUGAACACAAAAAUUAGAGGGGAAAAGUUGGAAUGUUUAUGUCAUUUGGUAUUUAUACCACCUACCCUCAAAUUAAUCAAAAUUUCUCAUUCAUUAAGAUCCUAGUAAAUCCUUACCCAUGGAUUUCGAUGUAUUUUGUAAAACAAUCAUUUUAAAUCCUAAUUUGACUACACCAUGAUUUCAAAAUCUUUUAAAAUUAUUUUUAAAAUUCUAAUUAACUACAUCCUAAUUUCAAAAUAGAAUUUUACAUCCUAAUUUCAAAAUCUAUUAAAAUUCUAUCAAAUCUUAAUUUGAUUACACCCACAUUUCUGAAUUUCUCCUUUAAAAUAUGAGCAAAUUGUAGCAAUGAUCCCUUAAUUAUAACUCAAUUAGAGCAUUGGUCCCUCAACUAAAAAUCCAUUAUAUUGGUUCCUCAACACAUCAAAACGUACAACUAUGGUCUCUCAACUAAAAUUUUAUUACCCUUGGUCCCUCAACUUUAAUAUAAUUGGAAAAAUGAUCCCUCAACUUUAACUCAAUUAGAGCAAUGGUCCCUCAACUUUAACUCAAUUGUAGCAAUGGUCCGUCCAACAUAACUCAUUUUGACAAAAUUCUAAUGAUAUUGACGAAAAAGACCAUAGCUACACGAUUUGAUGAGUUGAGAGACCCCAAUUGUAGUAAUGGUCAUUCAAACAUAACUUAUUUUACAAAAUUCUGACGAAGUUGACGAAAAUGACCAUAGCUACACAUUUUGAUAAGUUGAGGGACUAUUGCUCUAAUUUGAUUAAAGUUGAGGAACCAUUGACACAAUUUACUCUAAAAAUAUAACCAGCCACAUGCUUUAUUAAGAUUCUCGGAAUGAGCUAAAAAUAAUUUCUCUAAAUUGGGAAGCCAGCAUAUGAAUGUCGGCGAUUAUGCAUUCCAUCGACACCUCUGGAAUCUCCCCGCUGUUAAUCAUGUCCAGCACAGUUUUCACAUAUGUCUCCACUUCAAUCGGCAAGCAGUCAUUCUCCACGCAUUCCAUCAAUCCUACCUUAUCGCUUCAGAUUCAGCCGUCAAACUUGAACAGCACCAAAAGCCACCUGCACUUCUGCUAUCAACAGGGGCGGUCCUGCUAAGGCAAACGCUUAAAAUGUGCCUUUUUUCAAUGCACAAACAUAUGUAAAAAUUGUUGUAAAUAUUAUGUGGAUGGUCCACAUGAAUAGUUUGUUACUAUUUAUGUGCAGUAUUUUCACUAUUCAUUUGUGGAAAAUUUGUAAAGUGAAUAGUGCUUUCUUUUGUUUAUAUAAAGGAAGAAGAUGAGAUGAAGUGUGGUGAGUUCACGAGAAAGAUGGGAAUGAAAAGAAAGAAAGAAAGAGAGGAAGAGAGAGAGAGAGGAAGAAGAGGAAGAUGAGAGGAGAUAAUAGAGAGAGUUAUCUUUGUACUCCUAUUAUUUCAAAUUAUAAUGAAAGCACCACUGCUGCCCCGAGGACGUACUCCAGUCACACUGACUGUAGAGGAACCUCGUAAAUUUUGUGUCUUAUUUCAUUUAUUUCAUUGCACCCACAGUCAAUUUUACAACACGUUAUCAGCACGAAAAGCUCUCAUGUCAGUGGAAAGCACAACAUCAUAAAUCUGGUAAAGCAUUAUCUACCUCUUACCUCGUUCAGCUAAAAUCUCACAGAGUAGAGACGGCAAGCCAGACAUGUCAAACAGGGAAGAUCAUCUUGUCACAAAAAUCCAUCAACCUUUCUUUUAUCACUUUUUCUUUUAUCACUCUAACUAUUGAUGUGCUAAUCCUUAUCCCUGCUAGACCUGCAAUCUAUUUUUCUCUCAUGGACAAGAAAGAUGGAGAGAUCUUACAGACAAACAAAGGUGCAGCAAAAUAAGCAAAGGUAUGUCCAUUUUUCAUUUCUCCCACUGCGCCAGAAGCGCCCCACCGAAUUCCGGUGCGAAUUGAAAUUUCCAACGACCUGAAGUCGUCACGAGAUAAGAAAACUCGUACCUAACAACUGGUUUCCAGAGAUCCAGAAGAAUCUCAUUAGACUUGGAAACCCAGAUCGUGUCGUUCUCAAUGGAUCUCGAGGACCUCCAUGAAUCCUCAGUUGUCUGAGAUGGUGAUGGCAUGACUGACUCCACACAGGCCUCCCUCUCUUGUGCCUUCGUCAACCUCACUGUCAUCUAUGUCUCUAUGGAGAGGUUCUUGCUUUGUGAUGCCAUGUUCUUUGGGCCAUGCAAGAACAACGCCAGUCUCUGGUAGCCUUUUUGGAUUGAAUUGGUUUUGUGUAACCCCCACAACAACCCAGAUGGUACUGGGUUUCGAGACUGGUAGAGAUAGACAAAGAAAAGGGGAAAUGGGGCCAAUGAUUUGGAAAGGUGCGUUGCACCAUGUAAAAUGAAAGAAAAAGGCAAUGUUUUUUUUGGAAUGGUGUAGAAUGUGAUUGAAUAAGAAAAUAAUAAAAAUAAAAUAAAGGUAAAGUUUUUUGGAUGGUGUUACACCAUCUGAAACGAAAGAAGAAAAUAUGUAUAUAUUUAUUUAUGUGCAUGGUGUUGGUUUAAAGCCCAUGUCACCUUUGCUUUAAAGCUUCGAUAUUUAUGUGCAUGGUGUUGGUUUAAAGCCCAUGUCACAAGUUCUAUUUACUUUAAAGCAAUUUAUUUAUCAUGGACGGUUUUACCACCUACUGCUUUAAGUUUUGAUUUAUGUGAAUGGUGCUGAAUUAAAGCCCUUGUCACAAGCUUUAAUUUAUUUAUUGUUCAAUUUAUUUACUAUGGCUGGAAUUACCGCCUAUUGCUUUAAUUUAUUUAUUGUACUUAUCUUUUGUUACGAUGAGUAUAACAAGGACCCAGAGUUCCUUGAUUAGAUCAGAACCUGCAGUUUCUUGAUCCUCAUCACAUAAAAUGAUAGGACCCGAAGUUCCAUCAAGCAAAAAGAUCAAACAUGAAGUCCCUAGAUCCUCAAGAUCGGACAUGAAGUUUCUUGAUAAGUACCUUUAAGUUUGAAGUGCCACAGUGCCUCAACUUAAUUAUAAUAAAGGUCAUAAAAGUCUCAGUCCAUAAACUAUUUAAUAAGGACCAGAAGUUCCUUAUGUCCAUACUUAAAAUGAUUUAGCAGAAGCAUUUAUUAAGCGGAUGAAAUUGAUUACCCGCGCUCUGCUCAUGAAAACGAAAUUACCAGUUUUCUACAUGGGGACAUGUCAUUUUACAUGACGCAUUAUUAAGUUCGGAUGAGACGAGUUUCCAACCAUCAAUAUUGCUCAGUACAACUCGUGUUUGGGAACUAGCCAAACAUUAUACAUUUACGAGUUUUUGGUUGUGUUAUCUAUGUGCCUAUUGCACUGCCACAACGUACUGAAAUGGGCAUUGAUGUUGAACAUCAUCUAUCAUUCAAUAUUUAGAACCCUUGACUGGGGAUAUAUUUACCGCUUGGUUUGCGGACUGUCAUUUUGAUAAGACAAUUUUCCUGCCAUUAGGGGGAGAAAAUGAUAUCGUUCCAGAAGAACGAUGAGAAAAUAUCAUUCCAAAAGAAUGAUGAGAAAAGAUCGUUCCAGAAGAACGAAGAGAAUUUGUCUUAUUUUGAUUCACGAAGCAAUCAAUGAGAAAAUGAAAUAUGAAUAAAUGAAUGAUGCAACGAAAGUGAUGAAAUCAUAUAUACUUACUGCAAAUGUGCCUACAAGAAUUGAUGUCUCUGUUGGAUAAAAUAAUGAGACAGUAAAUGAUUUAUCUGUUGCACGCCUGAAGCGUGGCAGAUUUUUAGACUCAAAAGGUUCAGUUAUUCGAAAGAAGAAUAAUAUGGCACUACUGAACUAUUGCAUUCCCGAAGCAUAAUUGUUGCAUGCCAGAAGCAUGACAGUCGCCGCAUGGAUACACGUCCCAGAUAGGACAAUCCACAGACAUGGGAAUGUUGAUGUCUCAUACAUGGAGCAUAAUAGACAUAUAGGUUCCAAUGACUCAACUCCCGGAAGUGGAGAUUAAAAUCCAAGCUCUAUAACGCUCAAGAGGAGGUUAUGAUCCACAUUCUCUAAAUUAUGACUAUCCUGGAAGAGAUAGCGUCAUGCCCUUGAAGAGGCAAUGGAUAUCCAAAGAAAUGAAAAGCUUUUAUGCAUGCGCAUGCACAUGAGAAUAUGGGAUCACGGAUUGAUGAUAACCAAUGGUAAUUUUGGUUUUUACAAGUAGCUACUAAAUUCAUCAAUGAGCUGUGUUAAUAUUGAGUCACGCUCUUUUGUUCGUCAACAAAAGAAAAAUUAUUGGCCAAAAUGGAGAAAGGCAAUUCCAUUACAAUUUUGUAAGAACGUGGACAAAUGAACCUAUAUAUAUUUGAAUACAAUACAAAUAGCCAAAAGAUGUUGAACCAAGGAGGUUAUAUAUGGGCAUUUGUAAUACAGUGUAAUACACUUACAUGAUAUGACACAAGGUUGUAAACGAGUUCAUAUGAAUGGAGAAUUAUAUACGAAGGGUUGUGAGUCGCCCACAUUAUAUCUUCAUAAGUAAAUCCCUCAAGUAUACAUGGGAGCAAAUUGCUCUGUAUAAAUUCCAAAGGAAAAUGUAUCAUGAAGUGUAGAAAACCCUUGAAGGAUUCAAAUUGCUUGAAGUAAGCCUCUGAAGGGUAAAACAUAAAAUAUGUACUCAAUACCAAUGGAUGAUAUAAAUUGCCUUAGUGAGUACUAUCAUUAUGAUAUUGUUGCAACAUACUAAAAUCUCUUGCAAGAGUCAAUGACAUUAAAUUAGAACUCUUGAAGAGUUGAUGAUAUUAAAUUGGGACUCCUGAAGAGUCUAGAAAAAUUAUAAAGUGUUGAAGGAAUUAUUGUCUCGAGCUGCAGAUCGAACAAUCUACCAACACGAAUCUUAUCCAUGAUAUUUAUGAUAUUAAAAGAACCAUAUGGAUUGAAGAUUAUGAGUUGAAUACUCAUAUGAUGAAGACACUAAGAAUAAUAAUCAUUUAUCUUCGUGAGGGUAAAGAUAAAUUAAUAUUUGGUCCAGAAGUACCAUAUCUUAGUGAAGUAUAUGCUUUAUUGUAUUUGGCACAAUACAUUGAAUGAAAUAAAGCUUAUUUAUUACUAUAUCUCCAAGAAAUUACAGAUAUAUACAUACACAUGAGUUAAAACAAACAAACAGGAUGGAGCCUUCACAAAGGUUGCUCAUGUGAAGCCUCAGUACUCGGGAAGUACCCAAGAAGGAGGAGGCACUGGAGAUUGAUCAUGUGGCACCCCAGUACUUAGCAAAACACCAGAAGGGGAGGCACUGAAGGAUUCAAAUUGCUUGAAGUAAGCCUCUGAAGGGUAAAACAUAAAAAUAUGUACUCAAUACCAAUGAAUGAUGAUGAUAUAAAUUGCCUUAGUGAGUACUAUCAUUAUGAUAUUGUUGCAACAUACUAAAAUCUCUUGCAAGAGUCAAUGACAUUAAAUUAGAACUCUUGAAGAGUUGAUGAUAUUAAAUUGGGACUCCUGAAGAGUCUAGAAAAAUUAUAUAAAGUGUUGAAGGAAUUAUUGUCUCGAGCUGCAGAUCGAACAAUCUACCAACACGAAUCUUAUCCAUGAUAUUUAUGAUAUUAAAAGAACCAUAUGGAUUGAAGAUUAUGAGUUGAAUACUCAUAUGAUGAAGACACUAAGAAUAAUCAUUUAUCUUCGUGAGGAUAAAGAUAAAUUAAUAUUUGGUCCAGAAGUACCAUAUCUUAGUGAAGUAUAUGCUUUAUUGUAUUUGGCACAAUACAUUGAAUGAAAUAAAGCUUAUUUAUUAAUAUCUCCAAGAAAUUACAGAUAUAUACAUACACAUGAGUUAAAACAAACAAACAGGAUGGAGCCUUCACAAAGGUUGCUCAUGUGAAGCCUCAGUACUCGGAAGUACCCAAGAAGGAGGAGGCACUGGAGAUUGAUCAUGUGGCACCCCAGUACUUAGCAAAACACCAGAAGGGGAGGCACUGAAGGAUUCAAAUUGCUUGAAGUAAGCCUCUGAAGGGUAAAACAUAAAAUAUGUACUCAAUACCAAUGGAUGAUAUAAAUUGCCUUAGUGAGUACUAUCAUUAUGAUAUUGUUGCAACAUACUAAAAUCUCUUGCAAGAGUCAAUGACAUUAAAUUAGAACUCUUGAAGAGUUGAUGAUAUUAAAUUGGGACUCCUGAAGAGUCUAGAAAAAUUAUAAAGUGUUGAAGGAAUUAUUGUCUCGAGCUGCAGAUCGAACAACCUACCAACACGAAUCUUAUCCAUGAUAUUUAUGAUAUUAAAAAAACCAUAUGGAUUGAAGAUUAUGAGUUGAAUACUCAUAUGAUGAAGACACUAAGAAUAAUCAUUUAUCUUCGUGAGGGUAAAGAUAAAUUAAUAUUUGGUCCAGAAGUACCAUAUCUUAGUGAAGUAUAUGCUUUAUUGUAUUUGGCACAAUACAUUGAAUGAAAUAAAGCUUAUUUAUUAAUAUCUCCAAGAAAUUACAGAUAUAUACAUACACAUGAGUUAAAACAAACAAACAGGAUGGAGCCUUCACAAAGGUUGCUCAUGUGAAGCCUCAGUACUCGGAAGUACCCAAGAAGGAGGAGGCACUGGAGAUUGAUCAUGUGGCACCCCAGUUUUAGCAAAACACCAGAAGGGGAAGGCAUCAGUUGCUUUCAGAAUCUAGCAACGAACCUCUGGUGAUCACUUUGAAUCCGACUUUCGGAUUCCUGCAGUUGAACGAGCUUUCUUUUCAUGCUCGUAGAGUAACUAUUUGCAAGCACGUGUAACACCCUAUUCUCGUGCUUGAGUCCUCUGAUAUCUUGUUUAAUACUUGCCACCUCCGCCAUCAAUGAUUCAACUUGGCGAGUUUGAACAAGUAGGCGUUGGCCCAUAUUGGACACAGAGCCAGCACACUGAACACUGAGAGCCAAGGAGUCUUGAACGGCGGACUCUUCAGACCGUUCUGAAAGGAUCUUGUUAUCCCUUGGAGUGAAAAGAUUCCUAGCUACCACAGUAGCGGUUAUGUUAUUCUUCAUCACAGAGUCCCCAACCGUAAGAUGACCAUUAGAAGAUAAGAAGGACGGGUGCCAUAUAUUAUCCUGACGUUGCUCGUCUGUAUCACUCCUAAGACUCAAAUCUAAGCAAAUGUUAGAUGGGCAAGUCAUUUUUCAGAAAUGAUGAAGCAAAAACAGAGGUCAAAUAAAAUUUCAAAGGUGCAAGAUAAGGGAAAUUUCUACAAGCAGCAACUUUCUGAGCAUACUCUUGAACACAAUUGAUGUCUCUAUAAAAGAAGAGGCAGCAGAGCCACUUGUUCAAUGAUCGAUGAGGCACCGCUCUCUGGAUUUCAAAAGCCAGAUUUUCCUGAAUAAAAUUCGUUGGCAUUUUUCAGACGUAAUCUCAGCUUUUCAGAUAUCGCGUGCAACUUUGUCAAAGAUCUCUGGCAAAGUUGAAAACGCGUAAAUCUUACUGUUCUAUUUACACCACAGUUGCUGACAAGAGUAAAAGCACAGCACCACCACUUGCUAUUGAGAAAUCUCUAUAUAUGUCGACAUCUGUUCUCCAUAACAAGGCAGACCUGCAACACUGCAAGAAUACCUAACUCUUCCUCAUCUCCGAGAAUGCAUCUUCAACAUAGCAUCUCGAAAUACUCAGUUUUCUUCCUCUCCGAGAAUACCUCUUCAAACAUGUCACACCAGAGCAAGAUUAUCACAUAUCUUCAGGGACCAGAGCAAGAUUAUCUCAUAUCUUCAGGGACCAGAGCAAGAUUAUCUCAUAUCAUGCAGUCUCCCUGUCCUUUCCUUUGUCCUUGUUCUUGCCUGCAAAGACAAGGAUAAAGAAAGCAAUAUGUCGGAACCUCCACUCAAACUCCCGGUAAGGAACCGACUGCCUGGAACCUUUCCUGAUUGCUUACCUAGUAUUGCUCUCGAGUAGUCAUCUUCAACGGUUGGAGCUGAGUCUCUAGUCACCAAGAAGUGAUGAACCAUCCAAAUGCAAGGGUUGCACUCCACUCCGGCAUCAGAGGGCAAAUACUGCAGGAGAAGAUGCCACCCAUGCAUGGGGAAAAAGCAGAGAAAAUACUACUUAAGCAAGGGGAACAAGUAAGGAAAGUGAAAAUGAUACAUUGAAGCAUGUGGAGACAAGCGCAACAAACGCGUGCUGAUUCAUCCCUGACAAAACUGAAGAUCACUUGCCACAUGAAGCUCCUCAUGGUCCAAUUUCAUUCAAGAUCAAGCCUCGAAGGUCCUUGAAGAAAUCACAAGUCCGAUUCAAGAUAAAGUGUUCACUACUCUUGAAUCAAAUUCCGCUCCAGAUAAAAGGAGUAAAUUCAGACCUUUGGAUCAAGUCUAGCAGAAGGUCAUCCAGCCCAGUUCAAGAAAAAGCCUGUGGAAAGUUAACAACAAGUAAAGCAACUCUUUCAGCAACUCUUCUUACUAAGAGACUAAAGCAGAACGAUCAACGAUCAACCUAAAUGAUUUGAAAUCAGGGGGAGAUACUCAUCAGGAGGAGCAUCCAAGACAGAUCAAGAUUCUAACGAGUCAAUCGAAGACUUGUGGCCAUCCAAGGGGGAGUGUUGUAAAUAUUAUGUGGAUGGUCCACAUGAAUAGUUUGUUACUAUUUAUGCACAAUAUUUUCACUAUUCAUUUGUGGAAAAUUUGUAAAGUAAAUAGUGCUUUCUUUUGUUUAUAUAAAGGAAGAAGAGGAGAUGAAGUGUGGUGAGUUCACGAGAAAGAUGGGAAUGAAAAGAAAGAAAGAAAGAGAGGAAGAGAGAGAGAGAGGGGAAAGAAGAGGUAGAGAGGAAGAAGAGGAAGAUGAGAGGAGAUAAUAGAGAGAGUUAUCUUUGUACUCUUAUUAUUUCAAAUUAUAAUGAAAGCACCACUGCUGCCCCGAGGACGUACUCCAGUCACACUGACUGUAGAGGAACCUCGUAAAUUUUGUGUCUUGUUUCAUUUAUUCCACUGCACCCACAGUCAAUUUUACAACAAAAAUAAAUAUUUAAAGAGUACUAGGUCCUAACAAACAGCAAUGAAAAACGAAGAAAGCGAAAAGUCACAGAGGAGAGACGGAUAUUUGUUAUUACAACAAUAGCAAUUCUGAUUACAUUGGGAAAUGACUUCACUUGCUAUAUAUAGUAACCAACAAUACUUAACCACUAAUCAAAAUUGUAACUAACUGUACCAACUAAGACUCUAGGAUCAUUACACAUGUCAUAGCAAGGAUUAUGCCACUUGGCACUCUUAUGGUUAAUACCCCCCUCAAUCUCAACUGGGGAACCCGAGCUUGAGAUUGCAACAGUUAUGUAAAAAGGCUGUACCAUGCAAUCCCUUCGUUAACACAUCAGCAAGCUUGUCCACUGCGGAAAUGUAUUCAACCUGCAAGUCUCCUUUUUGAACUCUUUCACAAACAAAGUGAUAAUUGGUGUCCAAUCUAUUUGAAGGUGGAGGAACCAACUCCCAAGUUCCUUGUUUCUGUAAAGCUGUGAAUUCUUCAACCAUGGCAUUUCUUCAAUUUUCACAUAUAACAGCAGAUUUGUAAGAUGUUGGUUCAGAGGAUUCAGUAAUGCUUACAAGAGCAGUGUAACCACAGAAUGAUAUAUCUUUAGUAGCAGAAUCCGAACCAACAUUAGUGGAAUCACAGGCAGAAUAGGCACUAUAGUCUUGUCUUUGAAUAGCACCAGAUUUUAGUCUAGUUUGCAUAGGAUGAACUGAAUUCGAAUUGUUAAUAUUACUUGAAUCAUUAUUUGGACUAAGAGGAAGAAUUACCUCGAAUGGGGUGAACUCUGGACAUGCAACAUAGAGUUGUAAGUUGAUGUAGAGAGGGAAGGGUGUGAGUGGGAGAAACCUGUUGCUGAGUACUAGAGACCAUAUCUUGAUUCUGAGUAACUGAACAAUCAUGUGAAGAACUUGAAGCCACUGUGAUUGACUGAUCUUGCAUAACACCAUCAUGAGAACCCAUUUGAUCCACUAUAUGCACUGACUGAGAUCUUGUUCUAGGGUGAGAUGUACUAUUGUCAUUACUGAGACAAGGAAGAACAUAAGGAACAAGGAUUGGAUGUGAACUAGAAUCACAUGUCUGGAUAUCAACAAUCUUUUCUUGACUCUUUGAUAACAAAUUACCCAUUUGUAUCCAAGUGAGUAGCCCAAGAAUGCACAUUGAUCUGUCUUAGCAUCUACCUUUGAUGAAUUAUAUGGUCUAAGAUAGGGAUAAACAAAUGUCCCAAACACUUUUAAUGUAGAUAGCACUGGUUGAACUCCAAAUAGCUUGAAAAAUGGAAACUGCAUGCCUAAUGACUUACAGGGCAUUCUAUUGAUAAGGAAAACAGCAUGUGCACGUGCAUGGAACCAAAAAUUAUGUGGUAAAUGAGCUGUAGACAACAAAGUCACUGCAAUUUCUAAAAUAUGCCUAUGCUUCCUUUCGGCAAUUCCAUUUUGCCGGGGGACUAUAUGGACAUGAAAUCAAAUGCACAACACCUUUUGAAUCCAUAAAUCUCUUAAAAGCAAUACUCAUAUAUUCACCACCUCCAUCCAGUUGAAAGAACUUAGGAACAACUUGAAAUUGAGUUUGAAUAAAAGCAUAAAAUUUCUCAAACAUAUCCAGAACUUGAGACUUGUAUAAAAGGUCGUACCCAGUGCACAAGGCUCCUGCUUACGCAGGGUCUGGGAGAGGUGAAUGUCGGCUAGCCUUACCCCCAUUUAUGGAGAGGCUGCUCCCAAGUCUUGAACCCGAGACCUACCGCUCAUGGGCGAAGGCACUUGCCGUCGCACCAAGUGCGACCUCUAACUUGAGACUUGUAUAUCAAUGGAAAAAUCCAUGUAAAUUUUGCACAUUCAUCAAUAAAGCUCACAUAGUACUUGUAAUCUUCAACUGAUAACAACUGAGGCUGGUCCCAUACAUCACUACUAAUUCUCUCACAAGGUUGUACAGAUCUCACAGCUUUAGGUUCAAAUACCUGUCUAGACAUCUUUCCUUUAAGACAGUAACUACAUACAUGUUUAUUUAUAUCAGGCUUAUAUGUGAUUUGAAAGUUGGAUAGCAUACUAUGGAGUACUUCAUUGGUAGGGUGUCAUAACCUAUGAUGCCACAAAGAUGUUUUCACAAGCUGUCCAAGAAAUGCCUUUGGUGUAGACUUCAUUAGCUGAUUAUACUUGAAGAAGAGUUGCUUUGGUAUAUGAUAUAAUCCCCCACUACUCCUUCCUCUCAUGAGAAUUGUCUUUGUUACCUUCUCCUGCACCCAAAAUCCUAAUUCAUCAAGAAUCACAUAACAAUUAUUAUCCUUGCAUAAGGUAUAAACCGAAAUCAAACUAGCAGCUAAUUUUGGAACAUAUAGCAUAGUAUAAAGAUUGAGAGGUUUAGAAGAUGUUUUGAUAGAAGAACCAGUGUUUUUGACAGGAAGACAUUCACCACUUCCCACUGUGAUCUCUUGAUCUCAUUCGAAUGGUGUCACCAUGUCCAAAUCUCCAAUAUUUCCAGUCAUGUGAUGAGUAGCUCUAGUGUCCAUUAUCCAAGCCUAAUUGUUAUUGAACUCCAUGGAAGACUGAGCAGUCAUAGCACUGAGAGAUGAUGGUGGUUGAACUCCUUGGAAAGCAUAAUUUCCUCCGUGAAAACAAUUCAAGGCAGUGUGUCCACAUUUUCCACAGAUUUGGCACUCAGGGAUUGAUGGAUUAGAAGUAGGUAGUUGCUCAUUCCUGUAAUAACAACUAGGUGCAGUAUGCCCCUUUUUGUUGCAAAUCUGACACUCGGGGAUGAUGUGUGAUCUUUGACUAGUAUUGCCAUUCCAAUUUCCCCAUGUUGAACCUCCCUUGUUAUUGCCUGAAGAGCCAUUAAAGCCACCAUUGCUUCUGUUGUUGAAGUUCCCUGAAUUAUUACCAUUGUAUCUUGGUCUAGAAUUGAAUCCAGGACCAUUGAAACCAUUGUUAUUUCUAUGAGCUUGAAACUGCUGAGGUAGACUCCCCUGAGAAAAGUUUCCACCACUUGGUCCAGUGCCAUUUGAUCUUGGAAAUUGACCAACAAAACCUACUCCACCAUUAGAUUGAUUUCCCUGAUAAGAUUGCCUAAUUGCACCUGUUGCAGAAUAUUCCCCUUGAUAAAAUUGACCACCAUUUGAUCCAUUUCUGUUUGAACUGUCACCUUGAUAGUACUGUCUACUUGCACCCAGGCAGAAGACUUUCCCUGAGAAAGCAUUCUAGUCAUAGGAAAUUGCAGAGAAGAGUUGAAUUCUUCAGCUGUUCUUUCUGCACUUAACAACUGUGCACAAAACUCCUUCAUUGUAAUAACUGAUUCUCUUGCUACCAUCACAGUCUUGAUCAUGUUAUACUCUGAUGUAGACCUGCCAAGGCUGCAACAAUAAGGUCAUUGUCUGAAAUUGUUUCCCCUGCAGCAAGUAAUUGGCCUUUCAAGUGCUUGAGCCUGAGUAAAUACUUCUCAAUAGAAUCUGCUCCCUUCUUUUCCCCUGCAGCAAGUAAUUGGCCUUUCAAGUGCUUGAGCCUGAGUAAAUACUUCUCAAUAGAAUCUGCUCCCUUCUUGAUAAUGUGUAAUUCAGUCUUGAGGUGAUUGAUUCUUGCCCUUGAAACCGUUGCAUACGUAUCUGUGAGUUGAGUCCAGGCUUGAUAAGCAGUUUUACUUCCAACAACAUAUUCAAUAGCCUCAUCUCCAAGAGUAGCAAUCAGUAGACUAAGUAAUGCUUUAUCAGCCUUAAUCCAUUCACAAUUAGCCACAAUAAUCUCCUUUAUAACACCACUUUCCAAAGAAACCCCGUACUUUGGAGGACAAAUAUUGGUACCAUCAAAGUAGUCAAACAAAUCAUAACCUUCCAACACAGAUUGAAAUUGAAGGGACCAUUUCACAAAAAUUGUCAUCUUGCAGACGAAUCGUAAGCAUUCCUAGCAAACCAUCGAUCUUGAGUGGAGAAGACCCCAUUAUCACACUUCUUGAAUAGUAAACAAUUGACAGUAAUGAAUCACACAGAGAUACUUAUCAAGAAAUCAUCAAGAAACUUCAAUCUUGACGAUUCUAAAGCUUCGUGCUCAAAAUUCAACAAAUUUCCUGAAUUCAGAUAACAAAGGACCUAAUUUCAUCAAUUUUACUGCAUUCUUCACAAAAUUUUAUCACAACUGCUUCAAUCUUUUCACAAAUUUAUCACACUUCUUGCUUCGUGCUUGACAAUUCUUCUCAAGACUCCAUUCAUUUUGAACAAAUUUCACAGAAUAGACAGAGAUGUGGCUUUGUGCCUUCAGAAUUUCAGCAAUUUUCAAGAUUUAUCACAGUUCAUCAACAAUUUCCAAGAUUAUCAAGCAGUCAAUGAUGGCUUCAUGUCUAAUCCAAAUUCAUCAACAAUUUUCAGAAAUCUUCAAAGAAAACUCAUAAAGACAUAGAGUCCAAGAACACCUGAUUUCGCAGCAACUUUCCGAUCAACCGAUGAGUCGAAUCUGCUCGCCAAACUCCUCAGAAACACAAUCGCAGCACAGCUUAGCUUCGUUCCCAAGAAAAAAUUGCGAAAACCGGGCUCGAUACCAUGGAGGGCAGACAAUCCUUGUCCUCUUAACAAACAGCAAUGAAAAAGGAAGAAAGCGAAAAGUCACAGAGAAGAGAAAAGGAUAUUUGUUAUUACAGCAAUAGCAAUUCUGAUUACAUUGGGAAAUGACUUAACUUGCUAUAUAUAGUAACCAACAAUACUUAACCACUAAGCAAACUUGUAACUAACUGUAACAACAAGACUCUAGGAUCAUUACACAUGUCAUAGCAGAGAUUAUGCCACUUGGCACUCUUAUGGUUAAUAACUAGAACUUAGUCGAAGCUGGGCGGGGAAGGCAUAGAUUUUGUUAGAUUAGCACUGACGGAGUUUGAACCCACGCUAUCAUGCAAGGACUCAACACAUUUCCGCCAUUGCGAUAAAGGAUCACUUGCAUUGAAGCAAAUAACUUGAACUGAUCAUGUCCAUGUUAAUUAACUUUAGGCUAAAUGUUAAACCAGCAUAUUGUCGAGCUUUAUGAUCACACCUUCAAGGGAAGGUGCUCUUAAUCACGUUCCUACUGUUCAUAAAAAUAAAAGUCCCACCCUUUCACUUUUCACAGAAUCAAGCUAGUGAGAUCAAAUAAAAAGUUAAGCUUUUUCCAGUCCAACUUAAUUAAAAGAGUAGAGUCUUAAUCCAAGAUGAUUUAUUAAAACGAAGUAAAAAAGGACUUGAAUUUUUUAAAUUACCAACUCAAAAGAGAUUAUAAUUAAUUAAUUGACAAAAACGAAGAAAAAUAGUUACCUCAAGAAAUCCAAUCUCCCCCUCAAGCAUCUAAACCUGGCAGUUUCUUUGCGCCUACCAAUAAAAAUCAGGAUAAUGCGGCGGCGACGUUGGGCAUGGAGGUAGCAAUGACGGCACAGAAGCAGAGCAACUGGAAGGAUAUGCCAUUCCAAAUACAAAUAGUAACCAAAACCCAGUUGCUAGAUCACCUAAAACUCAGACCCUAAAUGAAGAAAACGACAUCGGAGCUUACAGAGAGAAAAGCAGUAGCAGUAAACUGCUGAUAGAAUCACUCAUGUAUUAAUGGGAUUAAUGGGGAAAGAGUAAAGUAAUUAGGGUAUCUGAUGCAUUAAAGACCGAAGAGAAGGUCAGUGGUCGGUUAGACUUUACUGUGUCGAAGACGCGGGGAAACUGUAGCAAUAAAAUUUUUUUACAUGUAAAUAUGUGCAAAUUUGAUGCCCCCAUCAGUUUUGGGCCUGACAGUGGCCCUGUUAGCAUUGGGCUAGGAGUGGCCUUGGGUACCAAUUCACUUAAUGUGCGUUUGUUGCACUAGACUAUCUCGAACUAGCUUUUGGAACAAAACCGGACUGGCUUAAACUAGACUAAGCUUUCACCAUGUAAGGCCUUCAAGCUUGUAACCUAAUUUCCUAUAGUAAUGAUGAGUUCCUACUCCCGCAUAACAUCAAUCUUUUUGGAUCUAUGCUCCCUGCUAGCGAUCCGCUUGACCUCCAUCAAAAGGGUGCCAUAACCCUGUUUGAAACAAUUAGGGAAUGGAGUUUGAUGAGGCAGAACCUGCUCACAGGGGAAAACUCAAGCCAUAAGGGUUUGUCACAAAUCAAUAUGCAAAUCAGAGAAACAUCAAGUUCUGGAAUAGUGAAAUCCUAACGCAACAAUCUGACCUCUUGCAGAUUAAAAAGUUACAAUCAGAUUAACAGGUCAAUGGAUGGUAAGUUAAAAAGUACUGUCAAUACAAGAAGUAAGCUUUACACAAAGAUACAAAGAUGCAAAAUUACUUGGUCUCAGUUUCUAGAAUCAGUGGUCAAUGGUGGCUGAAUACAAUCUUACCCAAAAUUACAAAGCAAUUGUGUGAUAUAAUCUUCGCGUGCUUAUAUUCAUGUGCAUGAUUAUAUUCUCAAUCCUAAAUUGCACAGAUGAUCAUCAUUGAUAUGUCACAAGUACACUAAUAGAACCAUUUGAGCCGACCCAAAUAACUAAACAACUAAACAAAAACAAACAACUGAACCCAGUGCACCAGACUACUGCCAUUGCAAAGUCGUUGCAAAGUACAUAUAUAGACAAACAAUUAAUUAAUUUAGCUCCAAGCUUUUGGAUUUAUUUAUUAAUAAUUUAUCAAAACAACACUCAAACUCCAAAGCUCUGAAUCUGCAUCCAAAUUCUUUGUCCUUAAUACUACUUUUCUAAUCAAAAGCCAUGCAUCUGCAUCCAAAGCCUUGCAUCUGCAUCAAAUUGUGGACUUGAUAGGAAAUAGAUAAGAGCAUCACAUGCUAGGGCACGUAAUUCUUCGUCCUUAAUACUACUUUUCUAAUCAAAAUUUGAAUUAUCAUUUUACUUUUCUCAUAGGACACCUAAUUAUCAUUUUACUUGGUGGAAGCUCCUUGGAUGCUGCCUCCUUCAUGGAGUUAACCACAUCAUUUUGAGACUGAAGAACUUUAUUACGAGAAGCAUUGAGCUGCAUGGAGUACUCACUGCAACGAACCAAUUAAAGAAUAUUACAGCUCACAUAUAUGGCAUUCGUGCACAACUGGGAAUAUAUAAACAAAAGGAAGGCCUUCCAUCGAACCACCCAAAUCUGAACCCUGCAGAAACAGAACUCGUUUUAUUUAGAAUAUGAUUUGAACCUCGUUCUACCCAAUUCCCUAACUAGUCCAAUACCCUUUGAGCUAAGGCUAUGAGCUUCAUAAAGUCUAGUUUCUCAAAAUCCUAAUACAACAAGCACAUAAUUUUCAGGAUCAUUGAAAUUCAACAAUCAUUUCAUACACAUCCAAUGAUGAAAAUAAGUUAUCUCAGAAUAAUCAACUCAUUUUCAAGUUUCAACUUAAUUUCUAACCGAAUACUUCGAUUUUCAUCGAAAUCCAUGAAAUCAAUGAAAGAAACUAUCUUUGCCACUUCCCAACUAUUCACUACCGUAUGACACACCAAGCACAUUAACUUCCGAAUCCGAAUUCAACCUACCAAAAAAUAUAUAUCCAAAACCAAACAGCAGAAGGCCAUUUGUUCCACAAAGUUUGAAAAACAUGCAAAAUGUAGGAUCUAAGAACAUUGUUGUGAUCUAUUUGUCGUUCCUAAUUAAUGCACAUUAUACAACCACCUUUCUUUACAAGAACAUUAUGCAAUCAACAAACCAUAUACAAUCCCAAUUUACUAUAUUUUCAGAAAACCAUAUAUUUUGAUUAUUUAGAAUUUCCGAAUUUUUAUGACCAUAAUCAGCAGCAUCAUAGCACCAAACAACCAAUGUAAAAAAAAUUAACAAUUGAUGAACAAAAAGUGAAAACAAUCGUCUUUACCUAAUGGGAGAGGUUGCAGAAGAAGAAGAAAUUUGGAGAGGAUGGAGCAGUUUUCUUCAGGGAUUUGGUCGGAAAAAAUUGUUCGAAUUGAGAGUGGGCAUUGGAGGCCUUGAUGCGUUGUGGACCGAAGCGUUGGGAGUUGAAGUUUGCAAGAGCCUAGCGUCCAUGGCGGUCACGACAACGCCCGAAGCAAAUCACCGCCAUAAUGCCGGGAUGUUCUUAGCUAGUCCCGUGGUUUGUGGAGGGUCUUAAUUCUUAGCGAGCUCUAUAGUUCACUCAAGUCUUCUUUAGUCUCAUUUAGGUUAGUCCCAACACAGGCCAAACAUAGGACUACAUUAAUAAGUAGUUCAGUCUAGCCCAGUCCAGUUAAUGAGGCCACACAAACACACUGAUAGAAAGAAAGACCAAUUCAGUUUUGAUGGAUGUGGGAAAUAUUCGCAGCAGAAGGAACACAAACAUAUAAAAUGUUCGGCGAUGUUUAGCUAUGUGUGAGCAAUGACAGAGCUAGAAUCGGGUUAUUGGUUGUUUUUUACUCCAACAACUUCAAAACCCUAUCCCUAUGUAUAUUUGUAUGUGUAUUGUUUUUACUUCUAUAAACAAUUAAGCCAAACUAAAUUACAACCUCAUUCUCUUACUUCUUUUAUUUUUUUAGUCAUAUUUGUCUUCAUUUUCUCCAUUCUUGUGUGCGAUUGUAUUGCUCGCAUCAUUUGCUCGAUGAAAUACUUUAGUUGAAAAAUCUUGGCAGUCUUCAACAUUACUCCACAAUAUCCUGCAUCCACCCUCAACAAGCCUCUACAAAUAAUAGUAGUUGUCGACAUAUGUUAGAAUAAACUUUCAACAUAUGUUGACAGGAAUUGGUAGAUGCCUACUAGUUGCUUGAUGAAAUGGUCAAAUGAAGUUUUUUUUGGCUGAUAAUACAACCUCAUUUGAAAAUCUUGACUACACCACUGUGUGUAAGAGGAAGAUUUACGUGUAUAUUAUUACACAAAAUUACAUAAGCAAAACGACUUUGGAGAUGUGAAGCCCAAUGGCUCGGAGCUCAUGCAUAAAACUACAUAAACACAAUGACUUUGGAGAUGUGAAGGUUCAAAGGGCUCGGACCUUCGUCAAAUUCAAUCUCUACGAUUAAACAAAACCUUGAGUCUCUUCAAUCAACCCAAUUGCUUUUGAGCAAAAACCCAAUUGCUCUUUAGCAAAACUCUCUUAGCUCUUCAACUACAAUUUCAAAACCUUUCUUCAAGCAAACACUGCCUACGAUCCUUGAUAUCUAAAACAUUAUUGUAUGAUUCGGUUGGUGUACAAUUCCAACUAACCUAAUUUCCUCUUUGAGGGGCAUGUUUUGUACUAAGUUCAAUUUGACACCAGUGAUCUAGGUGGAGUUCUUUAGCAUUAUUUCGCCCUUCAUGGCCUGAAUCUUGCAAGAGUUUUACUGCUUUCUUUACAUUUCUAGUCAAUUUACAUUUCAAAUUAUGCAGUUCAGCCCAUGGGCCUAGAUUUUAGUUUUGUGAACAUUUGUAAUUCAUUAUGAAAUGAUAACAUUUUGUUUCCAUUUUAAUUUCUAUUUCGCUUUUAUUUACCUUUUUGGCAAGUAUACACAAAGUAACACUGAAUAUUAAGCCCUCAUUAGCUUGAGGCACAAAAAAGAACUUAACCAAACUAGCGUCAUUCUCGGUGCACAAUCAUUUGAUUCAGAAGUCAAAUUAACGCACAACUUACAAACAUGUUCAAGCACAAACAUUGUCUAUUGACAACCUCCAAUAGUAGCACGCCUAUUAUCACUUUCUCUAGAGCCAUCUCGUGACACGGAGACAAAAAAAAAAAAAAAAAAAAACACUCGGAAAAAUACAUGUUGAACCCUGUGCCCAAGGUCUGUCCAAAUCUUAGCACCAACAGAUAUACAUGCAUGUUCAAGUGUGCUAUUUGAGAAUAAUUAAUAUAUGAUUUAUUCCCGAAGUUCUUUUAUUGAUAAUAAAAUCAUAUGGAAAGCAAACGAACAACCCAAAUUACAUUUUUACAGUCUUAACGGAUGGUAGCUCCUUAUUUUUUGUAGGCAAAUUGGGCGCUGGAGACUAUACUUUGAAAGAAGCAUCACAAUAAGUCGAUAUUUUAGGCUAAUUGAGCCACGGGUUCCACUAGUGUAGAAACUAUAAAAUCUUUUAGCACACCCUCA